This 124969-nucleotide long non-coding RNA is filed under the name Populus trichocarpa (black cottonwood). RNAcentral describes it as "long non-coding RNA (PTRI_LNC000460)". The stretch from base 49726 to 49847 matches the Rfam family "MIR480 microRNA precursor family". Lineage: Eukaryota; Viridiplantae; Streptophyta; Magnoliopsida; Malpighiales; Salicaceae. The record is from RNAcentral.
GACAAUUUAAUUUAGUGGAGAAAUAUAAAUUACGUACUUGUAGCUGUGCCAACCAAUUACCCACUUCUUCGUGCCCUUCAAUGGUUAAUCUUUGCAAAGGCAAUUGAGCAUCAAAAUUCCUUGGACCUAAAAAGCUGUAAUUAGAUUGGAGCCAAAGAGAAAAUUCUCUUAGCCGAGGGAACUUGAUGAUGCCUUCUCUGGUAAGUGCAUCUCCUUCUCCACCGUAAAAUAUUUGCUUUAAAUUGUCAGCACGAGCAAUCCUCAUCUGUUCCAGGUUCGUAAGACUUGGAGACAUGGAGACAGGGAAGACAUAUUCCAGUGAAAAACAGAAAGAUAUGUUGAUUUUUUUUAAUUUUGGGAAGCGAGGAGACUCUGGAAUUAUUUCCCUUUCACCAUCCUCUUCUCUGAUAAUAUGCUUUAAUUCACCGCAUUCAUUUAUGCGAAGGCUUUCUAGCUUUGGCAGAUUUCGAGCGAGGGACGGUGUGAAGAUAAAUGUCAGUUUUUUGAGAUCUGAAACUUUCAGAUGAACAAGAUUUUGGAGGCUGACAUGUCUGGUGGGCCCCUUCCAUAUGCAUUUGAGCUCAGGUAACUCUUGCAGCUUUAACAGUGUUAAAGAUGACAGCAGCUCCUUCUCCUCACUGCUUCCUUCAUCAGCCUCACCCAAUUCAAAUACCUCUUCCAAUGAUUUACAGCUGUGAACAAUCACCUCCUUUAGAUUUUUUAAACCUUGCCGCAAUUUUGCUGGAAACAGAGUGAAAACAUCCUCACAAUCCCUCACUUUUACAAAUUCUAAUUUAUGUAAAAACAAUUGCUCAAAUGUCUUCGCAUUGAAGGAUGUACCAGCCAAAAUUAAUCUUGUCGAGGUUGGGUAUCGUCCUGCAUCAAACCGAUUCCCAACAUUCUAGUAUAUUCAUCAGCUAUCUGGAAAAACAAAAUCUCUAGGAAUGCAUUCAACCUUCGGUAUCCUCAAUGAUAAUACGGCUAACUGAGACAACGAAUUUAGUUCUGUUAGUCUUGCAUUCAUUCCUCCUGUGCUGUCUCACAUCCAACAUCAUCCCAUCCCUUAAAGCUGUGACCCCCAAUCAAUAGCUCUUCUAACUUCUUCAACCUUCCAAUGAAAUUCACAGGGAUCCUUCUUAGCCUUCGACAACCUGUCACAUCCAACAACCUUAACUCCUUGAGCUCUCCUAUUUCACCAGGUAAUUCUUCAAUGGAUGAGCACCACUUAAAAACAAGAAUCUUAAGUCUCUGCAGCUUUCUCAACCGAAUGAGGUCCUUGCAUCCACACAUGAUCAACACCAACGAUUGAAGUUUCGUUGAGAGUUCAAGUGAUUGCAAUGACAAACACCCUCCCUUCAGAGACAAAACUUCAAUUUCUUUCAUCCCUUCGAAAAACUUCUCUGGAACAUUCAUACCAUCAUCCAGUUCUAAUAAUAGAACUUUGAGAUGUGGACAUUCCAAUCCUUCAGGAAGUUCGGUUAGUUUAUUGCCCAUUAACGAAAUUGUUGUAAAAGCUUCAAAGCUUUUGAUACUCAUUGGCCAUUCCUUCAACCCAAUGCCAGCCUUUACCAUUAAUCCAUAUUCUUUUGAUGACGCUAUCCGAAUAGCAACAUCACGCAUUCUCACAUGUUNNNNNNNNNNNNNNNNNNNNNNNNNNNNNNNNNNNNNNNNNNNNNNNNNNNNNNNNNNNNNNNNNNNNNNNNNNNNNNNNNNNNNNNNNNNNNNNNNNNNNNNNNNNNNNNNNNNNNNNNNNNNNNNNNNNNNNNNNNNNNNNNNNNNNNNNNNNNNNNNNNNNNNNNNNNNNNNNNNNNNNNNNNNNNNNNNNNNNNNNNNNNNNNNNNNNNNNNNNNNNNNNNNNNNNNNNNNNNNNNNNNNNNNNNNNNNNNNNNNNNNNNNNNNNNNNNNNNNNNNNNNNNNNNNNNNNNNNNNNNNNNNNNNNNNNNNNNNNNNNNNNNNNNNNNNNNNNNNNNNNNNNNNNNNNNNNNNNNNNNNNNNNNNNNNNNNNNNNNNNNNNNNNNNNNNNNNNNNNNNNNNNNNNNNNNNNNNNNNNNNNNNNNNNNNNNNNNNNNNNNNNNNNNNNNNNNNNNNNNNNNNNNNNNNNNNNNNNNNNNNUAAAAACACUUUUGCUGGGCACUCCAUAGAAAAACAUAUGCCUUGAACACGUGUGUUUAGAAGAAUUUUACAACCCCUGUGAUCAUCACCAAAUGGGAUCCCUAUCUCUUUCAAGUCAAUAUGUUUCCAAACAUCAUCCAGGGUUAUAAGCAUCUUCUCCACUUUCUUCAGUCUCUGCCGUAAUCGAUCUGCUCUCCCUUCUUUACUGUUUUCUUCAAUUUUCAAACCUAACAUAUCUGCCAUUCGGUUCUGAAUGUCUAUGACAUUUGGAUUCUGCGACACCGUAGCCAUCAAAACUUCAUCAAAAAGCUGCGACUCUCUGGCUAUCGUGCCUACUCUUUUCACCAGGGUGGUUUUACCCACCCCUCCCAUGCCGUACAGUCCGAUCAUAUUGGCGUUGUCAUCUUUGCGAGCUUUCAUAAUCUGUUCCAAUGAAUUCCUUUGAUGGGAGAAAUUCUCUGGGCUGAGGAUGAGCUAUGUCGGACACUUUUGUAAACUUUGUGCUAUUUUCUAGAAGUUUUCUGAAAGUCUCCGACUUCUUGGCCAGUGCCUUGCUUAACUUGAAUUGUCGCAUGCAGUUUGGGCACCAAGUAAAGCAUUUGCCAUUUCUUCCUAUUUCAUUUUCCAAGGGCUUCGCACCUUCAAUUUUGCUGUUUGCAUCUUCCAUCCACUUUUUGACAACUUUCUUAAUUUCUUCAGCAUUCCUUUCAGCAGCUUCGACUUCUUUUUGCAGACCAUCUAGUGCUAAAGCAAGGUUCUCCUUUUGUUCUUUGAAUUCUUCAACAAAAUUGUUGAAACAGAACAUGUAACGGAACUGCCUUCCCACUGGUUCCACCAUGAGUUCUGCUAUCUUAGAUAUAAUGGAUCCACCCACACUUUCGAGAGCCAUUUUCCACCAGUCUGAAAAUCAGAGAAAUGAGGAUACAGGACGUGAGAGUGAGUCACUACAAGUAAAACAGGCGCAGAGAGAAUGGGAAUAGGAAUUCCAUUACCGUAAUUUGGGAAAAUAUGCGCGGAAAGCACUGGUACUGAGAGCUCAAUGAAAUAGCGGGAGGAAGAAAAGGAGAAGGCCUUUAGCUCUGUAUGGAAUCCAGCUUCAAAAGCAACAAGGCAAGGUAUAAGGAUUCUAACUGACACUUGUGAGUUAAAGCAGUAAUUCCCAUUAAAAAUGCAUUUUGAUGACAUAAUUAAGAUCAUAUAGAGACAGUGGCAAACAAAAAAAAAUGUAUAAAAGUACUCACCUAGCAAAGAAAGAAACGAAUGAAAGGUUCAGGAUAAUCACUUAGCCGCUUCCAACAACAAAUAUAAUUAAUUAAUCGAAGCUAUGAUCGGUCAAAGUUUUUUUUAGUUUUAUUCUUGUUUUUUUUUUAAAAAAAAAAAACAGAUCAAUAAAUGAAAAGACUUGCAAAGAAAUAGAAUUAGUGGAAUGAACACAAUAAAGGAUGAAACUCAAGCAAUUAAAAAUAAAUUAUCUAUAAUGAUCAUCUCUGUGUCACACUCACUGAGGUAAUAUGAUUGGCCUAUUACAAUAUUAAAUAAUAAUAAAAAAAGCUAAAAGAACUAGGUUUUUGGUGGCAUCCAGAUUGCGGUUACUUAAUCCUUCUUUUGUGGUUUUAUUUUAUUUCAGUCCUUCAAAUCUUUUUCUUUUGCUAUUUCAUCGAGUUGCUUUGCUCGAGUUGAUGUGCUUGCCCUAGAAUAUGCAUCAUGCUAGGGAUUACAAUUACAUUACAUAAGAAAUUAUACUUACAGAUUAUAAUUAAAAAUUUCAGUUUUUUUUAAAAAACAAAUUUAUGAGAAAGUACCAAUUUACAACGUGAGUAAAUGAAAGGAGAAUUUUAAAUCUUUUUGUGACAUGGUGACCAGCUGAUCCAAGUAACCAAUAGAAUAUCACCACUUGUUCAACCUAUCUGCACAUUAAGAUAGGGGUAGACAUAACUAUGACUAGGAGGGAGCAAAAAAACCGGAAAACCGAUUUAACCAAGAAAACCAGAAAAAAAUUAACCAAAAAAACCGAACCGGUAAAAAAAACCGAUUGAACUGGUUAAAAUAUUUAGGAAAAUGUCCGGUUCGGUUUCCGGUUUUGGUGUGCCUGAACCAGCCAACCCGAACCGAACCGAACCGGUUCGGUUUAGGAAUGAAAAAAAAAUAUAAACCAAGCGGGUCGCCUCCUCCCAUUACUUUCCCUUUCAACAACCCUAGCAGACCAUUUAUUUGCUUUCCCUUUCACACAGCCGCCCCCUCCCCUCAACCUUUCAAUAUUCAUUCACACUUCACAGACACAGCCGCCCCCUUCAAUCACCCCUACUCCCAUUAACAGCCGCUCCCUCCCAUUAACAGCCGCCUCCUCCUCACCAGUCAACGAGCUUAGGCUAUUCUCGGACAACCAUUCUUCGAAUCUCGAAAGAAAUCGCCGUGCGUGUGAGGUGGCGAAACUGUUACCGCUUCUAGAUCUUCUUCAAUCUAUUGCUUCUAUCAAAGCCGAUUACAUCGCUCAGGUAAUCUUGUCAUGUAAUUACAUAUUUAAUUAAUUAUUGCUUGUUGAUUUUAUAUUGUUUCUAUUUUUCAAUUUUGAUGUGUUAAUUAUUUUGAACAAUGUAAAAAUGAAGGUGGACGAAAGAACACAAUUUGGAAAGGAAAUUGGAAUCGUUGUCCCUGUCUCAGAUUCUCAAAAGACAAUCAAUCGCAAACAGUAUGUCCUCAAUUUUUUUUCCUUCUUUUCUUUCUCACUAGUAGAUUGGAAUUUGGAACUGCCAACAAAAGUUUGUAUUCGAAGUUAGCUUUUUGAAAAUUGACCCUAUUAUAUAUUUACUGUGGCUUAAGCUUUGAGAUAUUGCAUGAUUAUGAAUUAGUUUAUAUGAGUUGAAACUUGAAACAUAGUCUGACAAGGAUGGAUUAACCAAUUGCUGGGAAAUUAGUUUUCAAAUCUCUUUGAAAAAUGUCUGAUGUUGCGACAUAAGUCACAUAACAGACUCGAUUUGAAGGGAAUCUUUGAGAUAUUGCAUGAUUAUGAAUUGGUUUAUAGGAAUUUGCUGGAUUGAUUUUUUUUCUUUUUCUUUUUUAAAAGGGAAUCUAAUUAAAAUACAUUUUUUUCAUCUACUUUUUAAGUUUAAAUCUUAGAAUUAAUAUCCAAAAAAUUUCACCUUUGCUCGCUAAAAUAUAAUUUUAAUCUUAACAAAAAACUAUAUCUUAAAAUUUUGAUGGCUUACUGUGUUGCUAUCCAACUAAGAAAUUGACUCAAGUGGCUUAGUGAUAUAUAGUGGGGACAUUCUAUUUUAGACAUGCAGCUUGUUGCCUUGUUCUACUUUAUUCUAUAAUCUAUUUGAGAAAAAUGUUGUUUAUUUCUUCUAGACACUUUAGUCUUCCAAAUUUCAAUUGUAACCAGCAAGCAUAGAGGUUAUGAUAGAGGUUAUGUAUUGGGAAGAUGAACUAUUUUUUUAUUUGCAGUGGCUGUGAAACUCUCUUUCUGUGUGUCUCUGUCUCGUGUGCGUGCGUACAUAUGCACCUGUAAUUCUUGCUUCUCUCCAAUUCCUUUCGUUUGCAAGUUACUGUUGCUAGAGUAGGUGCAACUAGUUCUUCCUCUACAAGUCGGGUUUGGUAAGAUUGAUUAUAAAGAAAAAUGUAUUGGUAAUGCACAAUUUUGAUUUUAGUGUUGAUGUUAAGUGUGGCUUGUUUUAUGAUGGAUAAUUAUGUUGACAAUAUUGGGCUUCAUGAAUGAUGAUGCCAGUUUAUUUAUGGUCUUAAUAAGCUAUAUUACUGCUGGAUUUGUGCUCUUUAUUUAUAUGGUAAAUUCUUAUUCAAAUCUUUGAUAUUUAUCGCUAAUGAAACUUCAAUCUUGCCUCAGGUUGUCGACCAAGUCAUAAUUCCUCCUACAAGUAUACAAUAUUGUUUUAUUAUAAUGUUAUCGCUAAUGAAACUUCAAUUUUAUCUUAGGUGCUCUUUAUUAUUAUAUUGAUAUUAAAAAUAAUUUUAAAAAAUAAAAAAUAUAUUAUUUUAAAAUAUUUUUAAAAUAAAAAAUAUUUUAAAAAACAACUAUUUAUUCAAGGACUUAAAAUAAAAACCUUAAAAUCACGGCAUGAUAAAAGGAGGAAGAAAGGAAUGGGACAAAGAAGGAAGAAAAUAAGGUCACGUAGGGGUCCAGUCUUGUAUAAAAUAGACAAUGAAAAUUAGUAUGAAAAAGAGGCUAUUUGUUUUUUUACUGUGUCAGAGUGGUUUUUAUAAUUAUAUUUAAUUUAUAAAAAUAUUAAAUUAAUAUAUUUUUAAAUGUUUCUUGUUAUUAUAUAUAUAUAUAUAUAAUAUUCUAAUAUGUUUUUAAAUAAAAAAUUAUUUUAAAAAAAUAUAUGUCACAAUACUAAAUUAUAGUAUAAAUUAAAAUAUAAAAGAGUUCUCUGUUUAUUACUAUUUACCGAGACUUAUUUUAUUGUAGAUAUUAAUAGUGAAUUUUUUUAAAAUUUUUAAUUUGGUAUUUGAAUUAUUUUUUUUCAUAAUUAAAUAUCUUUAUACCCAAAUUAAAACUCAAUUGCAUUUUGUUUUUUAAGAAUAAGAGUUGAAUUCAAAGAUAAAUGACUGAAAUGAAAAACUCGGUAAAAAUAUGCGGCAACAUUGUAAUUGUUUGCAAAGUUCAUUUUAGUCCCUUAUCUUUUUGAGCUACUAAGUAACAUGUCCCUAUAAUUUCUCAACAUUACAUUUUAUCCAGAAUCUCGGAUUAUGCUUUAGGGACUAAACUGAAUUUUUCAUAAAUUGAGAGACCAAACUGAAAUUUUAUCAUCUUCAAUCUCAAACCUAAAAUUUUCACAUAUCACCUACUGAUAUAACAAGAUUUCUAACUCAAAUUCACCAGUUAAACAAACCAUAACUCAAAAUCAUCAUUUUUACUUAAAAUCUUUCAAAAUCAACUAAAUAACUCAUUAUUCAUAACAAUCAAUACAUAAUAUUCAAAUCAAUUCAUCAAUCAAACCCAAAACACAAUCUUCAAAACCCUCAUAUUCAAUAAAACAAAAAAUUAAAGCUAAGAAAAACACAUUUAUACACAUCAAAGCGUAAAUAUUCUUAUCUUUUAAUUUAUUUUCUCUAACUAUCUUAUCCUUUCUUUAUCUUUUCCUCUUUUCUUUUCUUUUCCUUUCGCUUUCACGGUUUUCUCUCUAAGAAUUCAGAUCUCUCUCUCUCUUUUUCUAUUUAUAUUUAUAAACUCUUUAUUUAAUUACUACAAUACAACCGUUCAUUAAUUUAUACCUACUUCUAAGCCUCAAAGAGUUUUGUUAUCUUUUUCUAUUCUCUUUCAUUUUCAAAUCAUCACAAUAAAAUUGUUUUCUUUUUAUUAAGCUGCUAAUUUAUGCAGCUUUAGCUCUUGUUCUCUUUUCAUGUUUAGCAACUCUGAUCUGUUCUUUUUCUUUACAUGAUAUAAGAGCAGGUUCUUACCUCUUGAAGUCUGCUGGAUAAACCUAUCAGCAGAAGAUCCUGAAGCGAUCCCAAAUCACAGCUUCAAUCCCCACCACAACCAAUCUCCUCUUUCCCGUAGUCUGUCGUCCUCAAUUGGGAAAUGAUCUCAAAAAAUCACUUGAUGCAACAAGUAGGGUAAAGAAAUAUAAGACUUCAACAAAGAAAUCAAACUCAAAAAAAUAAAAGUAAUUGUCUAUGAGAAGCAUUUCUGUGUCACACACUCAAGUAAUAUGAUUGACCUAUUACAUUAUACAAAUUAAUAAUAAUAAUAAUAAUAAUAAUAAAAGAACUAGGUUUUUGAUGGCAUCCAGAGUGCUGUUACUUUCAAACAAAGAGGCUUGUGCAUGCGGCGUUACGCUGUUCAUGUAGGCUAAGAUCUCCUAUGAAUACAAUUGUAAAAUCAUACAAUUGUUUUCUUUUUAUUAAGCUGCUAAUUUAUGCAGCUUUAGCUCAUGUUCUCUCUUCUUGUCUUGCUAUUCUGAUUUUAUCUUUUUCUUUGCAUGAUAUAAGAGCAGGUUCUUACCUCUUGAAGUCUGCUUCAAUCCCCGUAGUCUUCCGUCCUCAAUUGGGAAAUGAUCCAAAAUCAACAACUGGUGCGGAGAUAGUUUGAGUGAAAACAAACGGCUGAGAGAUGAAAUGUGAAGGUUAUGGUGAGAAAUUAGAUGACAAACUUACUUUGUCCUACUAAUGCUUUUGCUUUCAUUGUUUCAAAAAGUAAAAGAGACAUAAGCAUAAUCAGUGUGUUUUCUGUUUAGCAAUAGCUAGCAAGGUAUCUGCUUAAAAAGACCAUUGAACAAGGGAUGAGCCAUUCAGCAAGGGAUUCUGCUAGGAAAACAUGAAAUUGUUCUUCUAAACAAAUAGUACAGCAUCAAGUCUCAGUCACCUAUUAACGAAAUUGUUGUAUUUCUAAUGACAAUGCUAAUAAAAAAAAAUUGAGCCAGCAUGACACAUGAAAUUCAAAAUUAACAAAAUAACAUGAAAAUAUAAAUAUUUAUAUUAUAAUUAUACAUCUCAAAAAAUCACUUGAUGCAACAAAUGGAUAGACUUCUAGGAAAUUCUUUCACUGUGAAAUGGCUGAAGGUUCUUUUAUGAACAUUUAUAUUAAAAAAUUGGGUCAAUUAAUCUUCGUUAUUUAACAUGAAUAAAGUGUUGAUUUAGUCUUGUAAUUAUUAUAUCAAAGCUUUUAUUAGUUUAUGCACGAUCCCUAUCGGGUCCCGGAUCGACCCAUAAAGCCAAACCAAGUGUUAAAACUAUGCUAUCUUAGCAAAUUUAGUUAUCCCAAUUCUUAAUUUUCAAUUGAAAAUGCUAAAGAAUUCCCCAUUGAGAGAGCAAAUAAUAAUAUGUUAAGCAUGACAAAUUUUAUUUAAAUUAAAAAGCUAAAAAUGAACGCAUCAACUCUUGCAAGAAUGGACUCAAAAGUUCAGCUAAUCAGCAUAAUUAAAUAGUACUGUUACUGUAAACUACUAGGAAAUUCAUGGGCAAAGCCAAAAUGUUAACAAUAGCAUUGAUUCGGUCAGGGGCUCUGGUGUAUAGAGAGGACCUUGCCGUUAGAAACAAUGGAGCCCACUAUUUAUUAAUCUAUUUCUAUUUACUACUUAUUAAUAUUUAUUUAUUUUUAUUUACUAUAUUUCUGUAUGUGAUACCUAAGUACCAAUAAAAUUUGAGAUUCCUUCAACUUUUUAGGUGCAUGGUCUAGUCUAAUGGCUGCAUGUACAAAAUCAAUUCAAGGGUGUGUAUCCUUAACUAUCAGGCUAACCUUUACAGGCUGAGCUAGCAAUCGAUAAUUAAUUUUUAAUGAAUUCAUUUUUUAUUUAAAAUAAGGAAAAGGACAUUGGAGAAUAUAUUGUUUCCUUCCUAUUAUAAUUGUUACACCUUACCAAAGGGCUAAUUUAGAAAAAGAUUAUAACUUAUAGGUCACCAGGGCCGAGGUUAACUUUUGAUUAAUUAUUUUUAUUAAAAUAAUAAUGUUUUGUUUUUUUAUAUUAAUUUGGCUAAUUUUUAUCAAAUCAAAUCACUAAAAACUUAAUCAAAUUAAAUUUCAUCGAAUCAAUAAUAUUUUAUGUAGUUGAAUUAAUAAUAUAUAUAUAUAUAUAUUUGAAAAUAAUUUAAAAAUGAUGUUUUCAUUAAUACCCAUUCUCAAUAUUGACCAAAUUCACAUGAAUUUAAUAAACUAGUUAUUAAAUUCAAAAAUGCAUAUUCAUGUAUAAUAUUUUAAUUUGUUUUUAAAUAAAGAAUAUUUUUAAAAAGUAUGUGCCACAAUACCAAAUUAUAGUAUAAAUUAAAAGAGAAAGGAGUUUUCCUUCAUCACUAUUCACUUAUAUUCAUUUCAUUAUGGAUAUUAAUAGUGAUUUUUUUGAAAAUUUCCAAUUUGGUACUCAAUUAUUUUUUUUCACAAUUGAGCUCUUAGUAACACGGUUGAGAUAAGAGAGGGACGUGGAAAUAGGAGAGGUUGAGGGAGGCAGAAACGGAAGUAGACAUUGAAAGAUCGGAGGAGAGUAAAGAUAAAAAAAAAAUAUGAAUAUGUGAUGCUCGUUUAUCUAUUUGAUUGGGAUUUUUUUUUGUCUCUUUUAUUUGGAAUUUCUUUGGACACUUUAAUAAUAUAAUAACAAAGAAAAUUAAAAUAUUGGUGAAAUUAUUGUUCAUUCAAUCACAGAUUUACCAAUAGUACUUUUAUUUGGACUACAAUAGUACUUUUUUUCUAUAUUUUAAGUUUUAGUUUUUGAUGGCCAUGCUCGUUUGUUUUUUUUUAAUUUUUUUUUCAUGCUCUUACAAAUAAUGCAGGAAAUGAGGACCUGAAAUCACGGCAGCGAAUAAGAAGAGAAAUAACGUGUUUGUUCUUAAGUAUUUUUUUAAAAAAUUACAUUAAAUUAAAUUUUAUUUUUAUUUCAAAUUAAUUUUUAAAAAACUAGCUUUACGAAAAAACAAAUGAUAGUAGAGUAGUUGUCCAAAUCAAAACACAUAAAUAUAGGACAAAAACAGGGAGAGAGGCUCUUCAUUUUUUUUAACUGUAUUGGUUUAAUAAGGUUUAUAUAGUAUUUUAUAAAUAUUUUGGAUAAAAAAUAGGUUAAAAACAAGUUUUUAAAUAAAAAAUCAAGCUUGUAACAUGGUGCAGAACAAACAGAAGAGACAUCUGGUUUCUCUUGACCAAAAUAAAGAAUAUAUCUAUAUAUACUCUCUCUUCCAAUUUCCUCUCCCAGCUGAAUUUUGGCGACCGCCCACACAACGAUAGCCUACACAACCACCAGCCAUGCCACCUUUCAAGACCCCAUCUCUCAAUCUCAAAACCAAAAACAACCCUUUCUCCAUUUAUCCGAACCUCAUAACUCCAGGAAAGUGAAGGACUAAACCAUAGUGGCAAAAAUCUUAAAGGGUUCUAAAUUGUCUCUGUUACUUUCCCUUAAUUUUCUAGACAAGCAAAAGGAGCUAAACUUAUUCCCGACCAAAACGUCAAGAAUUUCAGUGGAACAAAAGAAGAGAUCAUUACUUGACCAAAAACAACUAGUCAGCACCCAAAGAAACUGAGUGAAUGAGAGAAAAAGACUAAUAGCUAGAAAACAAUCAACAGAUCCAAGAAUUUUAUGUAUGGUUUCCAAGAAAAUGAAACGAAAUGAGCAGCACCACAACCCUCUUUCUCCUCCAAGAAAAGAAAGAAAAAGAAAGGAAAGAAACAAAGAAAGUCAAACUUGGCUCCUCUUUUAGUGUUAAAAAAAAAACAAAGAAGUUGAAGGAAGUGGGCAGCCUUUUUUCUGAUGUUCAUGUGGUGUUCUGCUGUUCACGCAGACUAAGAACUCCUACCAUCGUAAAAUCAUAUAAUUAAAACACAACAAUAAAAAAGUAAUAAGCAGCUAAUUAUGUGCGAAAAUCAGAGAAAUAAGGAAACAGAACGUGAGAGUGAGUCAUUGCAAGUAAAAGAGGCGCAGAGAGAAUGGGAAUAGGAAUUUCAUUACCUUAAAUUGAGAAAAUAUGUGCGAAAAGAACUGGUACUGAUUGCUCAAUGAAAUGGAGAAGGCCUUUAGCUCUGUAUGGAAUCCAGCUUCAAAAGCAACAACGCAAGGUAUAAGCAUUUUGAUGACAUACUUAAGAUACUAUGCGUAGUAAUAUAGAGACAGUGACGAAGAAAUAGAGAAAAAUAAUGUGUAAAAGAACUCACCUAGCAAAGAAAGAAACGAAUGAAAGGUUCAGAAUAAUCACUUAGACGCCUCCAUGGAUGAUAUACCAGCUCGCUUCCAACAACAAAUAUAAUUAACCUAAGCUGUGAUCGGUCAAUGUUUUUUUUAGUUUUCUUCUUUUUAAAAAAAAAAAAAAAAACAGAUCAUCAAGGGAAAAGACUUGCAAAGAAGUAAAAUUAAUGGAACGAACACAACAAAGGAUCAAACUCAAGUGAGGAGAGAAAAGAAGGAGAAAGAAAGGAAAGGGACAAGGAAGGAAGAAAGUAAGGUCACGUAGGGGCAGUCUUGUAGAAAGUUUGAAAAGUAGCAUGAAAGAAGAGGAUAAUAGAGUAGUUGUCAGAAUCAAAACACGUAAGUUUUUUUUUUUUUUAACUGUGUCUGAGUGCUUUUUAUAAUUAUAUUUAAUUUAAAAAAUAUUAAAUUAAUAUAUUUUUUAAUAUUUAUUGUUAUUUUAUAUAUAUAUAUAUAUUUAUUUAUUUAUUUUAAAUAAAAAAUAUUUUUUAAAAGUAUGUGUCACAAUACAAAAUUAUAGUAUAAAUUAAAAUAAAAAGUAGUUUUAUGCUCAUUACUAUUCACUGGACUUGUAGAUAUUAAUAAUAAAGUUUUUGAAAGUUUUCGAUCUAGUAUUUGAACUUAUUUUUUUUGCAUAAUUGUAUUUUUUAAGCUUAGUUGCAUAUUUUUUUAAGGAAAUAGGUUGAAUUGAGAAACAGAGAAACUCGGCAAAAAUAUGUGGUUCAAAUCAAUCCAUUUUUUUUUAAAAAAACUCCUUAGUUGUUCCAGGAAGAGGGCAGCCUUUCUUCUGCUGUUCAUGUGGUGUUCUGCUGUUCAUGCAGACUAAGAACUCCUACCAUUGCAAAAUCAUAUAUUUAAAAUACAAUAAUAAAAAUGUAAUACGCAGCUAAUUAAUGCUGUUGUUCUUUCUUCUUGUUUUGCUAUUUUGAUUUUAUUGUAUUUUAAAAAAAAAUUAUGAUUGUGAAAGCUAGCUAUCCAAAACAUUAGAUCAAAGCAAUCUAAGAGGGUUUUUUAGAGUGUGGUUAUCGUUGUUUUUUAAAGUGUUUUUAUUCAAAAAUACAUCAAAGUAAUAUUUUUUUAUUUUUUAAAAAUUAUUUUUGACAUUAGCGUAUCAAAAUUAUUUGAAAACACCAAAGAAAUACUAACUUAAAGUAAAGAAAAAAAUAAAAAAAAUUUAAAAAUACUUUUGAAACAUAAAAUCAAAUAAAGCCUUAGAAAUUAGUGUAUCUAUGCCCAGAGAUACCUUUUAUAACCUAACUUUUUUAAUAUAAUUUUUAUUUAAUUAUGCAAUAUAUUCAUAAAAAACACUCAAAAUAAAAUUAUAGACAAAUAUAUAUAUAUAUAUAUGAACAUCCAAAAAAGUUAUCGAUAGCUGUGUAAAUCAUUGAAAUUGCCACAAAAGCAACCCAAAUUAGUUAUGAAUUGGAUUCGAUGGAAGGAAGAGGGGAAAUGGGUAACGGCCAAUUAAAAGUUCAUUAAAAAAAAAUCUGGAACACAACAGAUGGAAAAAACUCGAAACAACUUGAAUUAUAGUAUAAAUUAAACUCGAAACUGGAAAAAAAAACUGGAACACAACAGACUCAUUAAAAGUCGACGUGUCUAGAAUUUAGGCAAGAAGAAUGAGCCAAGAUUUUAAUUGCAAUGAAAUUUAUCUCACUUUGUUCUUUUUUUAAAAAAAAUGAUACAAGAUAUACUGCUUGUUUUAAGUGAAACAGAAUGGAAUCGACAACUUUAAAGGGAGCAGAGACCACAUAUGUAUAGCUCAAAUUCAAUAGCUUUUCUCCCAUGCUGACAUGUGAUUUACACGCACCAACAUUUUUUUCUUCUUUAUUUUGUAAUAUUUCACAUCGGCAAGUAAGGAUUUGAUAGCUAACCUUAUUAGUAGUGUUAGUUGAUGACUUGUCAGACACGUUUUGAGGUCAUGCGUGAUCACCAAAAACAAAUCCGUGAGGGCGGUAAGGCCUAAAACGGACAAUAUCUGACAGGUUUGACCGGACUGUGACAUUUGGUAUCAGAGCUGACCUCACUGGCUAUCCAGUUGUGCUGACAGGGUCAUUAAACUCCUUAAAAGGGGUGAAUUGUAAUAUCUCACAUCAGUGGGUAAGGAUUUGGUAACUGGUCUUACUAGUAGUGCUGGUUGCUGACUUGUCAGAUGCGUUUUGGGGCCAUGCGUGGUCACCAAGAACAAAUAUGUGAGAGCAAUAAGGCCUAAAACGGACAAUAUGUUGUAGGUUGGGUCAAGCUGUGACAUAUUCAAUAAUUACUCUUCAAUUAAAUCCUAAGUCUCAUUUCAUCUUUUCAAUUUAAUCCCUAAUUUGACACCAACUCUUCAAUUAGACCCCAAACCUCAUCGCACCUGAGAAAAGCCCUCUUCUUUCAAUUUAGCCCUUUAUUAUCUUCAAUUUAAUAUCGAAUUUUAUUCGAUCCAAGCCCAAAAAAGGCUAAGCGAAGAUAGAAUAAAGGAAGGGAAAGAAAAUGAAUAAUUGCCCAACCGAGUUAACGUGUUCUGGUCUUUUCUCCAUGAUUCGGGUUGAACAUUUGACAUUUAUCCUUUUUUUCUAUAGUCUUUUCUCCUUGUUCGUUGUGACGCCGCACACUUGCGACAACCAGUAAAUCUAUAGUUAAUUUAAUUUUUUGAUAAAAGAUAAUACCAUCGGUAUAGAAUGGUUACCAACUGUUACUUUAACAUGCCUUGUAGCCAAUCGGUUAGUUGUACGAGGCAUUAUUAUAUUCAUGUAAAUACAUAUUUAUUAUUAAUAAAGGCUUAAUUUAACUUUAAUAUUCAUAUAAUAUUAGAUUAAUGAAUAUAGAGUAUAGAUAAAGUUUAUGAGACAAAAAUGCUUUGCAAAGGAAAUUAUAAAGUUGUUAUAAUUAUGAGAUUUGUAAUGCAUCAAAGUAUUGCUCAUAAAAUGUUUUUGGUCGAUGUUCUCUUAAAUACUGGAUAUUUAUUAGAGCCAUAAAGACUGAUACAUAUUAUGUUUUUUCCUUUAUGAAAUGAAGCAAUUGUUCUCAUAAGUUGAGUUAUAAGGGAUACCUAAAACUAAUAUGUAUGUGCUUGUCAUAAAACAUAUACACUGAAUUGACCCGCAUGAGAAUUCCAUAUGGAGAGAUUACCUAUGUCUAUGGAAAGACUCGCAUGACGGUUGUAUAUGUAAUCCUUAGACUUGAGAUCACUAAGUUAUCUUAUAUAGAGAUUGUUAUGCUUUGAUCCUGUUACAUGUUAUCUUAAUUGAGGUAACAAAAUGAUAGGCAUUAGGUAUAUCAUGAACUAUAUGAAGGUUUUCUUGAGUGAUCAAGAGAGGAUUUCAUCACCCUAUGUGAAUUAGGAAAAAUGUUCCAUCUGUUCUCAAAUAGUAUUGACUGAGAAAUCCUUAGCUAAGGAGGAAUGAGAUUUAAAAGGGGUUUCAAAUCUUAUUCAAAUGAUCAAUUACUAUUAUGUAGAGAAUGAACAUGAUUUAACAUGACAAACAUGCUUCAUGCUUUAAUGUUAAAUAAGAACAUUAAUGAUAAAAUGAUAUUAAUUAUAGUGAGAAACCAGUAAUUGAAAUCACUAAUGACUUUUCUAAUAUUUAGGGAAUCAUGACAAGUUACUAGACAAUGCACAUGAUCUUCAAAUUUUCAAUUCAAAUUUAUUUAAUUAUAAUUAUAAUUUAUAUUAGGAACCUAAUAGGUCAUACACAUUAAGAAUUAAACUGUGAUGAUUUAAUUAAGUAUAACUUGAUUAAAAUAUAUUUUAGAAAUUAAGGACUAUAAUAUAAUUAAUAUAAGGAUUAUAUUUCCAGAUCUAGAAAAAUCAGGUAAGGACUUGAUUGAGUUAAUUUAUAAAAUUAUCUUAAAUUAAUAUAUGGAUAUUAUUCAAGGGGGGAAAUUAAUAUUUUGUCAAUUUAUAGGAUUUUUCAGAUUUCCUUAUAAAUAGUAAGCUAUGCCUCUUAUUUUUUAGGAGUUAUCUGUUAGACAGAAAAACUACGUAUGUCACAGAAUAAAGAGAUAACACUCUAGGCAUAACAAUCCCUCUCUUCUAAAUAGGGACUUGUGAGAUUUUUCACCAGUGGUUCAUGUGGAUUACAAUUAAGAGACGGACAAUUGGACGACUUCUAGUUUGUAACAAUCCAAUCUUUAAAAAAUUAUUCAAAACUGAAAAUGAUCAAAUUUUCAGGUAAUAAAUCCCUAAACAACUCUAAAUCUGUUUAAUGAGAUUCUGGAGACUCCUUAAUAAUUUUAUUUUAUUGCUUUGGCUAAGUGUAUGCUAUUCUGCAAACCCAACACCAACUUCAUCGUGAGUUUAACAUUUCUUUUACAUGUUGGGAAUUUGGUACUAAUGGGUGUAUUUUUUUAAGUUGAAAUAAUGCCACACAAUCUAGGUUCAAGUGGUUCAUGAAUCAAAUAGUGGUUGUUAGACACUGCAAUUGGAUGGCUCCUAUUUGAUAUAUGAAGCUAUCCUAAGGGAAUCAUGCUUGUAUCACCUAUAAUAAUAAUAAUAAUAAUAAUAAUUAUUAUUAUUAUUAUUAUUAUUAUUAUUACAUAUUAACAAGCAUCAUUUGAUUAGUAAGUUUCCAAAUUCUAUCCACAAAUAUUAUAACCUCUUAAUUUAUGCAAGAAAUUAGCUAGAUUUCAUGCAAGCAAUCCCUAACUCUAGUAUUUUCUUUGUGUUAAAAAUGGAGACUUCUUGGUGUUAGCCGGAGCUUGGGUAUACCAUUUUUGAACAAAUAACAAGGUAAAAACAUCUUUUAACGAUAUUAAAAUCAUUUAUUCAUUUAAAGUAUCAAUAUUGUUAAAAAACAUCUUUUAACAACCAUUCUUCGCGUUUCACUUUUCUUCAAAUGUUUUCACCAAAACAAAGCUUCAGCCUUUAAAUUGUUGCUUAUAAAGUCGAGAUCCAAGGGAUUAUUUAAGAUUUUAUGGAAAUUACGUAUUUCAAAUAUUUUAUGUUUAUUUUUCUGAAAUAUCGUUUGAAGCAAAAAGCAAAAAAGAAUUAAAUUUUUUUUAAAUAUUUUUAAAACACAAAAACAACCAGAAUUUUUUUUUUUAUUUUUUAAAGAAUUGUUUUUAAAAAAUAAUUUUUUGUAUUCUAAAUUAAUUUUUUUUAUUGAUAUUAAAAAUAUAUAUUUUUUAAAAUAUUAUUUUAAUAUAUUUUUAAAUAAAAAAUAUUUUAAAAAACAUCUACUUAAAAAAUACUAUUUUUCUGAAAUAAUACUUUUCUCUAUAUUUUGAGUUUUAGUUUUUAAUAGCUAUGCUCGUUUAAUUUUUUUUUAUUUUAAUGUUUUUUCAUGCUCUUGCAAAUGAGGCACGAAAAGAGAACCUGAAAUCACGACAGCAAAUAAGAAGAGAAAUAGGUGUUUGUUUUUUAUUUUUUAAAGCAUUAUUUUUUAAAAUUAAAUUUUUGUAUUCUAAAUUAAUUUUUUUAUAUUUUUAUACUAAUAUUAAAAAUAAUUUUUAAAAAAUAAAAAAUAUUAUUUUAAUAUAUUUUUAAAUAAAAAAAUAUUUAAAAAAACAACUGUGUAUUCCAACACUUAAAAUAAAAAUCUUAAAAUCACAGCAUGAUAAAAGAAGAAAGAAAGGAAUGGGAUAAAGAAGAAAGAAUAAAAAAAACCCCCUAAAAUCACGGCAUGAUCAAAGGAGAAAGAAAAGGAUGGGACAAAGAAGGAAGAAAGUAAGGUCACGUAGGGGCUUGUCUUGUAGAAAAUUUGAGAAUUAGCAUGAAAAGAGGAUAAUAGAGUAGUUGUUAGAAUCAAAAGACAUAAACACGGGAGAGAGGCUGCCCCUUACCUCCUCCUGGGAAGGAAUAUAUGUCAGACUAUACAGCCUUUUUCAAUUCAUUAAUGUCGUUCUCUGUUUGUCUUCUAAAACCUACUCCCAUCAUAUACAUGUAUUAUUUUCUUAAAAUUGCUCUAUGGGAUUGCAGGCCAUGCUCGUUUGAUUAAAAAUUGCUCUAUGGGAAUUUGGUACUAAUGGAUGUAUUUUCUUAAGUUGAAAUAAUGUCACUGGGAUCAUGAAUCAAAUAGUGGUUGUUAUUUGACACCGUAAUUGGAUGGCUCAUAUUUGAUUUAUGAAGCUAUGCUAAGGGAAUCAUGCUUGUAUCACAUAUAAUAAUAAUAAUAAUAAUAAUAAUAAUAAUAAUAAUAAUAAUAAUAAUAUUUACAUAUUAACAAGCAUCAUUUGAUUAGUAAGUUUCCAAAUUCUAUCCACAAAUAUUAUAACCUCUUAAUUUAUGCAAGAACUUAGCUAGAUUUCAUGCAAGCAAUCCCUAACUCUAGUAUUUUCUGUGUUAAAAAUGGAGACUUCUUGGUGUUAGCCGGAGCUUGGGUAUACCAUUUUUGAACAAAUAACAAGGUAAAAACAUCUUUUAACGAUAUUAAAAUCAUUUAUUCAUUUAAAGUAUCAAUAUUGUCAUUUAUAGUGAAAUAUUUAAUUUUACUACAUUGAAAAUACGUUGACCAAUAGAAUCCCCGCCUUCAGCUAACCCCAAAUUUGUCUAUCAUCGUAUAAUAUUGAUCAUUACAUUAUGCGAUUUCCAGCUAGUGAUAGGAUUUUAAGGACAAGUUACCACAACAUUAUUAAAUUCACAUCCUACCGACCAUUAUGGCUGUCAUAGAAUAGCACAAAAAGAGGAUCUGAAAUCACGUGCAAAUAAGGAGAGAAAUACCAUGUUUGUUUUUUAUUUUUUAAAAUAUUGUUUUUUAAAAAUAAUUUUUUGUAUUUUAAAUUAAUUUUUUUAAUUUUUAUAUUAAUAUUAAAAAUAAUUUUUAAAAAAUAAAAAAUAUUUUAUAGUUACAUGAAGAUAAAAGAUAAUCUCAAAAGCUAAUAGAUGGUCGCCACGUGUUCAACUUUAUCUACCCACUAGGAAAGGAUAGAAAGUGGGAGAGAGAAAGGUUAAAAAGGCUUUAAAAAAAAAAAAAAAGGAAAAGACACGGUUGAGAUAAGAGGGGGGACGUGGAAAUAGAAGGAGAAACGGAAGGAGACAUAGAAAGAUCGGAGGAGAGUAAGAAAAAAAUAUAUGAAUAUGUGAUGUCCUAUUUCUCAUAAAAAUACUCUGUUGUUUUUUGGUCUUUUAUUUGAAAUUUCUUUGGACACUUUAAUAAUAUAAUAACAAAAAAAAUUAAAAUAUUGAUGAAAUUAUUAUUCAUUCAAACACUAAUUUACUAUGGACUACGAUAGUAUUUUUUCUUUAUUUAUAUUUUGAGUUUUAGUUUUUAAUAGCCUUUGAUUUUUUAAAAUCUUCGAGGACCUGAAAUUACGGCAACGAAUAAGGAGAGAAAUAGCAUGUUUGUUUUUUAUUUUUUAAAGUAUUAAAAAAAAUAUAUUUUUUAUUUUUAUAUUGAUAUUAAAAAUAAUUUUUAAAAAUAAAAAAUAUUAUUUUAAUAUAUUUUAAAUAAAAAAUAUUAAAAAAAAACCCACUUUAAAAACCUUAAAAUCACGGCAUGAUAAAAGGAGAAAGAAAGGAAUAGGACAAAGGAAGAAAGUGAACGGGAGAAAGGAAGAAAGUAAGGUCACGUAGGGGGGCCAGUAUUGUAGAAAAUAGGAGAUGAAAAUUAGUAUGAAAAAGAGGAUGAUAGAGUGGUUGUCCCAAUCAUAGUGGUUUUUAUAAUUAUAUUUAAUUUAUAUAAAUAUUAAAUUAAUAUAUUCUUAGUGUUUUAUAUGAUUUAAAAAAUGUUUUUAAAAGUAUGUAUCACAGUAUCAAAUUAUAAUAAAUUAAAAGAAAAUGGGUUUUAUGUUCAUUACCACUCACUUAGACUCAUUUAAUUAUGGACAAUAAUAGUGUCUCAUUUGAAAACUUUCAAUUUUAUACUUGAAAUUUUUUUCAUAAUUAAUCAUUUUUAAUUAAAAUUAGAUUCCAAUUGCAUAUUUUUUUUUUAAGGAGGAGAGUUGAAUUAAAAGACAGGGGACUGAAGUAAAAAACUCAGUUAAAAUAGAUGGCGGCUCUACAAUUUGUUUACAAAAUUUAUUUUAGUUUCUCAUCUUUUUAAGUUAUUAAAUAAUAAGUCCGCAUAAUUUUCCAACAUUGCAUUUUGAAUUUUUUAUAUUAUUAAUACUUUUUAUAUAUUUAUUUGAAAAUAAUUUUGAAAAUGAUGUUUUCAUUAAUACCCUUUUUCUAUGAUUUGUUUUUUGGCCUUAUGUAGUCUUUCUUUAAUUAUUUUUAAUUUUGUUGCUUUUGUUUAAUUUUUUAAGAUGUUAGUAAUAUUUAUCUGUAAAUAUUUUAUAUAUAUUUCAGAUAGAUUAAGUAUUUAAUUUUUAUAAUAAUUUGAACAUGUGUAGCCUUGCAUAGUUUUUUUUUUCCUUUUAUGAUAUUAAAAAAAAAUAUGUGUGUAUUGAUUUCUAUUAUAGAUUGAUUUUAGUAAACAAAUUCAUUAAAUAUAACUAGAUAAAUGAUCCAUGUUGUAAUAUUAAAUACUUUAUCUAUAUUUGUUUCUUAAUUUUUCCACUUGCAUUUUUAAUUAUCGGUAAUGACUUUAUUUUUUUCAUUUAUUUAUAUAAUUGUUUGUGAUUUAUUUAAUUUGAUGCGUGUAUAAGUUUUUUAAUUUAUAUUUAAAAAAUUUUUAAUGUAAAAAAACACGUUGAAGAAUUCUUAUUCUUAUGAUUUUAGCAUAAUUCUUAUUCUUAUGAUUUCUUAUUUUCUUUCUAACCCUUUUAUAAAACAAAAAAUUGUUUAUAGUUUUAUCCUUCAUUUCAACAUAAUGAUGUAUUUUUUCCUUAUAUAUAUUCUUGUUUGUUAUUAUUGCUUUUUUUUCUUUAUAUAAUUCAUAUAAAACCAGCUUAUUUAAUCGGUCAAGACUAAAUAAAUAAAAAAAAAAGAUAUACUAUGUCUUCCCAUUUCCUCUCCCUGGUGAAUUUUGGCGACCACCCACACACUGAUAGCCUAAACAACCACCAGCCAUGCCACUUUUCAAGAUCCCAUCUCUCAAUCUCAAAACCAGAAACAACCCUUUCUCAUAACUCCGGGAAAGUGAAGAACUAAACCAUAGUGGCAAAAAUCUUAAAGGGUCUAAAUUAUCUCUGUUACUUUCCCUCAAUUUUCUAGACAAGCAAAAGGAGCUAAACUUAUUCCCGACCAAAACGCCAAGAAUUUCAGUAGAACAAAAGAAGAGAUUGUUACUUGACCAUAAACAAUUAGUCCGCACCCAAAGAAACUGAGUGAAUGAGAGAAAAAGACUAAUAGCUAGAAAACAAUCAACAGAUCCAAGAAUUUUCUGUAUGGUUUCCAAGAAAAUGAAACGAAACGAGCAGCACAACCCUCUUUCCCCUCUAAGAAAAGAAAGAAGAAGAAAAAGAAAAAGAAAAAGAAAGGAAAGAAACAAAGAAGUUCGAGGAAAGAAAAAGUAAGAACGUUCAUUCCUUUAUAAACAUUGACUUUGAUUUUUCCUUUAUAAAACCAUAAACCUGCAAUUGUCCUACAAAUCAACAUGAAGACUUAUCAGAUCCUAAAGAAAAGCUGUCAAAAUCCUAUCAGAAAUUAAGGAAGAUGACGUUAACUUCAAAUCUGAGGAUUAAUUGUAGCAGAUCUUAUAGAGUUCAGCUGAUUGCUUUACUUGUUUAAAUAAUUCUCUUGUAAGCCUAAUGGUUCACGUCUUCCAUCAUUGCAACCUUUUUUUCUGUGAUUGAAAAAUCUAUAAUAGGAACCUGCACUUCAUCCCUUCUAUGCUGUUGUUCUUUCUUCUUGUUUUGCUAUUUUGAUUUUAUCAUAUUUUCUAUGAUGAAAGUUGAAGAAAACACCCCUUCUUUUGCAAUUAUUACCACUCCCCCCACGUGGCUACCCAUAAUUGGACUGUCAUCUCAGCUGUAUAAAUGUCUCGCUCAAGCCAAAAACAGAAACGCACAAAACCCCUCCCCCAACAGAGAAUCAAAUGAUAGCUAAAAUCAAAUAUUAUUAUUAUUAUUAUUAUUAUUGCCCCAACAACAAACAAUUAUUAUACAAUUAUUAUUAUUGCUGUUGUUAUUUUAGGUGCCACCUAGUCCUUUGCUAGGAACUUAACAUCCAAAAAUGCCUUCACUAAUCUUUUGCUCAUUUUCAAACCGAAGAGUCCUGUACUAACAAAAGCCUUUUUAUAGGAUGCUAUGUUUUCUUACCCACCUCACGAACAUGAUCAUGAACACGAGCCUAAGAUGACUCUCUUUUUACUUUCUUGAAUCAAUAAAAUAACCAGUGAGUCCUGUUCUUGCAUUCGACUAAAAAAGGUCUGCAAAAUUACAGUAAUUGCUUAUGAUGAUACGAACACAACAAAAGAUCAAACUCAAGCACUUAAAAGUAAUUGCUUAUGAUGAUCAUCUCACUAAGUAAGGAGAGAAAAGUAAGGAGAAACGGAAGGAGACAUAGACAGAUCGGAGGAGAGUAAGAAAAAAAUAUAUGAAUAUGUGAUGUCCUAUUUCUCAUAAAAAUUCUCUCUUUUAUUUGGAAUUUCUUUGGACAAAGGAAGAAAGUGAGGUCACGUUGGGGGGCCAGUAUUGUAGAAAAUAGGAGAUGAAAAUUAGUAUGAAAAAGAGGAUGAUAGAGUGGUUGUCCCAAUCAUAGUGGUUUUUAUAAUUAUAUUUAAUUUAUAGAAAUAUUAAAUUAAUAUAUUCUUAGUGUUUUAUAUGAUUUAUAGAAAAAGACUAAUAGCUAGAAAACAAUCAACAGAUCCAAGAAUUUUCUGUAUGGUUUCGAAGAAAAUGAAACGAAACGAGCAGCACAACCCUCUUUCUCCAAGAAAAGAAAGAAGAAGAAGAAGAAAAAGAAAAGGAAAGAAAAAAAACAAAGAAGUUCGAGGAAGUGUGCAGCCUUUGUUCUGCUGUUCACACAGACUAAGAACUCCUACCAUUGUAAAAUCAUAUAAUUAAAACACAACAAUAAAAAUGUAAUAAUCAGAUCUUAUAGCGUUCAGCUGAUUGCUUUACUUGUUUAAAUAAUUCUCUUGUAAGCCUAAUGGUUCACGUCUUCCAUCAUUGCAACCUUUUUUUCUGUGAUUGAAAAAUCUAUAAUAGGAACCUGCACUGCAUCCCUUCUAUGCUGUUGUUCUUUCUUCUUGUUUUGCUAUUUUGAUUUUAUCAUAUUUUCUAUGAUGAAAGUUGAAGAAAUUCUACUUCGAAACUCAAGACAAAGUCUCUCGGACUGCAUAUUAGUGGGUUGCUCAUUGGGAUUUCUAUAAACAACUGAUUCUAAUAUUGCACAGCAACAUUACGAAAAACUGAUUAUUUCACACAUAGUCUAAUAAAAGUAGAUUCCAUUGUCAAUUCCUUAACAUUUUCCAAACAAAUCCAUGCUCCUCAUUUUAUACUUUCUUGAGGGUUUCUAUUCUCUUAUUACCAAUUUCAGUGAGUUUCAUAAUAAGCUGCUUAGAAAGAAGCUAUCUAACAGGAGGGUGGGGCUACUCUUAGCCAAUGAAAACAGCUUCACAUGCUAUACAGCAACGUGAAAAAAAAUUCUCAGCCUGUUCUCUCUUUAAUGAACACCCUCUUGGAUUCUCUAGCAUUAGGCAACAAGGUAUCUGCUUGGAAUUACUUCCACCCAUCUGAAAAAAUAACAUACAAUCUAUUUAAUACACUUAACUAAAAAUGUAUUUUAUAACCCUAUAUAUUUUUUAACUAAACUAGUUAUUUUUUUCAAAAACCAAAAAAGUAAACAGUUUUUCAAAAAUCUAAUUCAUAAUAAAACAAAUAAUGAAACUUGAUAAUAAUUCACUAAAUAACCAUCAAUUAUUCAUCAAACCAAUCUGAAAAAGCUAAUAUUAAAGAUAGGAACAAAUCUAGAAUUUUAUCAUAUUUUUAAGGAUCAAAUUAUAAUUUUAUCAAAUUGGAGGACCAAACUAAAAAUAUCAUAAAUUCAUGACUAUACUGGAAUUCUGCCCAUAAUUCAUCCUAAAUUUUGCCCAGAAUCUCAAAUUAUGCUCCAAGGACCACUACAUAAUUUUAUCAAAUAUCUAGGGUCAAAUUGUAAUUUUAUCAAAUUGGAGGACCAAAGUGAAAAUAUCAUAAAUUCAUAACUAUACUGGAAUUCUGUCCAUAAUUUAACUUUAAUUCUAUCCAGAAUCUCGAAUUAUGCUCCAGGGACCAAUCUCUAAUUUUUCUAAAGUUCAGAAAUUAAACUGUAAUUUUCAUAAAUUGAGGGACCAAGCUGAAAUUUUAUAAUCUUCAACCUCAAACCCAGAAUUCACACAGAUAACCUAUUAAUAUAUCAAGAUUUCUAACUUAAAUUCACCAUUUAAAUAAACCAUAACUUAAAAUCAUUAUUUUUACCUAAAAUGUUUCAAAAUCAAUUAAAUAACUCAUUACCCAUAACAAUCGAUCCAUAAUUUUUCUGUAAUGUAAUUGUAAUUCCUAGCAUAAUGCAUAUUCGAGGGCAAGCACAACAAUUCAAGAGCAAAGAAACUUGAUGAAAUAGCAAAAGAAAAAGACAUGAAGGACUGAAAUAAAAUAAAACCAAAAAAGAGGGAUGAAAAAAGUAACCGCACUCUGGUUGCCAUCAAAAACAUAUAUAGUUCUUUUAGUAUUUUUUUUUAAAAUAAUAUUGUAAUAGGUCAAUCAUAUUACCCUGAGUGUGUGACACAGAGAUAAUCAUCAUAGAAAAUUACUUUUAAUUGCUUGAGUUUUAUCCUGAGAUGACAAACUUACCUUGUCCUACUAAUGCUUUUGCUUUCAUUGUUUCGAAAGUAAAAGAGACUUAAACAUAAUCAUUUCCUUCCUUUUACUUUCCACUUCUUUGUAAUAUUGGAUUGCAAACGGGAUGGUGCUUAGAGGGGCCACUUUUUCUUUUCCUUUCUUUUUAAAAUCUUAUGCCUUUGGGUGAGGAAAUUAGUGGAGCAUUAGACUUUUUAAAAGACAACAAAAAAAAGCGAUGUCUCAUCUUUUGAUAUGGUGGUACAAGAUACACCAUGGUAUGGUGGUCCUGCAAGAAAUGUCUUAGCUUUUGAUAUGGUGGUCUUCCAUGAUCAGUUUUCGAAAGAUUCGAGUCUCCGUUCUAGUUCGGGUUGGAAGCUAGGCCGAAAGCUAAGCUUCUUUUAAUUAUGAAUUGUUUAUGCAAAGGAAACCCAGAAGCUUGAACAAACAGAAAUGCCUUGUUGAUUUCUCUGCUACUACUCAUUAUUUCCAAUAUUAUUCCAUUAUCUUACCCGAAAGCAAUUAUACAAGAAAUUUCAUUAUCCUGCCCCAGAAGGCAAUUUAUUACAAGGACUUCCUUUAACCUCCUUGAAGGCAAUUUAUUUGAUGAAAAUUCCUUUAAUCCACCUCAAAGACAAUUUAUCUUAGGGAAUUCCAACAACCCAGGCAAUUUAUUUCUUAAUUUUAUAUUACUGUUUUCAUUAAUUUUAUUAAAGCUUAAUUUUAUAUUUUUUCUGCCCUUUUCUUUUAAAAAUGUUAUCUCCUUGGUAAGGAAUCCUUGGUUCCCAACAGCAACUGUAGCAUAGUUAAAGGUUGCGUUAAAAAAAUAUCAAAACUCCACCGAAAGUAGUGGAGCCUUAGAAUUUUUAAAAGACAAAACGGGGACAAGUGAGAGACGAAGAAAAAGACAAAAGCAAUUCCAUCUAUUGAUGUGGUGAUCCAAGAUACACCAUAACAUGGUGUUCUUCCAUGAAGUCUAAGAUGCACCGCCGUGUUGUUUCAUAUAUAUUUAUAUAUAUGAAAAUAAUAAAACUACCGUUUAAAACAACUCUGAAAACAAAAGUUUUAAUAAUUCAUAAUUUAUAAGCAAACAUCACUUAUAAGCAAAUAAUUAAUGAUGGUUAAACUAAUUCAUUGUUAGGCGGAUAUAUAUUAAGGUUGAGACCCAUCUAUCUAACACUAAUAACUAAUCACUGAUAAUAUUUAUGCAAAACUUGUAGCUUAGGAUGAACUCUCAGAGAUGUGGGCGAGGCAACUCAAAGUAGAAGGGAAGGGGUAACCUCUGAUAACAGAGAAAAUUGUAGAGUAAAUUGUAGAUGUGGACCGAAUUUUCUUAAAUUAACAACAGAAAUCUACAAUGAACAGUUCUCGAGAAGAAACUCAAGAAACGUAAUAAAGCUACAUGAUGACAUAAUAGGAACCUGCAUUGCCUUCAUUCUAUGAUGAAAGUUCAAGAAAUUUUACAUCGAAUCUCAAGACAAAGUCUCUCAGACUACAUAUUGCAAAGCAACUGAUUCUAUUGCAAAGCAACAUUACGAAAAAUUGAAUAUUUCACACUCAGUCUAAUAAAAGUAGAUUCCAUUGUCAAUUCCUCAACAUUUUCCAAACAAAUCCAUGCUCCUCAUUUUAUACUUUCUCUCUUAUUACCAACUUCAUUGAGUUUCAUAUAAGCAUAGUCAAUCACACAACUAAUAUGUGAAUUCACAAUUUCUUACCGAAAACAUUUUAUCAGUGCAAAUUAAUACAUAAUUUUACCUCUCCUCUUGGUGAAAACACAAAGACACAACCACCGAGCAGAUCUCUGGUAAUGGUCUCUACAAAUUCCCUACAGUUCCUAUUGCCAACAAACUCCUCUUGCCAUUCCCUAACUGCAUUGAGCCAGCUAAUCUGGAUGAAAGAAAGGACUUCCAGCCUUGGAAUUAGCAUUAUAGUCAUGGAACCUUAAAGCAGACCCAACUUUGUAGCUCAUUACCAGUUAAGUAAAAGUUAUCAAUAGCUGUGUAAAUCAUUGAAACUGCCACAAAAGCAACCCAAAUUAGUUAUGAAUUGGAUUCGAUAAGGGAAAGAGGGGAAGAGGGGAAGAGGGGAAAUGGGUAACGGAAAAUUAAAGAGAGAUGAAGAUCUGCGCAGGGCUACCUGUUUUGAGAAUUAUGGAUUUUUAUCCCUAACUCCAAAUUGCACCAAUUAUAAGUUCAUUAAAACAAAUCUGGAACAGAACAGAUGGAAAAAACUCGAAACAACUUGGCUAGAAUUUGGGCAAGAAAUUCAGAACGGCCAAGAUUUUAAGUGAGAUAAAAGUUAUCCCAUUUUGUUCUGUUUUUUUUUUUAAAUUAAUAUGAGAUAUACUAUCCAUUUCAAGCGGAACAUAAUGGAAUGAACAACCUUGCAUCGAAGACCUAAUUUUAGUGAAACUCAAGUUUAUUGUGUCAAAGAAAAUGUUCUAAAAAAAUGUUUUAAGCAUUAACAAAAUCUAGUUGGCCUAGGCAAUCCACUAUUGUUGCUGUUACCGUUGGUGCAUACUCAAUUACACCAUUGACAUAGUGCAACUGUUUUUCUUUCUUUCUUUCUUUCUUUUAAAAAAUCCAUGUUAUGUUUUUUAUUUGAAGCUUUUUUGUUAACAUCUUUCGCAAUUGGCCUUGGUAUUUUGUUUCCAUUUUCUCUAUGUUUCCUUCUUCUGUAGUUAGAAAACAUCAUGUCUUUGGGUUUGCGCUUGAUACCGCAAAAUUAAGGACACAAUAGUCAAAGAACACAAAAAAAUUUAUAAGUGAAGGGGGUUGCAGUUGUGAACCCUAAAAUUUACAAGUUUAUUUUCUUAAUAAUAAUAAUAAUAAUAAUAAUAAUAAUAAAGAAGUUUGCCUUCUUAGAAAGUUUACAAAGCCUUAAAUUGGUUAGGAACCUUACCUCAACAAGGAAACAAAAAAAAAAUCCAAAAUUAUAAAGGAAAGAAGCAUAAAAUCUAAAAUAAGCAAGAAAUUUGAAAAUAACAAAGAAAAUCACAAAAAACUAACAAAACCCGGGGCAUCAGUGAGAGUUUUGAUAUUUAAAGAUCCGAUGGUCUGUAUAAAAAUUUGAGCACAAUCCAAUAAUCGAAUAAAAAAUUCUGGCUCUUUUGAGCUGUUAUUCUUGUCUAGUACAACCAAACAUUCUCUUGGGCUUAAACCUGUUCUAUUGGUUCAUAAAUGCAUUUACUAGGCCAUCAACAUUAUUUGUCUGAGGCAAAUCCUCAUCUAGUUAUGGGAGACCCACAUCUGACUGCUUAGAAUCACUAGUUAUCGUAGGAUCGACUAUAUCAAAAUUGGUUGGUUUUUUGUUUUCAAAAAGAAUUAAAAUUUGAUGCAGAUGAAAGCUAAAAACACAAUAAUUAAAGAGCACAAAAAAUUUUAUGAGCAAAAGAGGCUGCAGAUGUGAACCUUCAAAUUCACAAGUUUAUUUUCUCUAAAAUAAUAAUAAUGAAGUUUGUUUUCUUAGGAGGUUUCCAAAGCUAUAAAAAUAUCAAGAAUCCUAUCUUAACUUGGAAAUAAAAAUACAAACUCAAAAUUACAAAGGAAAGAAGCAUAAAAUCUAAAAUAAGCAAGAAAUUAAAAAAUAACAAAGAAAAUCACAAAAAACUACCAAAACUAGAGGGCUUAACAAGAUUUUUGUUAUCUAAAGAUUCGAUGGUCCGCGUAAGAAUUUUAGCAUGAUCUAACGGUCGGAUAAGAAAUUAUGACCCUUUUGAGCUAUUAUUUUCGUUUAACGCGACCAAAUCUUUUUUUGGUCCUAUACUUAUCCUAUUAUUCCAUAAAUACAUCUCUAUGACCUAUCUUUUUUUUUCCUACUAUAGAUGGAGUUUGACCAUCAUCGUCAUAUGAUUUGACUUAGUUGUAUCGGUUUUCAAUCAGAUCAACUUUAUAUAUUAUGGGUUUACAUUUACUAUUUUUAAAAAAUGCUCAUUAUCGGUUUUCGAUCACCAUAAGUCCAUUGUUCACACCUCAAGUCCGUACCUGCAGCGGAUCGCAGGCAACGAAACUAUAGACUCGAGAGUAAACAUGCUACUAUAGUUAGCUAGUAAGGGUCCAGGUCAUUUGUUGUCUGGUUUCAAAUAGUGUUUCAACUCAUUUAAUAAAUGUAUACAUGGCUCAUAGUUGGAUUACUUGUGUUUUUGUUAUUUGUUCUUCCCAGUACUUGUACCAGAAGCUGCUCUCAUAUUUGAAGGAAUGCAAACAAUUGUUAAUAUGAAACUUAUGAUGCAUAGGAAAUUGCCAUUUUUCUCAUUUUUAAUUGGAAGAAAAAUCACACGUAUGUUUUUGUUAGAAAUAACUUCUUAUUUCAAUCAGAAGUGUGUCACUAAAUUGAUUUAUAAGUAAGUUUUUAAAUCGUGGAUUAUAUCUUACAUUAUAUUUUUUUAUUUACAAAAGUUUAUUUGAGUUAUUUUUAUUAAAAAUACUUAUAAUUUAAAAUUAUUUUAAUUCUUUUUUAUCAUAAAUUAUUUAUUAAAAACAACUUAGAUUAUCGCUUGAAAUAAAAAAAGAAAAAGAAAAAUUUCUCAGCCUGUUUUCUCUUUACUGAACAACCUCUUUGAUUCUCUAGCAUCUGCUUGGAAAAACCAUUCAACAAGGGAUUCUGCUAGGAAAACAUGCAAUUGUUCUUCUAUCUGAUAUCAGUUUCAAAAUUCUAAACAAAUAAUGCAACAAGUCACAUUUAUUACAAAAAAAGGUCACGUUUAUUCCAGACCUCAAGCUGCAUUGCCUAUUUCAAAACCACAAAGAGAACAUCAAACAGAACAACAAAUACCCAAGUCGUAGAGCCAUUAAUUUGAGCAUAAAGGAGAAUGAAAGUCCACGCAUUAAACAGUAGGCACACACAUGAGUAUACAUUAUGCCCUUGUUCUUGAAGAUUCAGACACUUCAAAAGAAAACUCACGCUCUUAUUUUUGGGAAGUUCUUCUAUGGUAAAUAAGACUGUUACAAUGUGAAGCCAAUUUGUAUCCCAUUGCCAGUGAAACAGUAGGAAUUACUUCCACCAAUCUAAAACAUAUUCGCAGCACCACAGCUCAAAGACAUGAAUCUCUGUGAAAUCACCUAAGGUCGAGUUGCUCAUGUAAUAGGCAACCAACCUGCCUAAUGCAAACAGAAGAACAAAGACCAUUCAUGCAUAUCCAUUAGCUGUUUAGCAUGUUUUUCAAAUUCCAAUGCCAAACUAAUCAUCCUACCCAUCAUCAUCAUCACCACCAUCUCCCUCCACCACCUUCCUUCAUCUCCUUCACCACAUACCACCCAUUAUUUCGGGUCCACGUUCUACAAGUGUUGAUUGGCGCAGAGCAACCAGUGCUUGAAUCCUCAGCUACUUCAGAUACCUGUAAUCCAAUCCAAGCAUGGCAUACACAUUUUAACUUCUAAAUCUUAUUAUUGAGUGAAACAAGAAACAAACACACAAAAAGAGAAGCAAGAAAUUAAGACAAUUCAGCAGCACCUCUGAUGGAGCUCUUAUUGAACCAUUUGGUGUAGUAGCAAAUUUUGUGAUCAGCUUUGGGCAUUCAAACACCUCGAACUUCUCUAAACGAGGGAAUAAGAAAUCAUAACAUCCGAGAUUGAAACAUACAAUACUUGAUAAUUGUUCUAGCAACAGCACCUGCAGAUUCGGGAGCUCCAUCACCUUCUCAACAUUGACAGGUAAAGCAUUCUCAUCCUGAAGCCAUGGCUACUGGAAAGAGACUCUUCAACAUGUUGCAUUUUCUGACAUCAAUUUCACAUAAAUUAGGGAAACAUAAAGAUUGAAGAUGAUCUCCUGGCAAUAUCUGAUCCUUUCCAUCAUCGUUAUCCCUAGCAAUGAUUUGCUCUAAUUCCUCACAACUUUCUAUGUUUAGAAAAUUCAGUUGAACUAAACUAGCAAUCAUGCUGUCUGAGAAUACAUGUGUUAGUCUUUUACACUUAUUCACCAUCAAAGUAGUCAAAUUACUCAGCACGAGACCCUUCCACAAACACCUCAUGCUUGUUUCAGGCAGGGACUUCAAUUUUAAUGUUUUCAAACUUGUUAACUCCUACAUCAGAAGACAACGAAGGCACUAAUUUGUUAGAUAUAAUUCCUAGUAUGUUUUGGUAAAUAGAUGAAUCAAUUAUCCCCAAUACUUAUCAACAAAAGGAUAUAUGUAGACAUGGCAAUAGACAACUCAAUAUUAGCAAAUGGAGGUUUAUCUUCCUGUCCAAAUACUUCCAUUAUUUGGGGGAAGAGCCUCAUUUUCACUCAAACUGGGAAAGCAUAAAUCUAGGUGUAGAAACACAAAUUUUCUACUAGUCAAAUUUCGCCAUGUGUUAUUUUAUUCUUUAAAAGAAAGGAUAAAAUAAAAUUGAAAUAAAUGACAUGAAAAAUAAAUGAGCCUUCAUAUAUUUCUUGGCCAAUGAAAAGUUGACACUUGGGAUGAGAUAUUCAAGAUAUCUUGUCAUAAAUACAAGAUCCCAUCAGAUAUCUUGUCAUAAAUGCAAGAUCCCGUCAAUAAAUAUCAACCAAUAAAAUUAUGCCAUGUGGCAUUGGAAAAGGACCUGAGAGCCCUUACAGAUCUCUAUAAAUAGAGGGCCUCAACCUAAAGGAAGGGGGAUUCCGGGAGAUACAAAUUUCCUUCAAGACAAGCUCUGCAAACAAGGAAGCUCUCGCUCUCUCUCUCUCUCUUCAAGCAAGGAAGCUCUCGCUCUCUCUCUCUCUUCAAGCAAGGAAGCUCUCUCAAAGAGUUCUCAAGCCUCCUUCAUCUACGCUUGAAGUCUACAAAGAACGAAGCUUUGUUGGAUCAAGCAUAAACGCCCCAUAAGAGUUCUUCAACAACACUUUGAAGACAAAUCAAAGGUACUCUUCAAAGCAUCAAAUUACCAAAUCUCGCUAAGCUCUGUUGGAUCAAGCCUAAACGCCCCAUAAGAGUUCUUCAGCAACACUUUGAAGACGAAUCAAAGGUACUCUUCAAAGCAUCAAAUCACCAAAUCUCACUUCGUAAUACACGCCCAAAUUCGCGUUCUUGCAAAGCACAAAUCUUGGCUUGAUUACUCAAAUAAAUCAAGUCACCAUACAUCAAAUUCAAGGGAAGAAUCAGAGGAUUGUCUUGUUCUUUUGAAAGAAUAUAUUACGUAGAGAUUGUACCCAUUCAUAUAUUUAAUAAAAUCAUAUAUUUGUACACGCGUGCUUGUUUAAUUUCAGGUGCUCAAAAUUAUGUCUACAAAUUUCUGGUGACUCCACUGGGGAAAUCUCUACCUCUCAUCUCUUCCCUUCAAGAAAGAAUUUUCAACAAACUCUCAAUGGCAACUAGGAGGAACAUGAUCACCAUUGUCACUUCGAAAAGCAACAAGGCCACUGAUUCAAGUCACCAACAUACUAUUGAAGAUUCUUCAACCCCGCCAUUGAAAACAAAAUCCAUCGUCGAGUUGUAUGAACAAACUAAGCCGACUCUCAAGUUGACAUCAACUUCGAAUGCAAGAGGGGCACAAGAUCUCGCCUCAAAGAUGAAGCCACAAGCAACUCCACUACAAGAGUCAAGUGGGGCGCGCGAAAUUCUCUUCGGCACUCAAGGCGACUUCGACAAUUCACCCAUGGAAACUUCUCCAUGUCAAUCACCAAGUAAGGCUUCGGGUUUUGGCACCAUGUCAGUGAUGAUGACCGAGACAACAUCUUUAGAGGAUCAAGUGGCUACCUUGACAAAACUCGUCGAGGGGCUUUCGACUUCACUCAAGGCAAAAGACCACGAGAUAGCAAAGUUGAUGAACAAGCUUGAGAGCAUGAACGAAGGAGGCCAAACCUUGGCUACCAAGGCUUUACAAGUAGAUCAAUUAGAUGUCAUUGAGGAUUCUACAAUCGGAGCUGCAAGGAAUAUACACGGUAUUACUGAUGGUAUUUUUACCAUGAAUCAACUGAAAGAACUUAUCAAGGAAGUCAUCACGGACCAAGUAGAAAGCUCAGUUCAACCCUCGUAUUCUUAUGUGAAGCCGUACACCCAACGAAUUGACCUGCUAAGGAUGCCUCCGAACUAUCAACCACCAAAGUUUCAACAAUUCGAUGGCAAGGGANNNNNNNNNNNNNNNNNNNNNNNNNNNNNNNNNNNNNNNNNNNNNNNNNNNNNNNNNNNNNNNNNNNNNNNNNNNNNNNNNNNNNNNNNNNNNNNNNNNNNNNNNNNNNNNNNNNNCACUGACUUAGAGUCUGGCUUGAUCGAUACUUGGGAGCAACUAGAGCGCGAGUUUCUUAACCGCUUUUACAGCACUCGUCGUGUGGUUAGCAUGAUUGAACUCACUAAUGCACGUCAAUGGAAGGAAGAGCUUGUCAUCGACUACAUUCAUCGGUGGAGAAACCUUAGCCUCAACUGUAGAGAUCGGCUCACCGAAACUUCUGCACUAGACAUGUGUAUUCAAGGGAUGCAUUGGGGACUACGCUAUAUUUUACAAGGUAUCAAACCAAAGUCUUUUGAAGAAUUGGCUACUCGAGCACACGACAUGGAACUUAGCAUUGCGGCGGUUGAAAGCUCAUCAUUACCUAUGCAAGAGCCAAUGAGAAAUAAGCUUGAAGGUCAUAGAUUUGAAAAGAGCACUGCAAAGGUCGAGGGAAAGCAAUCUUUAGUAGUUAACUCGACUACCACAAGGGUACCAACUGGAGUUAAGAGGAAUGAUCGGGCGACACCAGUUACUUUUCAAAAAGGUGAAAGAAAGAAACCAUCCCUGAAAAAGCGACAAGAAAAGGUGUAUCCAUUCCCCGACUCAGACAUAUCUAGGAUGUUGGAUGAUUUGCUUGAGGCAAAUAUCAUUGAGUUACCGGAGGUGAAACGCCCCGAUGAAGCAAACCAAAUGGACAAUCCAAACUAUUGCAAAUACCAUCGCUUGAUCAGACAUCCCGUAGAGAAGUGCUUUGUGCUGAAAGAUAAGAUCAUGAGGCUACACGAGAAUGGGGAUAUCGUUUUCGAUGAUGAAGUAGCAACCUCUAAUAUCACAACCAUGGUCAAUUUAGGACCACGCCAGUCACUCCCUACAAUAAGUUUUGGCUCCUUUGAACCUAUAGAGCUUGGAAUCAUUUUGCCUACGAGCUUCAUUGCAUCCUCAAGUCAAACUCCAUGUAUAACCCUCACACCUCAUGUUGACAACUCGAAACCUGAUUCAUCUGAAAAUUAUGAUGACGAAGGAUGGACUUUAGUCAUGCAUAGAAGAGGAAGGAAGAGGCACAUGCAGAUGACAAAGCCAACUAGAAUGAGGAUCUCGACGGUGAGGAAGCUAAUGGAGCCGACACGCCGAAAGAUUCAACGAAAGUCCAUACCAGUCAGAAAUGAGGGCUUUUCAACUCAAAGUCUAAGAAAGCCCGUUACACUGAAUGAGUACAUGCCAAUAGAAAUGAGAAGAAUUGAAAAUGUACUUGUUGCUUGCUAUCAUGUUGAUGAAGAGAAAACUCAUACUAAACCUGUCAUGAAGGAAAAUCAUGAUGACUCUUCAAACUUGUCUCACGGUGUAGGCACAACAGAGAUAUCCUUCAACAAUGAAGACUCGUUGCUUGGAUCAAAACUCUAUAAUCAGUCAUUGUUCAUUAAAGGAUAUGUUGAUGAAAAGAUGAUGAAUCGUAUCUUGGUGGAUGAUGGCUCGGCGGUCAAUAUACUACCUCUUAAGACUAUGAAAGAGCUAGGGAUUCCUAUAGAUGAACUCUUCUCAAGUCAUCUGAUGAUUUAAAGUUUUAAUCAAGGACGGCAAAACACCAUAGGAAAGAUAAGGCUUGCGAUACACAUGGAAGAUAUGAAGUUCAAUGCAUUUUUCCAUGUCAUAGAUGCCAAAACUACUUAUAAUAUGCUACUUGGACGACCAUGGAUACAUGAAAAUGGUAUCAUCUCCUCAACGCUCCACCAAUGUUUUAAGUAUUGUCAAGAUGGGGGCAACAAAUUCCUCUCCAAAUGGGAUUACCCUUAUAUGGUUCAAGAAGUCUACACCAACGGAGCUUACAAAAUUGUUGAUGAGAAUGGAUUGAGGAUUGGGCCUAUCAACGGCAAAUUCUUGAAAAGAUACUAUGCUUGAAAUCUGAUGUAGCUUCUGGCCCGCACGAGCUAAAACUAUGAAAGGCACAAAAAAAAACAAAAUUGAACUACGUUAUGACUUGAUCCUUUAUCCACAAAGGUACGUAGGCAACUCGGAAUUCAUUCUGAGUACAGUCACGCAAAAAAAAAAAUCUUUUGAACUACGUUGUGACUUGAUCCUUUAUCCACAAAGGUACGUAGGCAACUUAGAAGUUAUUCUAAGUACAGUCGCACAUCAUCCUUUAAAGCUAUUCGAGCCGAUAUGAUUGUUCGCAUGGAAAAAGAGGGAUAAGUAAACCUCACAACACAAUCAUAACAUAGAAAAUCAGGUGAUAAGACACAAGCGAAGACAAAAUAUAAACUUUAUUAAUAGAAAGAAGAAUUCUAUUACAUAAAGAAUGUAUUCUUAACAUAGAGUCAAUAAGCCAGUGUCACCAAAACAAAAAAAAUCCAAAGCAUGAGAAAUCAUCAGCAUACUCCGGCUAUGACCUUCUAAGCUCCUUUUGUUUGGUCUCCAAUAGUCCUUUUAAUUUUUGAAAAAUGAUUGCGUUGGCUUCAUUUACCACAGGAGAAAUAAAUAUUGUAUUGAUCUCUGCUCGAAUACUGGAGGUGGUGACUUUUCUCUUAGAAAACUCGACUGUCAACAGUUGAAUAGCCACAUAGGAGUGAAUUGGAUUUUGAUGACCCGGUUGGCUUUGUUGUGUCUGGGUGGAUGGCCGUUGCUGUCACCAAAGCUGUGAAGGAUGAGGCAUUCAAGGAGAAUAAAAUUGAUCCAUUAAACAAAGGCAUAGCCUGAGGAUGAGUUCCUCUGUAAGUUAUUCUGCCCCCAACAUGUGCAGGGAUUGGAAUCCGAUACGCGCCAUUUUGCAAAAUUGCCAAGUAUUUGAGUUUCAUUUCCUGGGAAGUUUGGGUAGUUGAAGUUCAUUGUUGUAGCGCCAGUUAUUGCUAAUGUCGUGGUGUUCAUUGAAGCAGAACUUUAGCUAUUUGAAGAAGCAACAUUGUCGNNNNNNNNNNNNNNNNNNNNNNNNNNNNNNNNNNNNNNNNNNNNNNNNNNNNNNNNNNNNNNNNNNNNNNNNNNNNNNNNNNNNNNNNNNNNNNNNNNNNNNNNNNNNNNNNNNNNNNNNNNNNNNNNNNNNNNNNNNNNNNNNNNNNNNNNNNNNNNNNNNNNNNNNNNNNNNNNNNNNNNNNNNNNNNNNNNNNNNNNNNNNNNNNNNNNNNNNNNNNNNNNNNNNNNNNNNNNNNNNNNNNNNNNNNNNNNNNNNNNNNNNNNNNNNNNNNNNNNNNNNNNNNNNNNNNNNNNNNNNNNNNNNNNNNNNNNNNNNNNNNNNNNNNNNNNNNNNNNNNNNNNNNNNNNNNNNNNNNNNNNNNNNNNNNNNNNNNNNNNNNNNNNNNNNNNNNNNNNNNNNNNNNNNNNNNNNNNNNNNNNNNNNNNNNNNNNNNNNNNNNNNNNNNNNNNNNNNNNNNNNNNNNNNNNNNNNNNNNNNNNNNNNNNNNNNNNNNNNNNNNNNNNNNNNNNNNNNNNNNNNNNNNNNNNNNNNNNNNNNNNNNNNNNNNNNNNNNNNNNNNNNNNNNNNNNNNNNNNNNNNNNNNNNNNNNNNNNNNNNNNNNNNNNNNNNNNNNNNNNNNNNNNNNNNNNNNNNNNNNNNNNNNNNNNNNNNNNNNNNNNNNNNNNNNNNNNNNNNNNNNNNNNNNNNNNNNNNNNNNNNNNNNNNNNNNNNNNNNNNNNNNNNNNNNNNNNNNNNNNNNNNNNNNNNNNNNNNNNNNNNNNNNNNNNNNNNNNNNNNNNNNNNNNNNNNNNNNNNNNNNNNNNNNNNNNNNNNNNNNNNNNNNNNNNNNNNNNNNNNNNNNNNNNNNNNNNNNNNNNNNNNNNNNNNNNNNNNNNNNNNNNNNNNNNNNNNNNNNNNNNNNNNNNNNNNNNNNNNNNNNNNNNNNNNNNNNNNNNNNNNNNNNNNNNNNNNNNNNNNNNNNNNNNNNNNNNNNNNNNNNNNNNNNNNNNNNNNNNNNNNNNNNNNNNNNNNNNNNNNNNNNNNNNNNNNNNNNNNNNNNNNNNNNNNNNNNNNNNNNNNNNNNNNNNNNNNNNNNNNNNNNNNNNNNNNNNNNNNNNNNNNNNNNNNNNNNNNNNNNNNNNNNNNNNNNNNNNNNNNNNNNNNNNNNNNNNNNNNNNNNNNNNNNNNNNNNNNNNNNNNNNNNNNNNNNNNNNNNNNNNNNNNNNNNNNNNNNNNNNNNNNNNNNNNNNNNNNNNNNNNNNNNNNNNNNNNNNNNNNNNNNNNNNNNNNNNNNNNNNNNNNNNNNNNNNNNNNNNNNNNNNNNNNNNNNNNNNNNNNNNNNNNNNNNNNNNNNNNNNNNNNNNNNNNNNNNNNNNNNNNNNNNNNNNNNNNNNNNNNNNNNNNNNNNNNNNNNNNNNNNNNNNNNNNNNNNNNNNNNNNNNNNNNNNNNNNNNNNNNNNNNNNNNNNNNNNNNNNNNNNNNNNNNNNNNNNNNNNNNNNNNNNNNNNNNNNNNNNNNNNNNNNNNNNNNNNNNNNNNNNNNNNNNNNNNNNNNNNNNNNNNNNNNNNNNNNNNNNNNNNNNNNNNNNNNNNNNNNNNNNNNNNNNNNNNNNNNNNNNNNNNNNNNNNNNNNNNNNNNNNNNNNNNNNNNNNNNNNNNNNNNNNNNNNNNNNNNNNNNNNNNNNNNNNNNNNNNNNNNNNNNNNNNNNNNNNNNNNNNNNNNNNNNNNNNNNNNNNNNNNNNNNNNNNNNNNNNNNNNNNNNNNNNNNNNNNNNNNNNNNNNNNNNNNNNNNNNNNNNNNNNNNNNNNNNNNNNNNNNNNNNNNNNNNNNNNNNNNNNNNNNNNNNNNNNNNNNNNNNNNNNNNNNNNNNNNNNNNNNNNNNNNNNNNNNNNNNNNNNNNNNNNNNNNNNNNNNNNNNNNNNNNNNNNNNNNNNNNNNNNNNNNNNNNNNNNNNNNNNNNNNNNNNNNNNNNNNNNNNNNNNNNNNNNNNNNNNNNNNNNNNNNNNNNNNNNNNNNNNNNNNNNNNNNNNNNNNNNNNNNNNNNNNNNNNNNNNNNNNNNNNNNNNNNNNNNNNNNNNNNNNNNNNNNNNNNNNNNNNNNNNNNNNNNNNNNNNNNNNNNNNNNNNNNNNNNNNNNNNNNNNNNNNNNNNNNNNNNNNNNNNNNNNNNNNNNNNNNNNNNNNNNNNNNNNNNNNNNNNNNNNNNNNNNNNNNNNNNNNNNNNNNNNNNNNNNNNNNNNNNNNNNNNNNNNNNNNNNNNNNNNNNNNNNNNNNNNNNNNNNNNNNNNNNNNNNNNNNNNNNNNNNNNNNNNNNNNNNNNNNNNNNNNNNNNNNNNNNNNNNNNNNNNNNNNNNNNNNNNNNNNNNNNNNNNNNNNNNNNNNNNNNNNNNNNNNNNNNNNNNNNNNNNNNNNNNNNNNNNNNNNNNNNNNNNNNNNNNNNNNNNNNNNNNNNNNNNNNNNNNNNNNNNNNNNNNNNNNNNNNNNNNNNNNNNNNNNNNNNNNNNNNNNNNNNNNNNNNNNNNNNNNNNNNNNNNNNNNNNNNNNNNNNNNNNNNNNNNNNNNNNNNNNNNNNNNNNNNNNNNNNNNNNNNNNNNNNNNNNNNNNNNNNNNNNNNNNNNNNNNNNNNNNNNNNNNNNNNNNNNNNNNNNNNNNNNNNNNNNNNNNNNNNNNNNNNNNNNNNNNNNNNNNNNNNNNNNNNNNNNNNNNNNNNNNNNNNNNNNNNNNNNNNNNNNNNNNNNNNNNNNNNNNNNNNNNNNNNNNNNNNNNNNNNNNNNNNNNNNNNNNNNNNNNNNNNNNNNNNNNNNNNNNNNNNNNNNNNNNNNNNNNNNNNNNNNNNNNNNNNNNNNNNNNNNNNNNNNNNNNNNNNNNNNNNNNNNNNNNNNNNNNNNNNNNNNNNNNNNNNNNNNNNNNNNNNNNNNNNNNNNNNNNNNNNNNNNNNNNNNNNNNNNNNNNNNNNNNNNNNNNNNNNNNNNNNNNNNNNNNNNNNNNNNNNNNNNNNNNNNNNNNNNNNNNNNNNNNNNNNNNNNNNNNNNNNNNNNNNNNNNNNNNNNNNNNNNNNNNNNNNNNNNNNNNNNNNNNNNNNNNNNNNNNNNNNNNNNNNNNNNNNNNNNNNNNNNNNNNNNNNNNNNNNNNNNNNNNNNNNNNNNNNNNNNNNNNNNNNNNNNNNNNNNNNNNNNNNNNNNNNNNNNNNNNNNNNNNNNNNNNNNNNNNNNNNNNNNNNNNNNNNNNNNNNNNNNNNNNNNNNNNNNNNNNNNNNNNNNNNNNNNNNNNNNNNNNNNNNNNNNNNNNNNNNNNNNNNNNNNNNNNNNNNNNNNNNNNNNNNNNNNNNNNNNNNNNNNNNNNNNNNNNNNNNNNNNNNNNNNNNNNNNNNNNNNNNNNNNNNNNNNNNNNNNNNNNNNNNNNNNNNNNNNNNNNNNNNNNNNNNNNNNNNNNNNNNNNNNNNNNNNNNNNNNNNNNNNNNNNNNNNNNNNNNNNNNNNNNNNNNNNNNNNNNNNNNNNNNNNNNNNNNNNNNNNNNNNNNNNNNNNNNNNNNNNNNNNNNNNNNNNNNNNNNNNNNNNNNNNNNNNNNNNNNNNNNNNNNNNNNNNNNNNNNNNNNNNNNNNNNNNNNNNNNNNNNNNNNNNNNNNNNNNNNNNNNNNNNNNNNNNNNNNNNNNNNNNNNNNNNNNNNNNNNNNNNNNNNNNNNNNNNNNNNNNNNNNNNNNNNNNNNNNNNNNNNNNNNNNNNNNNNNNNNNNNNNNNNNNNNNNNNNNNNNNNNNNNNNNNNNNNNNNNNNNNNNNNNNNNNNNNNNNNNNNNNUAGCAUAUCAGGAAGACAAGUGGAAGAAAGCAAUGAAGGAGGAGAUCAAUUCCAUUCAGAAGAACAAUACAUGGGAACUGACAACACUUCCUGAAGGUCACAAUGCAAUCGGAGUAAAAUGGAUCUUCAAGACAAAGAAGAAUGCUGAAGGAGAAAUUGAAAAACAUAAAGCCAGAUUAGUUGCAAAAGGGUACAAGCAACAAUAUGGAGUAGAUUAUGAAGAUGUUUUUGCUCCAGUAGCAAGAAUUGAAACUGUGAGAUUGGUGAUUUCAUUGGCUGCUCAGAAACAAUGGAAGAUAUUUCAGAUGGACGUAAAAUCAGCAUUCUUGAAUGGCAAUCUUGAAGAGGAAGUAUAUGUUGAGCAACCAGCUGGCUUUGUAGUACAAGGAGAAGAAGAAAAGGUGUGCAGAUUGAAGAAAGCCCUUUACGGACUCAAACAAGCACCAAGAGCAUGGAACUCAAGAAUUGAUGGCUAUCUUUCUCAGAAGGGGUUUACAAAAUGCCCGUAUGAACAUGCAUUAUAUGUGAAGAAAAACUUGCAUGGUAGAAUAAUGUUUGUUUGUUUAUACGUGGAUGAUAUUCUGUUCACAGGGGAUGAUCCUACAAUGAUUCAAGAUUUCAAGCAAUCCAUGGUAAAGGAAUUUGAGAUGACAAACUUAGGUCUUCUAGCAUAUUUUCUGGGAUUAGAAGUGAAGCAAUGCAGUAAUGGAAUUUUCGUUUCUCAAGCCAAGUAUGCAACAGAAGUGUUAAAGAAAUUUGCUAUGGAAGAUUGUGAUCCAGCAGACAAUCCAGUUGAGUAUGGAACGAGGUUAACUAAAGAAGGAGAAGGAGAUUUAGUUAAUCCUACAUAUUACAAAAGUAUUGUGGGGUGUUUGCGUUAUCUAACUUGUACCAGACCAGACAUUCUGUUUGGAGUUGGUUUAGUUAGCAGAUACAUGGAGAGACCAAGGAGUUCACAUUUGAAGGCAGCAAAGAGGAUCCUUCGGUUUAUUAAAGGAACAUUAAACUAUGGAUUAUGUUAUUCAUCAUCACAGAAUUUCCAAAUCACAGGUUAUAGUGAUAGUGAUUGGGCAGGAAGCUUGGAAGACAGGAAAAGCACAACUGGAUUCAUAUUUUUCAUGGGAGAAACAGCAUUCACAUGGACAUCCAAGAAACAAUCUAUUGUUGCAUUAUCCACAUGUGAAGCAGAAUACAUUGCUGCUGCAUCAUGUGUGUGUCAUGCAAUAUGGCUAAGGAAAUUGAUGGAAGAUCUGCAACAGAAACAGAGUGAAGCCACAAAAAUUUUCGUUGAUAACAAGUCUGCUAUAGCUCUUGCAAAGAAUCCAGUGCAUCAUGAACGUUCAAAGCAUAUUGAUACUCGAUUUCAUUUUAUUAGAGAGCACAUAAAAGAAGGCGAUGUGGAGUUAGUUCAUGUCAACACUCAUGAACAGAUUGCUGAUAUUUUUACAAAGCCAUUGAAGACUGAAGUUUUUUGUUAUCUGCAGAAGAAGCUUGGAAUCGUGAAGAUUGAUGAAACAAGUUUAAGAGGGGUGAAUGUUAGUUAUUAAACUUAUUUAUCAAGAUUAGUAUUGAAGAGUUGCAUCUAUUAGUAUUAAAGAGUCAUAACUAUUAGUAUUGAAGAGUUGCAUCUAUUAGUAUUAAAGAGUCAUAACUAUUAGUAUUGAAGAGUUACAUGUAUUAGUAUUGAAGAGUCACAACUAUUAAUGUUUAUAUAUUGUAUGAAUCUCAUAAUGAAAAAGUGUGAGAGUACCAUUUUCAUAUGUAUUGUAUUCUACCAAAUUAGAGAGUGUGCAACCUAAAUCCUUUUCAAUUCUAUUCUCUAUUUCUGCCAAAUUUCCAACAUGAUGUUCACGUUACAAGCGUCCCAAGUUCUCCGGCAGCAAAUUUUCAAUAGUGCAGCUGUUAAGAGCAACGUCAUUACAAAGAAUAAUUGUAUGCUAGGCAUGGGAAACGAGCAGUCAAAUCGCUUAGAAAGCUUGAGAAUAUCCAUGAGGAAAGCAGGAGAUGAGGUCAAGGGAGCUUCUUUGGCUAGCGAUGCAUUCUUUCUUAUUGCUUGGAACGAUACAGUGGAGAAGGUAUGUGAAGUUAGCAUUGGUGUUGUUGCAGAGCAUGGUGGUAGCAUCAGGAAUAAGGACACCAUAAAAUGCUGCAACAAUAUACGAAAAAAAAAAGAAAAAAAAAAAGAGGGAGAGAGAGACCCCCAUGCAUACCUGCUAAGACUGGUGGAGGCUGUGCUGAUAGUAAAAGGAGAGGGAGGAGUCGUGCCAGUUAUAACAGAAAGAAAGGAAAUGCAGUGUUCUUUUAGUCGGAAAAACUGCAAAAGGUGAUGAAUAGAUACUAGUCUCGUGGUGAACUGCAGAAACCGCGAUGUUGAUUAUAAAGUUCUCAAUAUUCUUGAAGUCACGCAACAAAUCAUCUCGAUACUUCAAUAGGAGUGGUUAAUACAACUAAAUGUGGCGUGAUAUCAGCUGCUUUGAACCAGAUUUUGAGGAAAUGCAGAAAAUACAUUAGGGAACUCGGUGGCCAUAGAUGAUGAUGAUGAAAUGUGGUCUGAAUAAACACUUCCUUUACUAGUUGCUGGUGUUUUACUACGAGUGGAAGCUGCAACUAUAACUGCAAAUUGUCACUGCUUUUAAAGCUGAAGGAUUUGUUGACUCUGCGGCUACUGUUACAACAACUCCGUGGUAAUUCAAUGAGAAGAUGAAAGUGAGCCCAUACAAAAUAUUACGAUGAUCAUCAGGGGGGGCAGGUCUUGCUGAAGCAAAAUCUGCAAAGACACAAAUAAAAAAAAAGAUUAUUAGCAUCGUUUGAUCCUUGGAGGUUUGUGCCGGAUGGGACCAAGGAGAAGUUUGAUGGCAAUGGAUCUGAUGCAAUUGGAAUUAAGGGUCACAGCUCUGCUCCAGUCGACAUUGAUGGUCAAUAAAUCUGAUGCUAUUGACAUUGAUAAAGACUUGGUUGGUGAUGAAAAGGACAUUGAAAUAGCUGCAGUAAUGGUUUGGUUUCCAAUAAAGAAGAUCCCUUGAUGGAACAGUCCACCAUGGGAGUAUACUUGGCCAAUCACUUCAGACCUUCAAUGAGCUUUGGGAGGUUGGAUACCACCUAGCAGUGAACAGCCACACGCAUAAUCGAAGAUAUAUAGAGAUAGCAGCAAGAAUAGGGUGGGCACCUUCCUUCUCGUUUUUGCAGUUGUAAUAAAACAAAAAAUAAAUAAAUAAAGGGAGAUAUGCAUACCUGGACUGCUGGUGGAGGCUGCGUUGAAGGAACCAGGAUUAUUAAAACAACACAGAACGACCGCAACUUAUUGAAUGGAAAUAAUAUGGCUGAUUCCUUUGAGAAGUAGCAACCUGUUGGUGCUAAAGAAGAAGAGAAUGACGAACGCCUCCUAAGAUUGAUUGCCUGGCUUAUUGGAGGCCGAACUGUCUGUAAAAAAAUAGAAGGGACAGUAUGGUUUUUAUAGCCGCUUACUCUGAUGAGAGUACUCUUGCUUAAUUAACAUAAUCAAAAGCUAGCGAACUUUUCCUAGUUGAAGAAAAUUUUCCUAGUUCAAUUAAGCGAAGUCGGCUACCAGUACUGGAAAUUCUUUUGCUGCCUUAAUAAUUCAUUCACGUUGGACAAUUCAUUCAGGAAACAAAGGAUGCACAUGGUAAAGCCAAAAGAAAAGGAAACAACAAAUUUCCUAUACUGUUGAGAAGGAAUUAUAUAGGAAAGAGCAUUUGAACGGGAAUGAAGCAAAUAAUUCAUCAAACAAUGAGUGCACACAUAUCAAGAGAAGAAAGAGAAUAUGAAUCAAAAUCUUUAAUAUGUGAUAAUUCAUUAACCGCUACUCGGAAUCAUAAACGGAUUGCAUCAUUGGAUUCAGAACAACGAGAUCUUUAAAACAAGAUGUUACAGUGACCACGUCCAGUUAAAAACAAAAAAAAUUUCUGCAGCCUGGUCAAAGUGUUAGUUGCUAUUCGGGUAUAAAGAUAAAUUUUGUUUGUUCCUGAAUAUGCAACAGUUUGAAAUGAGGUAUUAGACCUGAAUAUUCUAUCAUUUGAUUUGAUAAAUCUCAAUCAAGAUUGAUCCAUAAAUUUUCAAUUUUGAUUAUCAUAUUUUAUUUUUACAAUAAAAUUUAUCUGCUUGUUGCGAAAAUCUAAUAUGAUCAAAUCAAAUUUUAGUCGNNNNNNNNNNNNNNNNNNNNNNNNNNNNNNNNNNNNNNNNNNNNNNNNNNNNNNNNNNNNNNNNNNNNNNNNNNNNNNNNNNNNNNNNNNNNNNNNNNNNGAUCAAUCAAUUUUAGUCGAAAUAUAAAACUUUCUCAGCUAUUUUUUUCGAGACAUGCCCACUUGUUUCUAAAGUAAGUGAACUUGUCUCGAGGGGGCAUCUGUAGAAACACAAAUUUUCUACCAGUCAAAUUUCGCCAUGUGUUAUUUUAUUCUUUAAAAGAAAGGAUAAAAUAAAAUUGAAAUAAAUGACAUGGAAAAUAAAUGAGCCUUCAUAUAUUUCUUGGCCAAUGAAAAGUUGACACUUGGGAUGAGAUAUUCAAGAUAUCUUGUCAUAAAUACAAGAUCCCAUCAGAUAUCUUGUCAUAAAUGCAAGAUCCCGUCAAUAAAUAUCAACCAAUAAAAUUAUGCCAUGUGGCAUUGGAAAAGGACCUGAGAGCCCUUACAGAUCUCUAUAAAUAGAGGGCCUCAACCUAAAGGAAGGGGGAUUCCGGGAGAUACAAAUUUCCUUCAAGACAAGCUCUGCAAACAAGGAAGCUCUCGCUCUCUCUCUCUCUUCAAGCAAGGAAGCUCUCUCAAAGAGUUCUCAAGCCUCCUUCAUCUACGCUUGAAGUCUACAAAGAACGAAGCUCUGUUGGAUCAAGCCUAAACGCCCCAUAAGAGUUCUUCAACAACACUUUGAAGACAAAUCAAAGGUACUCUUCAAAGCAUCAAAUUACCAAAUCUCGCUAAGCUCUGUUGGAUCAAGCCUAAACGCCCCAUAAGAGUUCUUCAGCAACACUUUGAAGACGAAUCAAAGGUACUCUUCAAAGCAUCAAAUCACCAAAUCUCGCUUCGUAAUACACGCCCAAAUUCGCGUUCUUGCAAAGCACAAAUCUUGGCUUGAUUACUCAAAUAAAUCAAGUCACCAUACAUCAAAUCCAAGGGAAGAAUCAGAGGAUUGUCUUGUUCUUUUGAAAGAAUAUAUUACGUAGAGAUUGUACCCAUUCAUAUAUUUAAUAAAAUCAUAUAUUUGUACACGCGUGCUUGUUUAAUUUCAGGUGCUCAAAAUUGUGUCUACACUAGGUAUCAUUUCAUUACAAUAAUUAAUCUCUUACUUCUUAAGCCCUGCAUCAAGAGACAGGGAAUGACACAGUUAGACAACUCCUUUUAAAUUUAGUGGAUGGCUAAAGGAUUUAUCUCCACUUAUCAAUUACUUCAGUUUCAGAAAUGUGGAGGAAGAAAUCACAAUGUAUUGAAGUUGACAACCAGAAGCCCAAAAGAAAACAAUUUUGACGAAUACCCACCAAACAGUUGAAGUGCUGCUGUAACUGAGAUUUUUUAUUAUAUGUAUUUUUUGUGGUCCAAUGGAAAAAUAUUUUUAUUUUCUUUUAUUUUAUCAGCUUAAUUUCGCAUGUGGAAUAUUGAGUUUUCUGUUGUUUUUUCAGACACAGAAUUGAAUCCUUUAUACAUUCUUAAAACCAAAUUUGAAUUCUAAGUUCCUAAAUGAAGGAAUAAUAAAGAUUGUUGCAUGUACAAAUUCUCCUUAAAAAAUUAAAAAAUAAUAAAGUAUUUAUUAAAAUUAAUUAUAACUUAGCCCUGUAAUUUAUUAAAAUUAAUUAUUUAGUCUUUAAGUAUCAUGGAUAAUUAAAAAAUCUAUUAACUAGUGUUGACCACCCUCCAUUUACUAUAUUUUUCUCUUAAAAUGCCUUCCUUCCUAAUGAAAUUUCCCCAAUGCUUUCUUUUCUUAUCUAUUUUUUCAGAUGAGAAAACUUAAAUGCAUAGGUUUUUUUGCAAUGAANNNNNNNNNNNNNNNNNNNNNNNNNNNNNNNNNNNNNNNNNNNNNNNNNNNNNNNNNNNNNNNNNNNNNNNNNNNNNNNNNNNNNNNNNNNNNNNNNNNNNNNNNNNNNNNNNNNNNNNNNNNNNNNNNNNNNNNNNNNNNNNNNNNNNNNNNNNNNNNNNNNNNNNNNNNNNNNNNNNNNNNNNNNNNNNNNNNNNNNNNNNNNNNNNNNNNNNNNNNNNNNNNNNNNNNNNNNNNNNNNNNNNNNNNNNNNNNNNNNNNNNNNNNNNNNNNNNNNNNNNNNNNNNNNNNNNNNNNNNNNNNNNNNNNNNNNNNNNNNNNNNNNNNNNNNNNNNNNNNNNNNNNNNNNNNNNNNNNNNNNNNNNNNNNNNNNNNNNNNNNNNNNNNNNNNNNNNNNNNNNNNNNNNNNNNNNNNNNNNNNNNNNNNNNNNNNNNNNNNNNNNNNNNNNNNNNNNNNNNNNNNNNNNNNNNNNNNNNNNNNNNNNNNNNNNNNNNNNNNNNNNNNNNNNNNNNNNNNNNNNNNNNNNNNNNNNNNNNNNNNNNNNNNNNNNNNNNNNNNNNNNNNNNNNNNNNNNNNNNNNNNNNNNNNNNNNNNNNNNNNNNNNNNNNNNNNNNNNNNNNNNNNNNNNNNNNNNNNNNNNNNNNNNNNNNNNNNNNNNNNNNNNNNNNNNNNNNNNNNNNNNNNNNNNNNNNNNNNNNNNNNNNNNNNNNNNNNNNNNNNNNNNNNNNNNNNNNNNNNNNNNNNNNNNNNNNNNNNNNNNNNNNNNNNNNNNNNNNNNNNNNNNNNNNNNNNNNNNNNNNNNNNNNNNNNNNNNNNNNNNNNNNNNNNNNNNNNNNNNNNNNNNNNNNNNNNNNNNNNNNNNNNNNNNNNNNNNNNNNNNNNNNNNNNNNNNNNNNNNNNNNNNNNNNNNNNNNNNNNNNNNNNNNNNNNNNNNNNNNNNNNNNNNNNNNNNNNNNNNNNNNNNNNNNNNNNNNNNNNNNNNNNNNNNNNNNNNNNNNNNNNNNNNNNNNNNNNNNNNNNNNNNNNNNNNNNNNNNNNNNNNNNNNNNNNNNNNNNNNNNNNNNNNNNNNNNNNNNNNNNNNNNNNNNNNNNNNNNNNNNNNNNNNNNNNNNNNNNNNNNNNNNNNNNNNNNNNNNNNNNNNNNNNNNNNNNNNNNNNNNNNNNNNNNNNNNNNNNNNNNNNNNNNNNNNNNNNNNNNNNNNNNNNNNNNNNNNNNNNNNNNNNNNNNNNNNNNNNNNNNNNNNNNNNNNNNNNNNNNNNNNNNNNNNNNNNNNNNNNNNNNNNNNNNNNNNNNNNNNNNNNNNNNNNNNNNNNNNNNNNNNAUUAUAGUUCAAAGCUACCAGAUUAGGCAUAUAGCUUAUGAAGGGUUUGUAAGCAGCAAACAAUUAAAAUUAGAAAUCAGAGGAACAUUUAGAGGAUAGAAUAUUUAGAAUCUCUAGCAAUAGCCAGCAAUGUAUCUGCUCGAAAAAACCAUUAAACAUGAGAUUGUUCUGCUAGAAAAACAUGAGAUUGCUCUGCUAUUUGAUAUCAGUUUCAAACUUCUGAACAAAUAAUACAGCAUCAAGUCUCAGUCAUCACAUGCCCAUACAAAAACAUUUAUUCCAGAUCUCAAGCUGCAUUGCCAAGCCCGUUUCCAAAACCACAUAAGCAUAUGCAAUAGAAACAGAGCAUCAAACUGACUGAGAAAGCAUGAGAAUGAAAAUCCACACAUUAAACAAGAGUAAACAUUAUGCCUUUAUUUUUGAAAGGUUCACACACUUCAAAACAAACACGAAUGGGCAAGCAACAUUCGCCCUUACUUCUGGAGGCUUGUACGAUAAUGGGCAAGCAACAUUAUUUUUUUGAGGUUCGCACAGUAAUGACUAAACACACAACAUUACAUUACAUGGGUAAACAAGCAGAUAACCUUAUUCACACAUAUAUAGAUAAGUCGUUAUCUUCUUUUGAAAUCACACAUAGCAGAUAACCAAACGAGGGAAUAAGAAAUCACAGCAUCCGAAACUGAAGCAGACAAUACUUGAUAAUUGUUUUAGCGACAGCUUCUUUAGAUUAGGAAGCACCAUCUCCUUCUCAACGUUGACAGGUGAUACAUGAUCAUCCUGCCCAAACACUCCCAAUAAUUGAGAGGCUUUUGUUACUCUAAGUAUUUGGAGCUAUGAGAGACCUGAAGCCAUGGUAACUGGGAAGAGGCUCUUCAACAUGUUACAUUCUCCAAUCUCAAUUUCACACAAAUUGGGAAUGCAUAAAGAUUGGAGAUGAUCUCCUAACAAUAUCUGGUCGUUUUCAUCAUCAUCCUUAGCAAUGAUUCGCUUGAAUUCCUCACAGGACAGUAUCUUUAGAACUUUCAGUUGAACUAGACUGACAAUCAUGCUGCAUGUGAAUACCAGUGUCAGUCUCUUACACUCAACCACCUCCAAAGUAGUCAAUUUGCUCAGCACGAGACCCUUCCAUAUACACCUCAUGUCAGGCAGGGAUUCCAAGCAUAAUUUUUCCAAAUUUGUCAACCCCUGCAUCAAAAGAAAACAAGGAUACCAAUUUGUUAGAUAUAAUUCCUAAUAAAUUUUGUGCACUUUGGAACUAUAUAAUUUUGGUAAAUAGAUGAACGAAUUGUCCCCACUAGUUAAGCCAAAAACUUAUCAACAACAGGAUAUGAGUAGACAUGGCAAUAGGGCAUGAAAAGUUGCAGGACUGAAACAAACAUUGGAGAAAUAUAAAGGACGUACUUGGAGCUGCGCAAACAAAUUUCCCAAUUCUUUGUGGCCAUCAAUGUUUAGAAUUUGCAAAGAAGGCAAUUGAGCAGCAAAAUUCUUUGGACCAAAAAAGCUGCAAUUUGAAAGAGACAAUCCUCUUAGCUUAGGGAACUUGAUGAUUCCAUCUCUGGUGAGUGCAUCUCCUUCUCCAGUGUAAAAUUACAUUGUCAGCAAAAUCAAUCUCCAUCUCUUCCAGGUUCAGAAGACUUCGAGACACAGAGACAGGGAAGGCAUAUUCCAGUUUACCACAGUAACUUAUAGAGAGACUUCUUAAUUUUGGGAAGCAAAGUCACUCUGUAGUUAUUUCCCUUGCAUCAUCCUUUUCUCUGAUAAGAUGCUUCAAUUCACCGCAACUACCUAUGUUAAGGCUUUCUAGCUUUGGCAGACUUUGAGCGAGGGACAGUGUGAAGAUAAAUAUCAGUUUGUUGAGAGAAAUCAAAUUCAGAUCAGCAAGAUUUUGGAGGCUGACAUGAUUGGCGGGCCCCUUCCAUAUACAUUUGAGCUCAGGUAACUUGAUCAGCUCUAACUCUGUUAAAGAUGACAACUCCUUCUCCUCACUGCUUCCUUCAUCAACGUCACCCAAUUCAAAUACCUCUUCCAAUGAUUUGCAGUCGCAAAUGUGCACACUCCUUAGAAUACUUGUCUCAUAUUUGUCUCAUAGGUGAGUUAGUUAAUGUACGUUGAUUGAGCAGAACGUAGUGGGUUCAAACUAUACUAGGAAUAAUAUUAUGUUUUUUCAAAUUACUAGCAAAGGCGUGUGGGCUUGUUUAAGGCUCACAUGCACGUGCCUGAGUUUUGUUGUCAUAGGACGAGUCAUUAGUUCGGUUUUUUUUUUUUUAUUAGUCAUUUUAGUUUUUAUUUUUAAUUUUUUUAAUAUAUUUUUUGAAUUUUAUUCUUUAGCAUUGAGUUUUUUUAUUAAAUUAUAUUUUUUAAUAUUGAGUUAAUGAUAAAUUAGUUUUUAUAUUUUUUAUCAUGUAAUAAAAUAAAAAAAAUUAAUUUAACUCAAUAUAAUUUAUAAUUCGAGUGGGUUGAGUAGAGUUAACGUGAACUAUUUUAUUUUUUUUAUUUUUAGAUAAGUAAAAGGCAAAUUAAAAAAACAAAGUAAUCUCAUCUUUUAGUACGGUGGUCCAAGAUGCACCAUGAUAUGGUUGUAGUUUAUUUGCCUUUUCCUUUUAAAAAUGUUGUCUCCUUUGUAAGGAAUCCUUGGUUCCCAACAGCAAUUGUAGCAGAGUUGAAGGUUGCGUAAAACAAUUCUCUAAACUCCACCAAAAGUAGUGGAGCGUUAGAAUUUUUAAAAGACAAAACGGGGACAAGUGGGAGACGAAGAAAAAGACAAAAGUAAUUUAAUCUUGAUGUGGUGAUCCAAGAUACACCAUGAUAUGGUGUUCUUCCAAGAAGUCUAAGAUACACCGUCGUAUUGUUUCAUAUAUAUUUAUAUAUAUGACAAUAAUAAAAAAAACCGUUUAAACAACUCUGAAAACAAAAAAUUUUAUAAUUUAUAAUUUAUAAAACAUGCGAUAAAAUAAGUCAUAGUGAAUGUUUUCAUUUGGCAUUUAAUUCCAUGAACAUGACCUUAUUCUUUGAUCAAAUUGCUGCGAUUCUCGAAACUAAAUUGAAUGUUACUGACUAGCUAUUGUUUCUCAUUGGCAAGAAUCAUUGCCAAUUAUCAUAACAUGUUAGUGAUUUAUUAGAACUAGUUCUAGUAUCUCCUAUCUCACUCACCAAAUAUCAUUAUUUUAUUCAUAGCCAUAUGAGAGUUAUUAUCCAACCAUUUUCAAAUCCAUUCAAAACCUUGGUAAAUCAAUUUAUAAAACAUUCUUACUUAUAAAAACUUGUAGGUCUAGUGUUACCAAUCCUUACCAAUCCUUAUCUUGAGCUUAUACCUAUUCCAUUGAUCCAUAAAUAUAUUUACUAAGCCAUCAACAUAAUUUGUUUGGGGCAAAUCCUCGUCUAGUUAUAACAGACUUAUACCUAACUGCUUAGAAUCACUAGUUAUUGUAGGAUUGACUACAUCAAAAUUGAUUAGUUUUUUGUUUUCAAAGAGAUUUAAACUUUUGAUGCAAACGAAAGCUAAAAACACAAUAAUCAAAGAAAACAAAAAAAAAAAUAUAAGCAAAAGGGACUAUAGAUGUAAACCCUCAAAUUCACAACUUUAUUUUCUCUAAAAUAAUAAUAAUGAAGUUUGUUUUCUUAGAAGGUUUACAAAUCCUUAAAUAUGUUAGGAACCUUACCUCCACUAGGAAACAAAAAAAAAAUACAAAAUUACAAAGAAAAGAAGCAUAAAAUCCAAAACAAGCAAGAAAUAAAAAAAAUAACAAGGAAAAUCACAGAAACUAUCAAAACUAUAGGCCUAAACAAGAUUUUUGAUAUCUAAAGAUUUGAUGGUCCACGUAAAAAUUUGAGCAUGAUCCAAUAGUCGAAUAAGAAAUUAUAACUCUUUUGAGCUGUUAUUCUAGUCUGACGUAUCUUUUUCUCUUUUUUUCACUAUAAAUGGAGUUUGACCAUCAUUGUCAUAUAGUUUGACUUAGUUGUAUCGUUUUUAAUCAGAUCAACUUUAUAUAUUAUGAGUUUACAUUUACUAAUUUUAAAAAAAUGCUCACAAGUCCAUUGUUCACACCUCAAAUUCAUAACAGCAGCGAUUCGUAGGCAACGAAACCAGUUAGAGACUAGAGAGUAAACAUGCUAUUAAAGUUAGCAAGUAAGGGUUUAGAUUAGAUUAUUUGUUGUCUUGUUUCAAAUAUUAGAGCAGUCUCAACUCAUUAAAUAAACAAGUGGUGCAUUGAUCCUUGGACUCAAAUCAUAUAUACACGGUGAGCUCAUUUGUGUUUUUAUUUUUUGUCCCUCCCUGUACUUGUAGCAGAAGAGAAGCUGCUCUCAUCUUUGAAGGAAUGCAAACAAUUGUUAAUAUGAAACAUAUUAUGUACAAAUUAUAAUAUUUGUAAGAAGCCGUUUUGCUGCCCACCGGCGGCCAUCUGAUCAGAGAACAAUAUUAUAUUUUUUAAACCCUUCACUCUCAUAAAAACAAUUUAUAUGAUUUUAAAUAGGAAAAAAUAGAAAAAAUAGGAUUAAAUAUUUUUUAGAAAUUACAUAUUACUGUUUUAGUUUUUUUUCUUAAUUAGAGGCAAGUUCAAUAAAAGUAGUAAUAAUUAUAUUUUUGUGAAAAAAGGUUACUACAACUCCUAAUAAUUAGUUUCGUGUAAAAAAUAAAAAUAAAAAUAGUAAUAGGUUAACAAAAUUUUAAAGAUAUUUUAAUUCAAUUAAGUAUUUCAACACAAAAUUUAUGUUCUUAUACAGUUAUAUAUUAAUUCUAAUAAAAUAAAUAUGAUUUCUAUGUUUAAAUUUUGGUAUUAAUAACGCAUACAACAAUGAGGCAGUUAAGUUUCUUAGAUAAAAUAAAAUCAUUUUAAAAAUAAAAAUAAGCUAGUAUGUUUGUUACAUAAUGAAGAAAAUUUAAUUUUUCUUCAAAUUAAUUUUUUUAAAUCGUUUUAAUAUGGUGGUAUCGAAACUAAAUUUAAAAAAAAAAUAUUAUGAAAAGCAAUUGUUAAUAUUUGUUAAAACAUUAUUGUUAAUAUUUCUAGUCGGUUGCUAUAUAUAUAAUGGCAUGUAAUUGGAAUAAUAUAUGUUAACUUGUACACAACUUAAUAAAUUAAUGAGAAAACUAAAGUAGCCGGUCAUGUCGGCGCAAUGGACCUCAAUACAAGUUGACAACAUUUUAAGUGGAGUUUUGCAUAUUUUUGAAAGUUUUUUUAUGCAUUUUAAUUUAGCCAAACCUUAAAAUAGAAUCACACCCUAAUCCAAAACAAUACACACUCCAACAAUGUCACAUGUUUCUAUUACAAAGUUUCCAUAUGUACAAGUAAUCCCCUGAAAUUAUGAAGAUGGUUCAACAAGAUGAUUCAAUACCGCAAUUGUGAUUUUUGAUGCAUAGCCGUAAUGCCUCAUAUUUUUAACGAACCAUAUAUAACACCUCAUUUUAAAAAGGGGAUUAUUAUUAUUAUUAUUAUUAUUAUAAUAAUGUUGUCUGCAUAUAUAUAAUUAACUGCCUUAAAAAGGGGAUUAGUAUUACAUCACUUUACGUGCAUUAUAGCUUUUAACUCUUAUAUUCAAAUUAUUAGAUCAGUGUAUGCGCACAACAUUUGAUAUUUUUAACCACACGCAUACAUGAAAUAAAACCAAUGGAAACAUGACACAAAUGUCAACUGCAACUACAACCUGAUCAAAUAUUUUAUGUUUUUUUUUUGAAAUAUUGUUAUAGACAUAGAAUCAACGAGAUUAUGUGACAUUCUAUAUUGAUUUUGUGAUAUUUUAAUCACUAAAAGUAUGGGUUUCAGAAAAAUAAAAACCAAACAAAAAAUUAAAAAAAAUUAAAAUUUUUCAAACCAACCCAAUCCAGCAUAUCGAUCGGUUUUGUUCUAGUUUGGUUCAGAUAUUUUUUAGCUGAAACAAUUAAUAACCAUUUUCAAAAAGUAACUAACUAUUGACAAGUCUUUCAUCGAAACCAUGUUCAAAUCAGGUUCAGGUUGCUAACUCAAACUAACACAAUCCAAAUAUGAAUGCACAUAGACUCUGGGUUGGUUCUUUAUUGAUUUUCAGAAAUGUCAAACUGAAACCGAACCGAAAUAAAUGAAUAUUUCUAACUGAAACGCUUCAAAUACUGAAAAAAUGAUCGGUUUUGUUCAUGUUUAGUUUGGUUUGGUUUGGUUAUAGAGAUACCCCUGACAAUCCGCUUCUUCACUCAACCUCAAACAAUAAGCACUAUUAUUGUGUCUUUAAGUGAAUUACUAUAAAUAUAAAAAUAUAUGUGGAUAAUUGAAAAUUUGCUUAGAGUUGCUAAUAAUUCACAACUGCAACAACCAACACGACCAGGUAAUGCCCGGGAAUGGGUCUUUGGUGCACAAUCAUGACUGUAACCAUGAUUUAAAAUCAUUUCCACACCAUCCAAGACAAUUGGUAUUGGAUUGUUAGCAACAAUUCAGUUUAUAAUAAUAAUAAUAAUAAUGUUGAUUCUUUUAUCUCCUACUUAAUGCAAGUGUCCAUCGUGUGCUGAAAUUGAUUGUUUACCUCAUAUUUCUUUUAAAGGUAGAGAUUUCUUGGUUGACAAUGGGAAAAGGUAAUCGCAUGGUUAUUUUCCAUAAGAUUCAUUUGAGUAAAUAUUCUCUAUUAGAGGUCAAUUUCAUCGAAGCAAUUACUUCAAUGAACACUUCCUAAUUACCAACCUCUAAGUAGUCAUCUCCCUUAUCCUAACUUUUUAUUUCCUAAUAAAAUCUCACGGUUUUUCAUCAUGUUCAAAGGAAAAGUUGACCUUGCAAAUGGUGCUCUAAGGAACCAAGUAAUCCUAGAACUAAUCUCAUCAACUCCUUGUUGCACAAACAGCUUGUCUCACUUAAAGGGGAUUUUAAUGAUGAACAAACACCAACUCCUUGUUGCUCAAAUACAUAUGCUCAUUUAAACACAAUUUUGCAUUACCUAGAACUGACAAGGCCUAAAAUUCCUGACAUAGAAUUUUGUUUUAAAGGAACUUCAGGAUUUCUAUAUAGGAUGCUUGGCCUCAUUAAAGACAAACUGAGGACAUCCAUAACAUAAAUUAUCUUCCUUGCCCCAAAGUCAGCACAGAAAAACCCUGUUCACUAUAAAGGUUCUGAAUGUUUUUCCUAAAUUUCAUGAGCUGGCAUUCAACACAUCAAACUCCCAAUUUAGCAUUCUUAUACAAACUACAACUGCAGAAGGCUUGUACAUGUAGGGGAGGUAGGAAGAGCUGCAAAGUUGUCGCAUCUAUUGUUAUGCUGUUCAGAGUUUCUAUCUCUAUCAUCCAAUCUGCCAAAAAUAUAAAAGAUCAUGUGCAUGAAUUUGAUCUCAUCAUAUGCCUACGGGAGAUACAUGACCAGUGAUGGUUGUUCUAUGCACAAAAUUAGCUAACAUAUGACUAUUUUAUUCAACUACCAUUUCACGAUAUGAGUUCUCCUAGCCACACUCAAAAGCCCUAGCCGCUAUAUGAACAAAGCACCUAAAAAAUUAAUCACCUACCUAAUCUAAUUCAGGAAAAUUUGGUCAAAAUCUCCUACAAUGAAACGAGUUAUUUGAAUGCAUAGACAGGAAAUUCAGGUAAACACACACCCACACACACACACACACACACACCUGAUCAUAAAUUUCCUAAAGAAAUUCUGAAUUGUAACAUUGGUAAACAAAGAGUGACAAUAUCAUCACAUUAAAAAUGCAUUUCACUCAAAACAAUUAAUAGCUCAAGAAAAAAUUUUGCAAGAAGCCAAUAGAGAAUAAAGUAAGCAGUCCAUAAACAAGAGACAGAGAGACAUUGUUCCAAUAGAGAAAAGUAAUUAAAACCCAACAACUAAAACUGAGAAAGAAUCAAACCAGUGAGUAACUAAUCCUUUUAAAGCAUUCCAAGAAUGGCAACCAAAUAUAACAUAAUCAACCUGCAAAAACAAACACAAAAAGAAUUAGAAGAAGAAACCCCAUUAGUUAAUAAGUUAAAACAGCAGCAGCAGCAAAAAGACUCAAAUUUUAGUUAUUUGGACUUGAGAAAAAGCACUGAACCCUCUGUGAAAAUGCCAUGAAAGGGGUGCUAAGAAACCAGGAAAAUAAAAACUUUUAAAAGGGUGUUUUUACAAAGCAAGAAAGAAGCUAGGAAGCAAGCCAGCCUACGCUCACGAACUCUGUUUGUUAAUUGUUUUUUCUCCUGUGAAGUGAAAACAAAAAAAGAAAAAGAGAAACAAAAACAAAGAGCACCCAGAAAAUCUAGUCAGAAAUAUUUUAUGUUGUUGUCUUGGAUAGACGCAGAUACCGAGGAACAGUGUGGGGCCACCUUUGGUGAGCAGUGAUACAGUGGCAAGUAUGUGAAAUAACGCAUAUUACAGUGCGCAAUGAUAGAGUGAGUCUGGGUGGACAAACUUUUGGUGGUACACGUGGUGCUUAAUGAUUAGAAGUUACAUGAGGGAAAUAAGAUGGAAAAGGUGGCCUCUCUAGAUUUUGGAAAUGUUCUCUGAAGAAAGAAAGAAAAUAAUUUCAAAGGUGGACAAAAAUGGGGUAAUAUCAGAUUUGGAACAUAAUCUUGGUUGGUGAAGAAUAACAUAAUCUAAGGAGAAAUCUAGGGCAAGCCCAGUGAGAUUUGAGCUUAGAUUUUGGAUCAAUUUAUAGGUGGAUGAUACCAUCAUGAAUAAUGUCCAGCUGAUAAAGGUUUAGUUACUUGCAAUUCUAUCAUAAAGUUAUCAGAUUCUGUGUGUGUGAGGCUGCCAUAUGUUUCUUUCUUCUAUGAUGGAUAAAAAACGCUAAGCAAUGAACUAUUUUGUCCACCUAGUAAAAAAGGUAUUAUGGUUAUGAUGAGAACUCUACAACCUGCCAUUUUAUUUUUGAAGGUAUUCUUAUUAUAUUUAUAAUUAUAAGAAUCUUUAAAAGAUACACGGAUAAAAUAUUAUUCUCACGUUAUUAUUCACUGGUGUUAUAAGCUUAAAUUAAUAGAUAAUUAAGUAAAUUUGUUGAGGAAAAGCAAAAUUUAAAUAUAGAUAACCAAAGUGGAAAAAAAAAAGCACAAAAAAAGGUGGUAGUUACAAGAUUGAAGUAAAAAAUUCACUUUGAUUCUCAUACUUUUCAAAUAAUGACUUUUUGGUCUCUUAAGUUUUUCUACAUUUUAUUUUUUAUCCACAACUUCAUUUUUCUAUUUUCUCAUUCCCUAAUUUGAUAGAGGAGACAAAAAGUCAUUGAAUUACAAUGUUAGAGAGAAUCUCUAUGACAACCUCAACAUUUGUAUUAAAACAAAGAGCAAGGACAUGACGAUUCAAAUAAGAUUAGAGAUUUUUUUUUUGUAAUUAAUAAAAAAUUUGGCAGAAUUUCCUCCAUAUUUUUAGGUAUUUAGUUAUCGACUUUUCAUCCACAAUCCCCAAUUAUCAAAUUUCUUAUCCUAUCAUCCAGGACUUCCUCCUCUCAUUAUAUCACAACUUCUCAAUAAUCAAAUUCACAUCUGUCUAAACAAUUCAAUAUCCCACAUUUACAUGGAUGUAAUCCAAAGAAUUAUUCUACAAAUUAUAACUGAAAUACAUUACACAAUUCAAAAAUUAACAAAUAAGGACCAUUAACUAAAUUAUAAUCGAAAUAAGUACAUAAUUAAAGAAGAAAUUCAUAAUUAAGAUUAUACUACACAAAAAGGCUUUCGAUAAACUGUUGACGCAUUAUAUUACAUAACAAAAUGAUAAAUUCAUUCAUUACAAAAAGAUACCAAACAAAAUAUAAGAAAACUAAUCUAUUAUUCAGUAUGAUAGGGGGAUAUACCUGAAAAUUGAUUUAAUACAAUAAUUUGAUUAGAUAGAUGAAGAAAAGAUAUCCAUAAAAUUCUUUCUACUUUCUUUUUUUUUUCCUUUUUUUUUAAAAAAAAUUUAGUUAAAAGAUCUUUAAAUUAACUUGCUCAUCUAGUAUUAUAUAUAAAAUAAUUUGAUUAGACAAGUGAAGGCUUGUACACGCAGGGGAGAGGUAGGAAAAGCUGCAAAAGUUGUCGCAUCUAUUGUUAUGCUGUUUAGAGUUUCUAUCUCAGCAUCCAAUCUACCAAAAAUAUAAAAGAUCAUGUGGAGGAAUUUGAUCUCAACGGGGCAGCACCUCAUAUGCCUACGGGAGAUACAUGACCAGUGAUGGUUGUUCUAUCCACAAAAUUAGCUAACAUAUGACUAUUUUAUUCAACUACCAUUUCAGAAUAUGAGUUCUCCUAGCCACACUCAAAAGCCCUAGCCGUUAUAUGAACAAAGCACCUAGAAAAUUAAUCACCUACCUAAUCCAAUUCAGGAAAAUUUGGUCGAAAUCUCCUAUAAUGAAACGAGUUAAUUGAAUGUGAGAGUUCGAUAAAAGAUUGGUUCUGCAAGGAAAAAAAACAUUACUCUUAAUACACCUUACUUAAGGUAUGUUACAUUAGUAUUUAAUUAUAUUUUUAGGUCAUGUUUCUAUUCUCUGGUCAUUUCUAAGGUCUAAAGUAGAUCUUCUUUCAUGAUAGAGUCUCUAUUUUAUUGGGUGAAAUCCUAACCAUUCUAAAGUCUAAAUUAUAGCAUCACAUUUAUUUCCAAAAUACAACUAAUUCCUAACAUUUCGAACAUAAGGAUUGUUAUGGUUUUUUUGUAUUUUGAUCAAACCCUAAUAGAUAAUCAUAAACUGAUUAUGAUAUUUAUUUUUGCAUUUUUAAAAUAUGAGAAAGAUAUAAUUUUUAUUUUUAUAUGAAAAUACAUGUGAAAAACUUUUUAAGAUUUGAUCGUAUGUAAAACAAAACAUUUUUUGAAGUGAAAAUUUAUUUUUUGAAUUUUCAAUUUAUUUUUUAUUUUUUAAUCUUUUUAAGAUUUCAGAGAAAACCGGCUAUUUUGAUCAAGUUUAAUUUAGUUCUUUGAUUUUUUUAAUUCUCUCAAUUACACCUUGAUUGAUUUCAAACUUUUAAUUUUAUGCAAUUUCAUCCUUGAAAAACUUCAAUAUCAACCAUAGAUUUCAACCUAUUUUUCACAUUAAUCCUUGGUUUCAGAUUUAUACAAGUUGACCCUCAAGAGACCAUUAAACUUUAAAUUUUCUUUAAUUUUAUCCCUGAUUUUAAUCAAUUGGGUUCUUAUAGUUCGUUGUCAUUUACAAAUUGGUCAUUGGUUGUGAAUUUCUUCAACUUAACCAUUAACUGACCACAAAACUUUGAUUUUCUUGCGAUUUUACCAACGAUUUCAAUCAAUUGACUUGGUAAAAAUUAAAUUUAGUCUCCUAAUAUUUCAACCUUGUCAAUUAAGCUGAAAUUGGGCUCCAAAACUUAAUGUUUCACCAAUUAAGCCCCUAAUAAAAUUAAUUUGACUCAUUUAAAGUAUAAUUAAGUCCUUGCACCUAAUUAAAUCCAUUAAUUGGACCCAAAUUAACUCUUAAACAUAAUUAAAUCUCAAUUUGGCCUAUUAAAAUCUUAUGUCUUUAGGCUUGAUUUUUAAGUAGAUUCGUCUAAUAAUCAUUUAAUUUGUCCUUGAAUCUACAUUGUCUCCUUAGUUUUGGGUGUAAUGGGGUACAUUUAGGCUCCUAAUCCCAUCCAAAGUUGUAGCUUAAUUUGAAAUCCUCACAACUUGCUUUUGUUAAAAUGUCAGUCCUUAUUUUAUUUAUUCUAUUUUUUUAUUUUGAAAAGAAAAGAGAUGAAUUUGAGGAAUAACCCAGAAUUGAGUUAUGACAAUGAGAACUCUACAUUCUGUGAUUUUAUUUUUGAAGAUAUUUUUAUUCAUUUAUAAUUAUAACUUUAAAAGGUGUGGGUAAAAUAUUAUUCUCACACCACUGUUCACUUGGCGUUGUGGAUUGCCACAAUGUUUUUUUUCAUCCUGUUUUUAUAGAUCUAAAUUGAUAGAUAAUUUGAGUAAAUUUGUUAAGGAAGAGCAAAAUUUAAACACAAAUAACCAAAGUGAAAGAAAAAAGCAUAAAAAAGGGUGGUAGUUUUAAGAUUGAAGUCAAAAGUUCACUUUAGUCCUCCUACUUUGUAAAUAAUGACUUCUUGGUCCCUUAAGUUUUUCCACAUUUUAUUUUUGGUCCACAACUUUGUUUCUUGAUUUUUUUUUCGUUCCUUAGUUUGAGAGAGGAGACAGAAAGUCAUUGGAUUAUAAUGUUAGAGAGAGUCUCGGUUGACACUGAUUUUCACAACAAAAACAGUCGAUUUUGGUCUUAAUAGGUUCCAUUUGAUAAAGAGAGUUCUAUUGAGGUGUUUUUUGCUCUUGAAAUUCCCAAAACUUUUAUGAUUUUUUGGGCAAAUUUAUUGGUUUAUUUACAUCAUAAGGACCAUUUUUAGAUGUUUUGGUGUGAACUUUGUUUAAAUUUGCAUUUUUAGGUAAAAAAACACCCUACAUGAUUUUCAUGCCACCCCUCUAAUAGUCGAGAACUUAAAAGUCCCAGUAGGUGACAUGUUUCCCUUUAUCUUUUUUCAAAAACAUUUGGCAUUUUCAAAUAACAAAAUAAGGCUCACGUGAGCUAGCCCUUUUUAAAAUGGGCUUGAUGUGCGAGCUUGACUUGAUAGACCUAAAAACACCUAACCUAUUUCUUUAUUUUUUCUAAUUAUGUUUUUUAAUUGAUAUUUUUAUAUGUACUUUUUAAUGAAUUUUUGAAUUUAUCUUUCUAAAUUUUUUGAUAGUUUAUUUAGUCUUUUUUAAAUAGUGGUUAUCUUUUACUUAUCUUUUAUGUGUUUAAUAUCUCGAAGAAAUUAUUCCAAUUCAUUUAUAAUUUUUUUAUGUUUUAUAUAAAUAAACUUUAUUUUCAUGAUGUGUUUAUAAAUAUAAGAAUUAUUUGUUCUUGGUAAGAAAAAAUGAUCUUUAAGAAAAAGAAGAAGAAGAAGAAGAAGAAAAGUGUGCAUUAAGGGAAAAGUUGAGGUUAAAUAUUAUAUUUAUCUAUCUUUUACUUUUUUAUGAAAAUGAUUAUCAUUUUAUUUUAUAAUUUUAUUGGCAUUAAUAACUCUUUAUUUGUUUAUUAGUUCAUAUUUUUUUAAGAUUUAUUUUGUUUCACAUUUCUCAAUGAAGAGAAUCAUGAUACAAUGAAAUGCAUUUGAAACACUGUCCUAUUUUUCUACUACAUUAAAAAUUAACUUCCUACAUGUGGCGCGUUGCAUUGACGAUUGUUUUUGUAUUUAUUAAUAUAUAUGAUCCCCAGUUUAUUUUAUUAUAUGUAAAUAUCAAUUUUUUUAUUCACAAUUAUAUUUUUUUCUCUCAAUAUCAAAAAAUACAUUAACAACACUUAUACAUCCAUUCUUUUGUGUUGGAAAAUGUUAUCUGACCCAUAGCAAAGCGAGUUAAAUAAACACGUCAAUACCUUUUUUUGUAUUUAUGAUUAGGGUUUUUUUUUGUUGUUAAAAAUACAUUUGAAAAGCAUUCAUAUUUAUUUAUUUUGCUAAAAAAACAUUUCUAACCCAUAGUAAAGUGCGAGUCAAAUAACUACUAAUAUGGCUAUAGUAAGUGUCUUUUUAGUACAUGUGGAUGUAGGAAGUAAUGUGUUAUAUUAUUAGUUAGAUAUUACUUACCUAUUCAUUAUAAAAAAAAACAUAAAAUAAAUAAAUAUAUUAAUAGAAACCUAAAAGAGAUCGGCUGAAAUAAUAUAGUCUCCGAGAGAAAAUAUGUGAAUUCACACAAUGUUUACUUUCUCUUUUUUUGUUCUUUUUUUAUUCAGUGAUUUUUUAUGAUGAAUUAAUUAAGAUUUAAGAUGGGUAAUGUAUUUUUAUUUGCCUUUUUUAUGGUUAUCUUGUUCUCAAUAAAACAUCUUGAUAUUAGAGCGAUGCUCAAUUUAAAUAAAAAAAAAUUUGUUGUUUGUAAGAAAUUAAAAAUGAAAAGAUCAAAAUUGAAACAAAUAAAAAACCAAUUUUUUUUAAAAAAAUAUGGUGUCAAUUUUGCCUUUUGUUUUUUGCUUGCGAUCAUCUACUUUUUUUUAAAAAUAAAUUGAUCUUUCAACGCUGUUUUAGUUGAAAUUUGAAGUUGGUAAUAUUAUAUGAGCAUCUAGAACUAAAUAAAAAGCCGCGAAAAAAAAUCGAUUAUAUUGUUUGAGAAAAAAUGAAAAUAAAAAAACCAAAAUUGAAACAUGAAAAAAAAUUAAAAAUAGGAGUCCUUAAAAAAACAAAAAAUUGUGUCAACGCCUCCAUGCCUUGUAAUUUUGACAAAUUUUCUUUUUGGCCCUUUUAGUUUAGAAAUGAAACUUUUUGAUAUAAAACUUUAUUUUACUUGUAUUUUAGUUCUUGAGUUUGACAAAAGAAAAAGAAAUUUAUCGAAAAUUUACAAAACGAAAGCCAGCAAGGUAUCUGCUCGAAAAAACCAUUCAACAUAAGAUUGCUCUGCUAGGAAAACAUGAUAUCAGUAUCAAACUUUUGAACAAAGAGUUCAGCAUCAAGUCUCAGUCAUCUUGAGAUUUGAAUGCCCAAACAUAUUCAGAUGCUCAUAAAAUGACAUUUUUAAUAAUGCAUUAUGCAUUAGAAACAGAAGAUCAAACAAAGAGUUCAGCAUCAAGCAAACAUACGCCCUUACUUCUGGAGGCUUGUACGAUAAUGACUACACACACAACAUUACAUUACUUCUAACUUCUUCAACAAACAUAUAGAUAGAUAAGUCAAAAUCUUCUAUGGUAAAUAAGACUGUUACAUUGCCAAUGAAACAGUUGGAAUUACUUCCCACCAAUCUAAAACAUAUUCGCAGCACCAACCUUGAAAUCAUGUAACAGCUAACCAACCUUGCCUGAUGCAAACAUGAAGAAAAAAGACAAUCCAUGAUUUAACUCAACCAUUAAAAUUUGAGGGUAAAGGAGAGGAUAAAUAAUUGCAGCUAUAUCACCUGGCUUGGGCAAGAAAGAAUUAUUAGACUAGCAAUCAUCAUCACCACCAUCUUCCUCUUCCCCUUCCUAUUCUGACCCAUCAUCAUCAUCAUCAUCUUCUUCUUCUUCUUCUUCUUCUUCUUCUUCUUCUUUCCACCCAUUAUUUCUGGUCCACUCUCUAUUAAUGCUUGAAUCUUCAGCUACUUCAGAUACCUGUAAACCAAUUCAUGCAUGGCAUGCUCAUUUUAACUUGUAAAUCAUAUUAUUGAGCGAAACAAGAGACAAACACACUAAAAGAGAGGCAAGAAAUCAAGUCAAAUCAGCAGCACCUCUGAUUGAGCACUCAUUGAACCAUCUGGUGUAAUAGCAAAUUUUGUGGUCAACUUUGAGCAUUCAUACACCUUCAACUUCUUCAAACGAGGGAAUAAGAAAUCACAGCAUCCGAAACUGAAGCAGACAAUACUUGGUAAUUGUUUUAGCGACAGCUUCUUUAGAUUAGGGAGCACCAUCUCCUUCUCAACGUUGACAAGUGAAACAUGAUCUUCCUGCCCAAAUACUCCCAAUAAAUGAGAGGAUUUUGUUACUCUAAGUAUUCGGAGAUUUGGGAGACCUGAAGCCAUGGCUACUGGGAAGAGGCUCUUCAACUUGUUGCAUUCUCUAAUCUCAAUUUGACGUAAUUUGGGAAAGCAUAAAGAUCGGAGAUGAUCACCUAACAAUAUCUGGUCGUUUUCAUCAUCAUCCUUAGCAAUGAUUUGUUCCAAUUCCUCACAGGACAAUAUCUUUAGGACUUUUAGUUGAACUAGACUGACAAUCAUACUGCAUGUGAAUACAUGUGUCAGUCUCUUACACUCAACCACCUCCAAAGUAGUCAAUUUGCUCAACUCGAGACCCUUCCAUAUACACCUAAUGUCAGGCACCAGCAGGAAGCGCAAGUGUAAUUUCUUAAAAUUUGUCAACCCCUGCAUCGAAAGAAAACGAUGAUUGGAGCCUUUGUUAGAUAUAAUUCCUAAUAAAUUUUGUGCACUUUGGAACUAUAUAAUUUCGGUAAAUAGAUGAACGAAUUGUCCCCAAUACUUCAGCCAAAAACUUAUCAACAAAAGGAUAUAAGUAGACAUGGCAAUAGGGCAUGGGAAUAUGAAAUCAGAAGUUGCAGGACUGAAAGAGACUCAAUAUUAGCAAAUGGAGGUUUAUCUUCCUCUUCAAAUACUUCCAUUAAUUGGGGGAAGAGCCUCAAUUUCACUCAAACUGGGAAAGCAUAAAGAUUGAAAAAUCUCGAUAUCAUUUCAUUACAAUAAUUAAUUUCUUACUUCUUAAGCCCUGCAUCAAGAGACAAGGAAUGAUACAGUUAGACAACUCCUUUUAAAUUUAGUGGAUGGCUAAAGGAUUUAUCUCCACUUAUCAAUUGCUUCAGUUUCAGAAAUUUAAAGGAAGAAAUCAAACAUGUAUUGAAGUUGACAAUUUAAAUUAAAAAGGAAAAAGAUUAUUAGAGAAAUAUAAAGGACGUACUUGGAGCUGUGCAAACAAAUUUCCCAAUUCUUUGUGGCCAUCAAUUUCUAGAAUUUGCAAGGAAGGCAAUUGGGCAGCAAAAUUCUUUGGACCAAAGAAGCUGCAAUUUGAAAGAGACAAUUCUCUUAGUUGAGGGAACUUGAUGAUGGCAUCUCUGGUGAGUGCAUCUCCUUCUCCACUGUAAAAUAUUUGCUUUAAAUUAUGAGCAUUAAAAAUCCCCAUCUCUUCCAGGUUCAGAAGGCUUGGAGACACAGAGACAGGGAGGACAUAUUCCAGUUUACCACAGUCUUGUAUGAAGAGAGCUUCUAAUUUUGGAAAGCAAGGAGACUCUGGAAUUAUCUCCCUUUCACCAUCCUCUUUUCUGAUAAUAUGCUUCAAUUCACUGCAUUUACUUAUGUGAAGGUCUUGUAGCUUUGGCAGACUUUGAGCGAGAGACGGUGUGAAGAUAAAUAUCAGUUUGUCGAGAGAAGUCAAAAACAGACGAGCAAGACUUUGGAGGCUGACAUGUCUGGUGGGCCCCUUCCAUAUACAUUUGAGCUCAGGUAACUCUGACAGUAUUAAAGAUGACAGCAGCGGCAUCUCCUUCUCCUCAGUGCUUCCUUCAUAAGGCUCACCCAAUUCAAAUACCUCUUCCAAUGAUUUACAGCGGCGAACAGUCAACUCCUUUAGAUUUUUCAGAGCUCGCAGCAAUUUUGCUGGAAACGGAGCGCGAACAUCCCCACAUUUGUCCACAUGUACAAAUUCUAAUCUUUGUACGAAGCCGUUUUGCUGUUCAUGGGCGGCCAUCUUAUCAGAGAACAAUAUUAUAUUUUUUCACUCUCAUAAAAACAAUUUAUAUGAUGUAUAAAUAGGAGAAACAAAAUAGAAAAAAACAGGAUUAAGUACUUCUUAGAGAUUACAUAUUAUUGUUUCAGUUUUUUACUUAAUUAGAGAUGAGCUGAAUAAUAAUUAGAUUUUUGCGAAAAAAGGUUAAUUCAACUCCUAAUAAUUAGUUUCAUGUAAAAUAAAAAUAAAAAUAGUAACUAAUAUUUUUAUUUUAGUUAUAAAGUUAAUAAAUUUUUAAAGAUAUUUUAAUAGAAUUAAAUAUUUGAACACAAAAUUUAAGUUCUUAUAUAUAUUAAAUCUAACAGCUAAUAUGAUUUCUAUGAUUAAUUUUUGGUAUUAAUAACGCAAACAACAAUGAGGCGCGCUGUUAAGUUUCUUAUAUUUAUAUAUGUUUAGAUAAAAAAAAAAUCAUAAAAAAUAAAAAUAAGCUAAUAUGUUUGUUAUAUAAUUAAAAAAAAAUCAAACUUGGAUUUCCUAGCAUUUAUCAAUUACUUUACUUUAAGAAAUUUGUAGGAAGAAAGAAUAAAUUGACAAUUUAAAUUAGUGGAGAAAUAUAAAUUACGUACUUGUAGCUGUGCCAACCAAUUACCCACUUCUUCGUGGCCUUCAAUGGUUAAGUCUAUGAUGCCAUCUCUGUUAUGAGACAAAGAGACUGGGAAGACAUAUUCCAGUUUACCACAGUGAGAUAUGCGGAGAGUUUUUAAUUUUGGGAAGCGAGGAGACUCUGGAAUUAUUUCCCUUUCACCAUCCUCUUCUCUGAUAAUAUGCUUCAAUUCACCACAAUCACUUACCUGAAGUCUUUUUAGCUGUGGUAGACUUUGAAGAGUUAGAGACACGGAGACACGGAAGACAUAUUCCAGUUUACCACAGCCUUCUAUGAUGAUAGUUUUUAAUUUUGGGAAGCAAGGAGACUCUGGAAUUAUUUCCCUUUCACCAUCCUCUUCUCUGAUAAUAUGCUUCAAUUCACCGGAUUUACUUAUGCAAAGGGUUUCUAGCUUUGACAGACUUUGAGCAAGGGACGCCNNNNNNNNNNNNNNNNNNNNNNNNNNNNNNNNNNNNNNNNNNNNNNNNNNNNNNNNNNNNNNNNNNNNNNNNNNNNNNNNNNNNNNNNNNNNNNNNNNNNNNNNNNNNNNNNNNNNNNNNNNNNNNNNNNNNNNNNNNNNNNNNNNNNNNNNNCUUCUCCUCACCCAAUUCAAUACCUCUUCCACUGAUUUGCAGUCCUCAAUUUCCACCCUCCUUAGAUUUUUUAAACCUUGCUGCAAUCUUGCUGGAAACAGAGUGAAAACAUCCCCACAAUCCCUCACUUCUACAAAUUCUAAUUUAUGUAAAAACAAUUGCUCAAAUGUCUUCGCAUUUAAGGAUGUACCACCCAAAAUUAAUCUUGUGGAGGUUGGGUAUCCAUUAGAAUAAUAUUUAGUAGUAUUCCCUAACAUUAAAUCAUAUUUGAGCAAGCUGGGAAAAACAAAAUCUCUGGGAAUGCAUUCAACCUUCGGUAUCCUCAAUGAUAAUACGGCUAACUGAGACAACGAAUUUAGUUCUGUCAGGCUUGCAUUCAUUCCUCCUGUGCUGUCACAUCCAUCAACAUCCCAUCCAUCAAAGCUGCGAUGCCCGAUCAACAGCUCUUCUAACUUCUUCAACCUUCCAAUCAAAUUCACAGGAAUCCUUCUUAGCCUUUCACAACCUGUCACUUCCAACAACCUUAACUCCUUGAGCUCUCCUAUUUCAUCAGGUAAUUCUUCAAUGGAUGAGCACCACUGAAAAACAAGUAUCUUAAGUCUCUGCAUCUUUUUCAACCAAAUGAGGUCCUUGCAUCCACAACUGAUCAACACCAACGAUUGAAGUUUCGUUGAGAGUUCAAGUGAUUGCAAUGACAAACGCCCUCCCUUCAGAGACAAAACUUCAAUUUCUUUCAUCCCUUCAAAAAACCUCUGAGGAACAUUCAUACCAUAAUCCACUUCUAAUAAUAGAACUUUGAGCCGUGGACAUACCAAUCCUUCAGGAAGUUCUGCUAGUUUAUUGCCCAUUAACGAAAUUGUUGUGCAACCUUCAAAGCUUUCAAUACUCGUUGGCCACUUCUCCAAUACCAUGAAUCCAUAUUCUUUUGAUGAUGCUAUCUGAAUAGCAAAGUCACGAACCAAGUCAUGCAUUCUCACAUGUUCUUCAGUUUCAGUGCCCAACAGCAUGCAGCAAUCUUUGAGGUUUUCGAUUGCCACGGAAACUCGUUUCCUUGCAUCUUCAAUAGGCUCCGCAUCUUGAUGUAACCCAUAGCCAACUGCAUAUCUCGUCAAGUCCUCGAUUGGAAUGUCAUAAUCUUCUGGAAAUAAACAGCAUAGCACGAAACAUGACUUGGUUUCCUCGUACUUCAAAUAAUCAUAGCUCAACUUAAGACAUGUGUAAGCAUUAUUUUGUUCGUCAAUUUGUUCCAUGCGCACAAAUUGAGAUUCUUUGAGCUGUUUAGACGCUACUUCCCACUGAACUCGUGAUUUACCUCUUAGAGCCCUUCCCACUGUCACAAGUGCUAUAGGCAAGCCUUGGCAUUCUCUCGCAACCUCCCUUGUCACUGUGUUCAAGGUAGAGUCCCCAUCACGUAAACCUGCAUUGAUUCUGAAUAAAUCCCAUGCUUCAUCGUCAGGUAAGACUCUUAAAAGCACUUUUUGCUGGCACUCCAUAGAAAAACAUAUGCCUUGAAGACGUGUUGUUAGAAGAAUUUUACAACCCCUGUGAUCAUCACCAAAUGGGAUCCCUAUCUCUUUCAAGUCAAUAUGUUUCCAAACAUCAUCUAGGAUUAUAAGCAUCUUCUUUCCCAGCAGUCUCUGCCAUAAUUCACUUGCUCUACCUUCUUUACUCGUUUUUUCAAAUUUCAGAUGUAAACUAUCUGCCAUUCGAUCCUGGAUGCCUAUGAAAUUUGGAUUCUGGGACACCGUAGCCAUCAAAACUUCAGGAAAAAGCUGCGACUCUAUGGCUCUCCUGCCUACUUCUUUCACCAGGGUUGUUUUACCCACCCCUCCCCAUGCCGUACAGUCCGAUCAUAUUGACGUUGUCAUCUUUGAGAGCUUUCAUGAUCUGUUCCAAAGCUUCUUUUGACGAUUCUGAGGUCGUGAAUUCCUUUGAUGUUAGAAAUUCUAUGGGCUGAGGAGGAGCUUUUUGGGCCACUGUUUUCAACUUUUCGCUACUUUCUCCAAGUUUUCUGAAAGUCUCCGACUUCUUGGCCAGUGCCUUGCUUAACUUGAAUUGCCGGAUGCAGUUUGGACAGCAAGUAAAGCGGUUGUCAUUUUUUCGUAUUUCAUUUUCCAAAUGCUUCACAUCUUCAUGAUCAAUUGCUUUGGUUGCAUCUUCCAGCCACUUUUUGACAUCUUUGUAAAUUUCUUCAGCAUUCCUUUCAGCAGCUUCGACACCUUUUUGCAGACGUUCUUUUGCCGAAACCAGGUUCUGUUUUCGUUCAUUGAAUUCUUGAGCAAAACUUUCUAAACAGAACAUGUAACGGAACUGCCUUCCUACUGGUUCCACCAAGACUCCCGCUAUCUUAGAUAUAAUGGAUACACCAGCACUUUCGAGAGCCAUUUUCCACAGGCCUGAAAAUCAGAGAAAUAAGGAUGCAGAACGUGAUAGUGAGUCACUACGAGUAAAACAGGCGCAGAGAGAAUGGGAAUAGGAAUUUCAUUACCUUAACUUGGGAAAAUAUGUGCGAAAGGCACUGGUACUGAGUGCUCAAUGAAAUAGCGGGAGGAAGAAGAGGAGAAGGCCUUUAGCUCUGUAUGGAAUCCAGCAUCAAAAGCAACAAGGCAAGGACUUAGACGUCUAACUGACUAUUGUGAGUUAAAGCAGUAGUUCCCAUUAAAAAUGCAUUUUGAUGACAUAAUUAAGAUAAUAUAGAGAAAGUCACAAACAAAUAAAAAAAAAAUAAUGAAUAAAAGUACUUAGACGUCUAAUUAGCAAAGAAAGAAACGAAUGAAAGGUUCGGAUAAUCACUUAGACGUCUCCAUGGAUGAUACCAGCUCGCUUCCAACAACAAAUAUAAUUAACCUAAGCCGUGAUAGGUCAAAGUUCUUUUUAGUUUUCUUUUUUUAAGGAAAUAGAAGGAGAGGUUGAGGGAGGCAGAAACGGAAGAAGACAUUGAAAGAUCGGAGGAGAGUAAAGAUAAAAAUAUGAAUAUUUGAUGCUCGUUUAUCUCUUUGAUUGGGAUUUUUUUGUCUCUCUUUUAUUUGGAAUUUCUUUGGACACUUUAAUAAUAUAAUAACAAAAAAAAAAUUAUCUACUUUGGACUACGAUAGUAUUUUUCUCUAUAUUUUGACUUUUAGUUUUUAAUAGCCAUGCACGUUUGAUUUUUUUAUUUUUUUUUUAUGCUUUUACAAAUAAUAUAGAAGAUGAGGACCUGAAAUCACGGCAGCAAAUAAAGAGAGAAAUAACAUGUUUGUUCUUGUUUCUUCUAAAGUAUUUAAAAAAAAUUAAAUUAAAUUUUAUUUUAUUUUUAUUUCAAAUUAAUUUUUAAAAAAACUAAUUUAAAAAUUAGUAUGAAAAAAGAGGAUAAUAGAGUAGGUGUCCAAAUCAAAACACAUAAAUAUAGGAUAAAAACAGGGAGAGAGGCUCUUUGUUUUCUUAACUGUAUUGGUUUAAUAAUGUUUAUAGAGUGUUUUAUAAAUAUUUUAGAUAAAAAAUAGGUUAAAAGCAAGUUUUUAAAUAAAAAAUCAAGCUUAUUUUUUAAUAUAAUUCAAAUAAAAUCAAUUUAUUUAGUUGUUUAGAAUUAUAACUCAAGUUAUUUAACGUCUUUUUUAAAAAAAAAUAAAACACUUGUAACAUAGUGCAGUACAAACAGAAGAGACAUCUGCUUUUUCUUGAGAAAAAGAAAGAAAGACAAUAUAUAUAUAUAUACUCUCUCUUCCAAUUUCUUCUUCCAGUUGAAUUUUGGCGACCGCCCACAUAACGGCCAGCCAUGCCACUUUUCAAGACCCCAUUUCUCAAUCUCAAAACCAAAAACAACCCUUUCUCCAUUUAUCCGAACCUCAUAACUCCAGGAAAGUGAAGGACUAAACCAUAGUGGCAAAAAUCUUAAAGGGUUCUAAAUUGUCUCUGUUACUUUCCCUUAAUUUUCUAGACAAGCAAAAGGAGCUUAACUUAUUCCCGACCAAAACGUCAAGAAUUUCAGUAGAACAAAAGAAGAGAUCAUUACCUGUCCAAAAACAACUAGUCAGCACCCAAAGAAACCGAGUGAAUGAGAGAAAAAAGACUAAUAGCUGGAAAACAAUCAACAGAUCCAAGAAUUUUCUGUAUGGUUUCCAAGAAAAUGAAACGAAAUGAGCAGCACAACCCUCUUUAUCCUCCAAGAAAAGAAAGAAAAAGAAAGGCAAGAAACAAAGCAAGUCAAACUUGGCUCCUCUUUUAGUGUUAAAAAAAAAAAACAAAGAAGUUCGAGGAAGUGGGCUGCCUUUUUUUCUGCUGUUCAUGUGGUGUUCAGCUGUUCACGCAUCGUAAAAUCAUAUAAUUAAAACACAACAAUAAAAAAGUAAUAAGCAGCUAAUUAUGUGCGAAAAUCAGAGAAAUAAGGAUACAAACGUGAGAGUAAGUCAUUGCAAGUAAAAGAGGCGCAGAGAGGAUGGGAAUAGGAAUUUCAUUACCUCAACUUGAGAAAAUAUGUGCGACAAGCACUGGUACUGAUUGCUCAAUGAAAUGGAGAAGGCCUUUAGCUCUGUAAGGAAUCCAGCUUCAAAAGCAACAAGGCAAGGUAUAAGCAUUUUGAUGACAUAAUUAAGAAUUAAAGAAAAAUAAUGUGUACAAGUACUCACCAAGCAAAGAAAGAAACGAAUGAAAGGUUCGGGAUAAUCACUUAGACGCCUCCAUGGAUGAUACCAGCUCGCUUCCAACAACAAAUAUAAUUAACCUAAGCUAUGAUCGGUCAAAGUGUUUUUUAGUUUUCUUCUUUUUUAAAAAGAAAAAACAGAUCAUCAAGGGAAAAGACUUGCAAAGAAGUAGAAUUAAUGGAACGAACACAACAAAGGAUCAAACUCAAGCAAUUAAAAGUAAUUCUCUAUGAGUACCAUCUGUGUCACACACUCAAGUGAGGAGAGAAAAGAAGGAGAAAGAAAGGAAAGGGACAAGGAAGGAAGAAAGUAAGGUCACGUAGGGCCAGUCUUGUAGAAAAUUUGAAAAGUAGCAUGAAAGAAGAGGAUAAUAGAGUAGUUGUCAGAAUCAAAACACGUAAGUUUUUUUUUUUUAACUGUGUCUGAGUGCUUUUUAUAAUUAUAUUUAAUUUAAAAAAUAUUAAAUUAAUAUAUUUUUUUUAUAUUUCUCGUUAUUAUAUAUAUAUAUAUAUAUAUAUAUAUAUAUAUAUAUAUUUAAUAUUUAAUAUUUAAUAUUUAAUAAAUUUUUAAAUAAAAAUAUUUUUAAACAGUAUGUGUCACAAUACAAAAUUAUAAUAUAAAUUAAAAGAAAAAGGAGUUUUAUGCUCAUUACUAUUCAGUAGAGAUGUAGAUAUUAAUAAUAAAGUUUUUGAGAGUCUUCGAUCUAGUAUUUGAACUUAUUUUUUUAGCAUAAUUGAAUUUUUUUAAGCUUAAUUGCAUAUUUUGUUUUUAAGGAAAUUGAGAGAGAGAAACUCGGCAAAAAUAUGUGGUUAAAAUCAAUCCAUUUUUUUUUAAAAAAAAACUCCUUAGUUGUUAAGGAAAGAUUGGUAGUGGGAACAAAUCACCAAAGUCAGCAGCAAGGAAGUUCUAGGGAGUGGGCAGCCUGUUUCAGGGCUACCUGUUUUUGAGAAUUAUGGAAAGUUAUCCCUAACUCAAAAACGGCACCAAUUAUAAGUUCAUUAAUAAAAAUCUGGAACACAACAGAUGGAACAAACUCGAAACAACUCGUCUAGAAUUUAGGCAAGAAGAAUGAGCCAAGAUUUUAAUUGCAAUGAAAUUUGUCUCACUUUGUUCUUUUUUUUUUAAAUGAUACAAGAUAUACUGCCUAUUUCAAGGGUAAAAUAGAAUGGAAUCAACAACCCAGCAUAUACCACAUAUGUGUAGCUGGAAUUCGAUAGCCUUUCUCCGAUGCUGAUAUGUGCUUUACAUGCACCAACAUUUCUUUCUCUUUUAUUCUGUAAUAUUUCACAUCGGCGAGUGAGGAUUUGGUAGCUGACCUUAUUAGUAGUGUUGAUUAAUGACUUAUCAGACGUGUUUUGAGGCCAUGCGUGGUCACCAAAAACAAAUUCGUGAGGGCAGUAAGGCCCAAAAUGAACAAUAUCUGACAAGGUGGAUCGGAUUGUGACAUUUGGUAUCAAAACUGGUCUCACUGACUAUCCAGUUGUGCUAACGGGGUCAUUGAGCUCCUUAAAGGGGGUGAAUUGUAAUAUCUCACAUCGGUGGGUGAGGAUUUGAAAGCUGGCCUUAUUAGUAGUGCUGGUUGCUGACUUGUCAGAUGCGUUUUAGGGCCAUGCGUGGUCACCAAGAACAAAUCCGUGAGGACGAUAAGGCCUAAAACGGACAAUAUUUCGCUGAGUUCUUAGACUGAUAAUGAUUGGUACACAUGUCAUCUCAUUACCUACUAAGCUCUUAUAUUGCCUUUACGAGGGUGAUCACUGGGACAAUAAGAGACCCUUUUGAGACUAGGUAGAAAUCCACCCAUCAUGUAAUGGCCCAAAACCUAUCCUUAGAGUAUGAGCUCCCUAAUACGCAUGUACAUAUAUUUGCAUCCAUAUAUACAUCAAUUCAUUGUAAAUAACAUACAUGCAUCAGAUUGAAAUAUAGGUCCCUAAAAAGUUUACAACACCCAACUUUGAGCAAGAAAUAUAGAAGAUGGAGAGCGUGCUCACCGUGAUACCCAUUUUCAAGAAGAGCUGAAGUCUCUGAAGACAAGCGUGGCUCGCCUCACUAGCUUACUCGAGCAAACACUGAGAAAUACCUCUGGUGAAAGCCCUUCUAACUGACCGGUCACCGUUAAUUAGGCUUCGAUUACAGUUUAGCCUAAAGAAAGAAUGAGCGAACAUGGUCAAGAGCCUCAGUAAAAUCCAACAUUUGUGCAGUCAGCGACACUUGCACUAGCCCCGACAGUCAUGGAGGUAUUUGCUAAUGAGUCCCAUAAGGCCAAUUCAUUUGAUAGCAUUGAUCAAGAUAAAAUACAGGCGUUGGAAGCCAGAAUCAAAGUCAUUGAAGGGGUAGACUUAUAUGACCCAGUUCGGGCAGUAGAGACGUGUCUGGUCCCAAAUGUGGUUGUCCCGAAAAAGUUUCGUGUUUCAGAGUUCAUCAAAUAUAGUGGAAUAUAAUGCCCCAUGACUCACCUCAAGUCCUACUGCAAUAAAAUGACAGAGGUAGUACAUGAUGAAAAACUAUUGAUGCAUUUUUUUCAAGAUAGUUUAAGUGGGGCAACAUUGAGCUCGUACAUGAGAUUGGACAACAUAAAAAUCUAGAGAUUGAAGGAUAUGGUGGUUGCUUUUGUCAAGCAGUACAAGUACAACAUGGACAUCACUCCCGACAGAACCAGCUUGUCCAAUAUAGAGAAAAAAAGACAAAGAAAGCAUAAGAGAAUACAUUCAAAGAUGGUGGGAAUCAGCUGCUCAAGUACAUCCCCAACUUCUGGAUAAAAAGAUGGGCACUUUAUUUGCCGACACACUCAAGGCACCAUAAUAGGUAGUUUGACCCAGCAAUUCACUAAUGUUGUGGUAGUGUGUGAACGCAUAGAGCAAGGCGUCAAGAGUGGUAGAAUUUCUGCACCCAUUGAGAAUAGAGGUUUCGAAAGAAAAGAGAUUAACCAUGUUGAAGAUGGCUAUAAGGGUAGGAAAAACUCAUCCCAAAACUACCACACUCCAUCCCAAAUUGCCGACAUAAAAAAACCUGAGCCCUAAAACUUUCAAGCCAAAAGCCAAAUUAGAAAUUACCUAAGGGUCUAAGAACAACUACCUCCAUUACCGCUACCCCUAAAUGAGAUGUACCAGAAGUUAUUAAGCAUCAGACAUAUAACUCUCGAACCUCUAGCACCUUUGCAACCCCCUUACUUCGGCUGGUAUAAGCCAGAGCUCACUUGCGAGUACCAUGCUGGUGUUGCCAGACAUGACAUUCAUAUUUGCAACACCUUUAAGAGAAAGCUUCUGCAAUUAAUUAAGGCAGGGUGAAUAGCAUUUGAAGACACUCUGAAUGUGAACAUGAACCCUCUACCUAAUCAUGCUUAAAGCGGUGGAUUAGAAAUGCACGAGCAAUCGAAUGUUUGGGGAAUCUGAAAGCAUCAAUGGUCCAGGUAGGGUGCGAAAUGGUAGCAUAAAUUUUGAAGGACUCAAAUUCCAACCACAGUUUUUAUCCCCAUCAUCCCAAGAAUUAUUAUAGGGAGGCUAGCCUAAGAGGAGAUUUACCAAAAUGGAAGGAUGAGGCCUGCCAUAUUAUUGCCUUUUGUUUAAUCAUGUUGGUUUUAACUAUUUCAGUCUUGUCGGUAAUUUAGCUCAUAAUGCCACAAGACUUUCUUUGUCAAAUGAGCCUUCUUGUUAAUAAGAUCAUAUAUUUUCCUAUGCUUAUAACAUGUUUUCCUUUUUCCAAAACUAUGCAUGAUCUCACAUAUUUAUAAGAAUUUUAGGAAUUCAAAGUUUGGUACAAAAAUAUAAAUCAUAUUGGUGUUUCUCCAAAACAAAUGAAUUCUAGAAAUUCAAGUGAUUCCUUAGAAAGGUAACUAUACACUUAGAAAACUUGAAAAAAAAAACAAAAAAACAAACACAAAAAAAACCAUGAGGUGACUCCAAAGUUGAGUUUUAUUUGAAUAAAUAAUGAGAAAUCACUUUGCAUACUCGCAUGAAAGCAAGGCUUACCGAUCUUAAGUGCAUGUGUUUGAGAUGAGGAAAUGCCUCCUUUGCAAUCCCUUUUUGAGUCUAGUAACAUUUUUUAGAAAUAACCUUGGAUAGGAUCACACCCCAAACCGGAGUCAAGUGCGAGAGACACAGAAAAGACCUCGAUGAUUGAAGUGCCCAAGCAACAUUGGGGGGCAUAAAAGAAAAUUCUCAAUCAUCAAAGGUGCUCAAACAAAGCUAGGGGUAUGAAGAAAAAUCCAAAGGAUCCAAAAUUUUUGAGCAUAAAAAAAACAAUUAAAUGAUGCUCAAAACCAAAUGAAGAAAACAAAAAGAAAAAGAAAAAGCCCAACAUUGGGGGGCAUGAUAAACCAUUUUGAAAAGACAUUUCAAAGACAAAAGGUCAGGAAACAAACACUAGUGAUCCUUAGUCUUGAAAUCCCUUGAAACAUCUUUUGAGCCUACAAAUAUCCUUUUCUUCAUAACCAAGAGCCCAAGCCUACAUUACAUGCCUAAUCAAGCCUUUUCUGAUCAAAGGCAAGCAAUCUGGAUCGGUAGGCAGUGCUUUCUCAUGUGAACCAAAUUAUUAUUCAUGCAAAUAAAAUGAAUGCUUUGAAGGCUGGUUCUUUGUAACCCUCAAAUUAAAUCUUAAACCAUUUUUUACCAAACCCAAUGUCACUUCAUGUUUUUCACCAAAAGCAAAACAAAAGGUUUUCAUCACUUCUGAAACCUCUCCAUAGGAAUCACUUGAAUUUCUUCAGAACGAGUUUGCUUUGAAUCGAUGUCAAAAUGAUUUCUGUGUCUAGAAUAGCUUUGAAAUUCCAACAUUUUUGCAUCAAAACAACUCCUUGUCAAAACUUCCUUUACAUAGCCUUAUUCCCAAACCCGAAUUGAAUACUUGGGGGUAUGAUCAAGCUGGGAGGCAAUAAAAAAUACAUGGUAGGGCAGGCUUUAUAAUUCUUUUUCUAAGAAAAAUAUCGGGCAGAAUUGGCAACCCUUGAGAUAUAGGUUAAAGGGUAAAGAAGUAGGAUGAUAUGAAGCCCUUCUUAGAGGUCAAGAUCACAAGAUAUGACUCAAGUAAGCAAGAGCGAAAAAGUCAUCAAAAUUUACUACUUACACUCCAACUUUUGAGAAAAGAAAGACACCAUGAAGAAAUAAGGACCUAUAUUUCUCAGGUAAGUAUGCAUGCAUAUCAAUCAGAAUGCAUUAGUUUCAACAUUGUCAGAUCGGUGUUUCACCAUCACCUUUUGGGCAGGGCAUUUUAUAACCCUACCUCAUUUUGAGUGUGUCUUUGAGCCGUCACUUUCUUUUCGAGUAAGUCUUUGAGUCCUCAUCUCAUUUUGAGUGCGCCUUUGAGCCUUUACUUCGUUGUCAAGAUGCGCCUUUGAGCCUUCGCUUCCUUUGGAGUGCGCCUUUGAGCCCUCAUUUCCUUUUGAGUACGUCUCUGAGCAUCUCUUAGGUAGUGCAUUUUAUAACCCUACCUCAUUUUGAGUGCAUCUUUAAGCCCUCACUUCCUUUUGAGUGCGCCUUUGAGCCCUCACCUCAUUUCGAGGGUGGUAGUGUAUUUUCUAACCCUACCUCCUUUUGAGUGCGCCUUUGAGCCCUCACCAUCUUCCUGGGUAGGUCAUCCAUUACAAUAAGGUCAUUCUUCCACCUGGGUAGGUCACCCAUUAUAAUGAGACCACUCUUCCCUUUUCCACUUGGGUAGGUCACUCAUUACAAUGAGACCAAUUCUCCGUAUUUUUUUGCCUAGGUAGGUCCCUCAUUACAAUGAGACCAUUCUUCCACCUGGGUAGGUCACCUAUUAUAAUAAGACCACUCUUUUCUUUUUUUCCCCUUUGGGUAGGUCACCCAUUACAAUGAGACCAUUCUUUUUUCUAGGUAGGUCACCCAUUAUAAUGAGACAACUCUUUCCUUUUUUUCCCUUUAGGUGGGUCACCCAUUACAAUGAGACCAUCCUUUUUUCUAGGUAGGUCACCCAUUACAAUGAAACCAUUCUCCAUGUUUUUUUUUACCUGGGUAGGUCACCCAUUACAAUGAGACCACUCUUUCUUUUUUCCACUUUGGUAAGUCAACCAUUAUAAUAAGACCAUCAUUUUUCUGGGUAGGUCACCCAUUAUAAUGAGACCAAUUCUCCUUAUUUUUUUACCUGGGUAGGUCACCCUUUACAAUUAGACCAUUCUUCCACUUGGGUAGGUCAUCCAUUACAAUAAAACCAUUCUCCAUAUUUUUUCACUUGGGUAGGUCACCCAUAACAAUUCAACCAUUUCAAAAAUCUUUGAAUUUCACUAGGAAAAAAACCUUUUGACCAUUUGAGUGUGCUUUCUAGCCCUCAAAUGCUUUCCAAACAAUUCAUCAUAUGGUGAGUCCGUUAUCUUUUUUUUUUCUUCUUUACAAAGCUUACUAUCUAAAAUCUCUUACGAGACUUUCUAUAGUAAGUAUUGUAAAUAGAGGGCAAUAUAUAUAUAUAUAUAUAUAUAUAUAUAUAUAUAUAUAUAUAUAUAUAUAUAUAUAUUUGGACUAAAAAAUAAACAAUCAAAAAAAUCAAAAAAAUAAUAACAGUGAGAAGAGGAUGCCAAAGUGCCUGGAAAAUAACUAAAAAUUGGUUGAGGAGGUUUAAAAAUACAAGGAUUGAAAUUUGACAGUAUAUCAUUGACUGAUGAGAGCCUGACUGACAAAGAAAAUUCAAUUUGAGGAAGAAAUGUAUAAAAUCAGAUGUUUAUUGGACUCAAUUAAAUUUAUUAAAGGUUAAAUUGAGUUUAUGAAGGGUUUGAUUGCAAGAAAAAUUAAUUUUGGAGUCAAUUUGAGCUUUAAUUGGAAGAAAUUAAAGUUCUGGGGUCAAAAUAUAAUUUUUGAGAGUUAAUUUGGUCAAAUCAGGAGCAAAACUGCAUAAAUAUUGAAGUUUGAUGGCCAAUUAGGGACUUAAUUGAAGAAAUAUGAAACCAAUGACCAAACUGGAAAAGACGCGUAAAUAGAGGGGUUGUAAUUAACUGAAUCAGGGGCUAAAUUGAAGAAAUUAAAAGUUUAUUGAUCAAUUAAGGGUCAAAUUGCAUACAUCAGAGACUAAGGACUAAAGUGAAAAAGGCGGCUAACUUCAGGGCCGACGAUUGAAUUUGGCAGGGAAGCAAUUGAAUUGAUUUUUAAAAUUAAAGUUACAAUUUAGGACUUGAUUGAACAAAUCACAAAUUGAAGACUGAUUUGGACUUUGAUAUGAUUCUGCCGUUAUUUUUUUUAAAUGAAACAACGUGUUUUGUCCAAAACAGCGCCGUUUCAUCUAUUGUUAAAAAAAAAAACCUCAAACGAUGCCAUUUUAAAUGGCACUGUGGGUCUUCUUCUUCCCUGCAAACGCAGAGGCAAGGGAAGAAGAAGAUUUCUUUCCCCAGCAUUUCUCCUUUUCUCCUCUCUCCCCAUCAAAUUCACAUCCUACCAACCAUUAUGGCUGUCAUAGAAUAGCAAUGGCGAUCUUUUGGCCAUCAUGCCAUAAAAGCCUCCUUUGAGCCAAUUCCUCUCUCUUGCUCUUGCAAAUAAGGCACGAAAAGAGGACCUGAAAUCACGGUUGCAAAUAAGGAGAGAAAUAGUGUGUUUGUGUUUUUAUUUUUUAAAAUAUUAUUUUUAAAAAAUAAUUUUUUGUAUUCUAAAUAAAAACAUGAUAAAAGGAGUAUGAUAAAAGAAGAAAGAAAGGAAUGGGAUAAAGAAGAAAGAAUAAAAAAAAAACCCUAAAAUCACGGCAUGAUAAAAGGAGAAAGAAAAGGAUGGGACAAAGAAGGAAGAAAGUAAGGUCGCGUAGGGGCCAGUAUUGAAGAAAGGCUAAAAAAACUAUGUUUCUGAGAAAGGACCAGGUAAUCCAAGGAACCAAUAGAUUAUCGCCACAUGUUCAACCUUAGAUUCUACUGUGACAUGGAGAUAAAGGUAAUCUCAAAAGCUAAUAGAUGGUCGCCACGUGUUCAACUUUAUGUACCCACUAGGAAAGGAUAAAAAGGUUAAAAAGGCUUUAAAAAGAAAAGAAAAGGAAAGACAGAAAUAAAGGAAAGGACGUGGAAAUAGAAGGAGAGGUUGAGGGAGGCAGAAACGGAAGAAGACAUUGAAAGAUCGGAGGAGAGCAAAGAAAACAACAUGUUUGAGUGGGAUUUUUUUGUGCCUUCGAUAAAAAUACUCUGUUUUUUUUAUCUCUUUGAUUGGGAUUUUUUUGUGUCUCUUUUAUUUGGAAUUUCUUUGGACACUUUUAUAAUAUAAUAUCAAAAAAAAAAUUGAUUAAAUUAUUGUUCAUUCAAACACAGAUUUACUGUGGACUUCAAUAGUAUUUUUCUCUAUAUUUUGAAUUUUAGUUUUUGAUAGCCAUGCUCAUUUGAUUUUUUUAUUUUUUUUCAUAUUCUUCCAAAUAAUGCAGGAAAUGAGGACCUGAAAUGACAGCAACGAAUAAGGAGAGAAAUAACGUGUUUGUUCUUGUUUCUUAUAAAGUAUUUUAAAAAGCAUUAAAUUAAAUUAAAUUUUAUUUUUAUUUCAAAUUAAUUUUUUUAAAAACUAAUUUGAAAAUUAGUAUGAAAAAAGAGGAUAAUAGAGUAGUUGUCCAAAUCAAAACACAUAAAUAUAGGACAAAAACAGGGAUAGUAGAGUGCUCUUUCUUUUGAUUUCUUAACUGUAUUGGUUUAAUAAGGUAUAUAGAGUGUUUUAUAAAUAUUUUAGAUAAAAAAAAUAGGUUAAAAGCAAGCUUUUUAAAUAAAAAAUCAAGCUUUAUUUUUUUAUAUAAUUUAAAUAAAAUCAAUUUAUUUACUUGUUCAGAAUUAUAACUAGUUAUAACUCAGGAGAAAAGACUUGUAAAGAAGUAGAAUUACUGAUACGAACACAACAAAAGAUCAAACUCAAGCACUUAAAAGUAAUUGCUUAUGAUGAUCAUCUCACUAAGUAAGGAGAGAAAAGUAAGGAGAAACGGAAGGAGACAUAGACAGAUCGGAGGAGAGUAAGAAAAAAAUAUAUGAAUAUGUGAUGUCCUAUUUCUCAUAAAAAUACUCUGUUGUUUUUUGGUCUUUUAUUUGAAAUUUCUUUGGACACUUUAAUAAUAUAAUAACAAAAAAAAUUAAAAUAUUGAUGAAAUUAUUAUUCAUUCAAACACUAAUUUACUAUGGACUACGAUAGUAUUUUUUCUUUAUUUAUAUUUUGAGUUUUAGUUUUUAAUAGCCUUUGAUUUUUUAAAAUCUUCGAGGACCUGAAAUUACGGCAACGAAUAAGGAGAGAAAUAGCAUGUUUGUUUUUUAUUUUUUAAAGUAUUAAAAAAAAUAUAUUUUUUAUUUUUAUAUUGAUAUUAAAAAUAAUUUUUAAAAAUAAAAAAUAUUAUUUUAAUAUAUUUUAAAUAAAAAAUAUUAAAAAAAAACCCACUUUAAAAACCUUAAAAUCACGGCAUGAUAAAAGGAGAAAGAAAGUUCUCUCUUUUAUUUGGAAUUUCUUUGGACAAAGGAAGAAAGUGAGGUCACGUUGGGGGGCCAGUAUUGUAGAAAAUAGGAGAUGAAAAUUAGUAUGAAAAAGAGGAUGAUAGAGUGGUUGUCCCAAUCAUAGUGGUUUUUAUAAUUAUAUUUAAUUUAUAGAAAUAUUAAAUUAAUAUAUUCUUAGUGUUUUAUAUGAUUUAUAGAAAAAGACUAAUAGCUAGAAAACAAUCAACAGAUCCAAGAAUUUUCUGUAUGGUUUCGAAGAAAUUCUAACCCUUUUAUAAAACAAAAAAUUGUUUAUAGUUUUAUCCUUCAUUUCAACAUAAUGAUGUAUUUUUUCCCAACUUGCAAUUGAAGUUCGAGGAAGUGUGCAGCCUUUGUUCUGCUGUUCACACAGACUAAGAACUCCUACCAUUGUAAAAUCAUAUAAUUAAAACACAACAAUAAAAAUGUAAUAAUCAGAUCUUAUAGCGUUCAGCUGAUUGCUUUACUUGUUUAAAUAAUUCUCUUGUAAGCCUAAUGGUUCACGUCUUCCAUCAUUGCAACCUUUUUUUCUGUGAUUGAAAAAUCUAUAAUAGGAACCUGCACUUCAUCCCUUCUAUGCUGUUGUUCUUUCUUCUUGUUUUGCUAUUUUGAUUUUAUCAUAUUUUCUAUGAUGAAAGUUGAAGAAAACACCCCUUCUUUUGCAAUUAUUACCACUCCCCCCACGUGGCUACCCAUAAUUGGACUGUCAUCUCAGCUGUAUAAAUGUCUCGCUCAAGCCAAAAACAGAAACGCACAAAACCCCUCCCCCAACAGAGAAUCAAAUGAUAGCUAAAAUCAAAUAUUAUUAUUAUUAUUAUUAUUAUUGCCCCAACAACAAACAAUUAUUAUACAAUUAUUAUUAUUGCUGUUGUUAUUUUAGGUGCCACCUAGUCCUUUGCUAGGAACUUAACAUCCAAAAAUGCCUUCACUAAUCUUUUGCUCAUUUUGAAACCGAAGAGUCCUGUACUAACAAAAGCCUUUUUAUAGGAUGCUAUGUUUUCUUACCCACCUCACGAACAUGAUCAUGAACACGAGCCUAAGAUGACUCUCUUUUUACUUUCUUGAAUCAAUAAAAUAACCAGUGAGUCCUGUUCUUGCAUUCGACUAAAAAAGGUCUGCAAAAUUACAGUAAUCUCAAAACGUUCAUAAUGGCACUGAUAUAAGCCUAUUGUUACCAUCCUGCUAACAAAUACAAAUACGAACAAUGGCUUUACAAGUUGACUGAAUGAAAGCAGUACAAUGGCUUACACGGACCUGAAGUUAAACGACGAAUUGUAGCAGCAGGAAAAAAUUCCGAUGCUUCGGUCUUUCUUCACUUCUUCUUGUCACCAACCUCUUCUAUUCCACUCUUUGUCUCCGUCUUUUCCUUUCCCAAUCCCACCAGUUUUCUCUAGUCUCCUCCCUUCUUUUCUGCCCUUCCCCUCUUGUGCUUCCUCUGUUUUUUCUUUUAAUAAACGAAAACAAAUCACCGACUUUAUUUGCAUCCAAUCUUUGGAGGUAAUCUUGCAAAUCAACUUAGUUACUGACCAUUGAUUUCUCUUUGCUUGAUUCGUGGAGAUAGGAUCUGAUUUUGAAAGCUAAAUCUUGCAUCAAAAUGGAAAGGAUGGCUGCUGGUCUUGGAAGGAGGCUGAUUGAGUGAGCAUGUUUGGCAUAAAAUCUGUAAUGGAUUCUGAGAGUUAAAGCCUGAUUUUUUGUAUCAUGAUUGUAGCUAACAUAUCAUAGAACAUUCUUCUCUCAUUUUCUUGCCACCAAGAGAAUCAAUUGGGAUCAAAAUUAGGCCCUAAUAUUGCACGAAGAUCAGUCUUCCUUGCCCACAAAUCUGCAGAGCACAUGAACAAAACGACGUUGUUUCCUUUGAAUCUUCAUCUUUUAUUCUCCCCUCUUUCAAUCAAAAUGCAUCGUUUCAAUUAAUUUGAAACAACGCCGUUUUAGGCCUUAGGGUUUCUUUUCUAAUUAAAUCAGGCCCAUCUUCAUAUAAGUCCCUGUAUUUAAGUGUUUUUUUCAUUUCAGUCAUUCGUCUUUGAAUCUUUCUUAACUAGGUCAAUUUCAUCUUUUUCUUCUUACUUUCUUUCAGUUAUACCCCUGACAGAAUAUGUCCUCUAAAUUCUCUGCUUUAUCCAUUUCCGUGCUUCGGUACUUCAAUUCUUCAUUUUUUGAGCCAAAUUGCCUUCUAAUUUCAAUUUGAUUUUUCAAUUAAGCUCUUAAUUAAUUUUCUAACUUGAUUAUUUGUUCCAAACUCAUCUUUGAACCUCAAUUUCUUUCAAUUUUAGCUAAUUUAAGCCCAUUUCUCUUCAAUUCAGAUCUCAAAUAUGACUUCAAAAUUUACAAACUUCAUUUUUACUUGUGAUACUCAAAUGUUGGUCCAAUUGCAACCCUAUAUGAUCAAAGAACAAUAUUAUAUUUUUUAAACCCUUCACUCUUAUAAAAACAAUUUAUAUGAUUAUAAAUAGGAAAAAAUAGGAUUAAAUAUUUUUUAGAAAUUACAUAUUAUUGUUUAAGUUUUUUUUCUUAAUUAGAGAUAAGUAAAAGGUUAAUACAACUCCUAAUAAUUAGUUUCAUGUAAAAAAUAAAAAUAGUAACUAAAAUUUUAUUUUAGUUAUAAAGUUAAUAAAAUUUUAAAUAUAUUUUAAUUGAAUUAAAUAUUUCAACACAAAAUUUAUGUUCUUAUACAGUUAUAUAUUAAUUCUAACAAAUAAUAUGAUUUCUAUGUUUAAAUUUUGGUAUUAAUAACACAGACAACAAUGAGGCAGUUAAGAUUUUUAGAUAAAAAAAUUAUUAAAAAAUAAAAAUAAGCUAGUACAUUUGUUCCAUAACUAAAAAAAAUUGAUUUUUUUCUUUAAAUUAAUUAUUUUACAUCGUUUUAAUAUGUUAAUGUUAAAAAUAAAUUUUUUUUAAAUAAAAAAAUAUUAUCUUUAUAUAUUUUCAAAAAGUAUUUUGAAAAGUAAUUAUUAUUAUUUUUUUAAAAAAUUUGCAAGUAUUAACAAUCAUAGUUUCUACUUUAAAAUAUGAAUAUGUUACAGAAAACUAAGGUAGCCGGUCAUGUGGGCUCAAUGAACCUAGUACAGUUGGCCUAACCUAAAUUCCUCAGUACAAGUUGAUUAUGGAAAAGGCACCACAUUUAAUUAGGGGUUGUUCGCAUGCAUUUUAAUUGGAGUUUUGCAUAUAUUUUUGAAAAAAAAAAAUUGUACUUUAAAUUGAAUUUUUUUUUAUGUUUUUAGAUUAUUUUGAUAUUUUAAAGUUAAAAAUUAAUUUUAAAAAAUUAAAAAAUUAUUUUAAUCAUUUUCCAUAUAAAAAGCAUGUUGAAAAACAACGUGUACCACUCUUCUGUUGCUCUAAACACCCUUUGACGACAAAGGAAUGCAAGACAUGUAAACAUAGGAGGUUUGGUGAGCAUAUUGGAAUUUGAUCAUCAGAGGCUAUGAACUGAACUUGGAGCUCUUUGUGAGUUAUCAUAUUAGACAAAGUAAGGUCGAUUUCAACGUCCUCCAUGCAAGCAUGAAAAACCAAAUUCAUUAUGAGAUAUAUAUCCCCAAGAUUAUCACAUCAUAAAAAAGAGGAGUAGUGGUCGAAAUCCCUAAAUCUAUAAAAACAAAUGAAAAUAUACUUGAUAUGUGCAUGUUAUGAUGAUGAAAUGAAUAUGCAUAGAAAAUAUUAUAUGUGUAAUGAAUGAAUAUGGAUUGCCUAUAACAUUUUUCUUGAAGGAAUCAUGACCAAAGACUUCUUUGUGAUUCAGGAGGAGCGACCAUGAUUGGAUCUUCUAUUAGAGGAGGUCACGAGACAAGUGGAGCAGGUGCGUGGUUUCCUCUCUCCUUUACGCUUAUGCAAUUUAAAGUCUUCUUGAUGAAUGCAAUUACAAUAAUGUUAUGUUCAAUGUAAAUAAAGUAUGGCGUUAACAAAAUUAGCUUUGGCUAAUGACGUCCAUAAUAGGAUUGUCGGGGAAUGAAUUACAAGAGUAGUUUCAGCUAAUGACAUCCGUGAUAGGAUUGCCGGAAAUGAAUUACAAGAUUAGUUUCAGCUACUAACGUCAUUGUUGGGACGCCUGGGAACGAUCGAUAAGGCUCGAUUCUUAAAGGGUAUUUAUGUUUGGAUGACUUGGGAAAAUUGAAAAGUAUAAUUGUCUAAAAAUAUCCAGGUUGGAUUAUGCAAAGUCACUCGGUUCAUGCAAGAAAAUAAGAGUAUUAAAAUUAAGGAUAUGUAAAUGAUAUCUAAUUGGGUUUUAUAUGAUUCACAAGUAAAUUAUAAGUUUAUUAUUAAAAUUCUUAUAGAAUCGAUAGAAAAUUUAUGUUUUAUUUAUAUACAUUACAUGAUCAUUUAUAUUUUUUUUGUCAACAUAUUAGUAUGCUUAUUACGUUGGUAUUGUAACAGGUUCAUCUAAUAUCCAGGAGCUCAUUAGUUUGGGGGGUGUUUGCCCCGCACUUUAAUUUGAGUUUUGCAUAUUUUUUUUGAAAUUUCUUUUACUUUAAAUUGAUUUUUUAUGUGUUUUUGGAUCAUUUUAAUAUUCUAAAAUCAAAAAUAAAAUUUUAAAAAAAUAUAUAUAUAUAUUAUUUUAAUACAUUUCUAAACAAAAAAUAUUUUAAAAAAUAACAUUUAGCAGUGUUCCAACACCCGCUUAUAACAAAAGGAAUGCCAAAUGAGUAAACAAAAGAGGUUUGAUGAGCAUAUUGGGAUUCGAUCAUAAGAGGCAAAGUAUAGGUCGAUUUCAACAUGCUUCACGCAAGCAUGAAAAACCAAAUUCAUUAUGAGAUUAUCACAUCAUAAAAGAAGGAGAAGAGAUCGAAAUCCCUAAACCUAUAUAUAUGAAAAAGAACUAAGCAAUUUUAUCUCGGCAACAACAUUGACAAUAACUUUAUGUUCAGCCUUGGUACAAUUUUUUUUUGGUUUUUUUAGUUUAGAAAUAUAACGUUUUGGUACAAAACUUUAUUUUAUUUGUAUUUUAGUUUUUAAAUUUAAAAAAAGAUAGAGAGAGAGAGUUGUUGAAAAACUACAAAGAAGGAAGAAAGUUAGUGAAUGAUAACUUUUUGGUGAUGAAAGUUAUUGUUUUUAAUGUGAAUGGAUUUCAUUUAACGAUUAAAGUUUUAUUUUAGUUUUUUUUUUAUCUUAUUGAAAAAAAUAGAUCAUGACUCGAUAAUUAAUUUAGAUUUAGAUUGAUUUUUUAUUUUUAAAUUAAUUAAAUGUUUAUUUAAAAUCAUGAAUGAUUAAAUAAGAUCAUUUUAAUGAAACUCUCAUCUUUAAGAUGAAUCCAUUGAUAUUAAAAUAGGUCUUUUUAUGACAUUAGUCAAAUACUCUCUUUUCUCUAUUUUCUCACCACAUUCCCUGUCUCCUCUCAACAUUUAAUAACUAAAAAUAUAAUAAAAAAUAAAGUUUUAAGAUUGAAUCAUAAAAAUUUAAAACUACAUAAUUAAAUAAAUCUGAAAAACAAAAAUUCCAAGAACCAUGUUAAACUUUUAUGCUAUAAAAGGAUUGCAUAAUAAGAGAAUAGUUCAAUGCAUAAUAACUUGAGUCUCGCCCACAUUAAAAUUUGUUAUGGUAAGAAUAACAAAUGUUUUAAUUUAAAAUAUAAUAUGAAGCAUAUACGACUUUCGUAAAUUGAUUUAAUAUAUUUUAGAGUAUCUGCUCGAAAAAGCCAUUCAACAUGAGAUUGUUCUGCUAGGAAAACAUGAUAUCAAACUUUUGAACAAAUAGUACAGCAUCAAGUCUCAGUCACCUAUUGUCACCAUGAAUGCCCAAAUAUAUUCACAGCUCAAAGACACGAGUCUCCAUCUUCUUUCCACCCGUUAUAUCUGUUCCACUCUCUAUUAAUGCUUGAAUCUUCAGCUACUUCAGAUACCUGUAAACCAAUUCAAGCAUGGCAUGCUCAUUUUAACUUGUAAAUCUUAUUAUUGAGCGAAACAAGAAACAAACACACUAAAAGAGAGGCAAGAAAUAAAGUUAAAUCAGCAGUACCUCUGAUUGAGCACUCAUUGAACCAUCUGGUGUAGUAGCAAAUUUUGUGGUCAGCUUUGGACAUUGAUGGACCUUCAACUUCUCCAAACGAGGGAAUAAGAAAUCACAGCAUCCGAAACUAAAAUAGACAAUACUUGAUAAUUGUUCCAGCGACAGCUCAUUUAGAUUAGGAAGCACCAUCUCCUUCUCAACGUUGACAGGUGAAGCACGAUCAUCCUGCCCAAAUACUCCCCAUAAUUGAGAGGAUUUUUUAACUGUAAGUAUUCGGAGCUCUGGGAGACCUGAAGCCAUGGCUACUGGGAAGAGGCUCUUCAACUUGUUGCAUUCUCUAAUCUCAAUUUCACGCAAAUUUAAAUACCUCUUCCAAUGAUUUGCAGUCCUCAAUUUCCACCCUCCUUAGAUUUUUCAGAUCUCGCAGCAAUUUUGCUGGAAACGGAGUGCAAACAUCCCCACAAUCGUACACGUGUACAUAUUCUAAUCUUUGUAAGAAGUCGUUUUGCUGUUCAUGGGCGGCCAAUCUUAUCAGAGAACAAUAAUAUAUUUUUUCACUCUCAUGAAAACAAUUUAUAUGAUGUAUAAAUAGGAGGAAAAAAUAGAAAAAACAGGAUUAAAUACUUCUUAGAGAUUACAAUUACAAUUUAUAUGAAUAAUAAUUAGAUUUUUGCGAAAAAAGGUUAAUACAACUGCUAAUAAUAUUUUUAUUUUAGUUAUAAAGUUACUAAAUUUUUAAAGAUAUUUUAAUUGAAUUAAAUAUUUGAACACAAAAUUUAUAUUAAAUUGUUGGUAUUAAUAACGCAAAAUUACGUACUUGUAGCUGUGCCAACCAAUUACCCACUUCUUCGUGGCCUUGAAUGGUUAAUUCUUGCAAAGGCAAUUGAGCAUCAAAAUUCCUUGGACCUAAAAAGCUGUAAUUUGAUCGGAGCCAAAGAGACAAUUCUCUUAGUUGAGGGAACUUGAUGAUGCCAUCUCUGUUAUGUGACAAAGAGACUGGGAAGACAUAUUCCAGUUUAUCACAGAAAGAUAUGUUGAUAGUUUUUAAUUGUGGGAAGCAAGGAGACUCUGGAAUUAUUUUUUUUUCACCAUCCUCUUCUCUGAUAAUAUGCUUCAAUUCACCGCAUUCACUUAUACGAAGGCUUUCUAGCUUUGGCAGACUGUAAGCGAGGGACGGUGUGAAGAUAAAUAUGAGUUUGUCGAGAGAAUUCAAAUUCAGAUGAGCAAGACUUUGAAGGCUUACAUGCCUGGUGUGCCCCCUCCUCCUCACUGCUUCCUUCAUCAGCCUCACCCAAUUCAAAUACCUCUUCCAAUGAUUUACAGCUGUCAACAAUCACCUCCUUUAGAUUUUUUAAACCUUCCCGCAAUCUUGCUGGAAACAGAGUGGAAAGAUCCCCACAACCCUAGCUUUUACAAAUUCUAAUUUAUGUAAAAACAAUUGCUCAAAUGUCUUCGCAUUUAAGGAUGUACCAGCCAAAAUUAAUCUUGUCGAGGUUGGGUAUCCAUAAUUGGCUACCACAAACCAAUUCCCUAAUAUUAUAUCAUAUUUGCGCAAGCUAACUGGAAAAACAAAAUCUCUGGGAAUGCAUUCAACCUUCGGUAUCCUCAAUGAUAAUACGGCUAACUGAGACAACGAAUUUAGUUCUGUUAGGCUUGCAUUCAUUCCUCCUGUGACAUCCAACAACAUCCCAUCCAUCAAAGCUGCCAUCCCCGAUCAACAGCUCUUCUAACUUCUUCAACCUUCCAAUCAAAUUCACAGGGAUCCUUCUUAGCCUUUGACAACCUGUCACAUCCAACAACCUUAACUCCUUGAGCUCUCCUAUUUCAUCAGGUAAUUCUUCAAUGGAUAAGCACGACAUAAGACCAAGAAUCUUAAGUCCCUGCAGCUUUCUCAACGAAAUGAGGUCCUUGCAUUCGCACUCCGUCAACAGCGACAAUUGAAGUUUCGUUGAGAGUUCGAGUGAUUGCAAUGACAAACACCCUCCCUUCAGAGACAAAACUUCAAUUUCUUUCAUCCCUUCAAAAAACCUCUCUGGAACAUUCAAACCAUCAUCCAGUUCUAAUAAUAGAACUUUGAGCUGUGGACAUACCAAUCCUUCAGGAAGUUCUGCUAGUUUAUUGCCCAUUAACGAAAUUGUUGUGCAACCUUCAAAGCUUUCAAUACUCGUUGGCCACUUCUCCAAUACCAUGAAUCCAUAUUCUUUUGAUGAUGCUAUCUGAAUAGCAACAUCACGAACCAAGUCAUGCAUUCUCACAUGUUCUUCAGUUUCAGUGCCCAACAACAAACAACAAGCUUUGAGGUCUUUGAUUGCCACAUGAACUUGUUCCCUUGCAUCUUCAAUGGGCUCCCCAUCUUGAUGUAACCCAUAGCCAACUGCAUAUCUCGUCAAGUCCUCGACUGGAAUGUUGUAAUCUUCUGGAAAUAAACAGCAUAGCAAGAAACAUAACUUGGUUUCCUUGGACUUCAAAUAAUCGUAGCUCAACUUAAGACAUGCAUAUGCAUUUUUUUCUUCAAUUUGUUCCAUGUCCGGAAAUUGAGAGUUUUUGAGCUGUUUAGACACUCUUUUCCACUUAACUGCAGAUUCAUCUCUUAGAGCCCUUCCCAUUGUCACGAGUGCUAUAGGCAAGCCGUGGCAUUCUCUCGCAACAUCCCUUGCCACUUCGUUCAAGGUAGAGUCCCCAUCAUCUAAACCUGCAUUGAUUCUGAAUAAAUCGCAUGCUUCUUUUUCAGGUAAUACUCUUAAGAACACUUUUUGCUGGCACUUCAUAGAAGAACAUAUAUUUUUACGACGAGUUGUUAGAAGAAUUUUACAACCCCUGUGAUCAUCACCAAAUGGGAUCCCUAUCUCUUUCAAGUCAAUAUGUUUCCAAACAUCAUCCAGGGUUAUAAGCAUCUUCUCCACUUUCUUCAGUCUCUGCCGUAAUCGAUCUGCUCUCCCUUCUUUACUGUUUUCUUCAAUUUUCAAACCUAACAUAUCUGCCAUUCGGUUCUGAAUGUCUAUGACAUUUGGAUUCUGCGACACCGUAGCCAUCAAAACUUCAUCAAAAAGCUGCGACUCUGUGGCUAUCCUGCCUACUUCUUUCACCAAGGUGGUUUUACCCACCCCUCCCAUGCCGUACAGUCCGAUCAUAUUGACGUUGUCAUCUUUGAGAGCUUCCAUAAUCUGUUCCAAAGCUUCUUCUGACGAUUUUGAGGGCGUGAAUUCCUUUGAUGUUAGAAAUUCUAUGCGCUGAGGAGGACGUUUGUCGGCCACUUUUGUAAACUUUUCGCUACUUUCUCCAAGUUUUCUGAAAGUCUCCGACUUCUUGGCCAGUGCCUUGCUUAACUUGAAUUGUCGCAUGCAGUUUGGGCACCAAGUAAAGCAUUUGCCAUUUUUUCCUAUUUCAUUUUCCAACGGCUUCGCACCUUCAAUUUCGUUGUUUGCAUCUUCCAGCCACUUUUUGACAUCUUUGUAAAUUUCUUCAGCAUUCCUUUCAGGAGCUCUGACAACAUCUUGCAGACGAUCUUUUUCCGAAACCAGGUUCUCCUCUCUUUCUUUGAAUUCUUGAGCAAAAUUGUUGAAACAGAACAUGUAACGGAACUGCCUUCCUACUGGUUCCACCAUGAGUUCUGCUAGCAUAGCUAUAAUGGAUCCACCAGCACUUUCGAGAGCCAUUUUCCACGGGUCUGAAAAUCUAAGAAAUAAGGAUACAGAACGUGAGAGUGAGUCACUACAAGUAAAACAGGCGCAGAGAGAGUGGGAAUAGGAAUCCAUUACCUUAAUUUGGGAAAAUAUGUGCGCAAGAGCACUGGUACUGAGUGCUCAAUGAAAUAGCGGGAGGAAGAAAAGGAGAAGGCCUUUAGCUCUGUAUGGAUUCCAGCUUCAAAAGCAACAAGGCAAGGUAUAAGUACAACAAUAAAAUAGUUUACAUGGAUUCUAACUGACUCUUGUGAGUUAACUUAAAGCAGUAGUUCCCAUUAAAAAUGCAUUUUGAUGACAUAAUUAAGAUAAUAUAGAGACAGUGACAAACAAAUAAAAAAAUAAAAAUGUGUAAAAGUACUCACGCAAAGAAAGAAACGAUUGAAAGGUUCGGAUAAUCACUUAGACGUCUCCGUGGAUGAUACCAGCUCGCUUCCAUGGAUAGGUCAAAGUUUUUUUUAGUUUUCUUUUUUUAAAAAAAAAAACAGAUCAACAAGAGAAAAGACUUGCAAAGAAGUAGAAUUACUGAAAGAAACUCAACAAAAAAUCAAACUGAAGCAAUUAAAAAUAAUUGUCUAUGAUGACCAUCUCUGUAUCACAUAUUCAGGUAAUAUUCAGGUAACAAUAUUAAAAAAAAAAAAAAAAAAAAGCUAAAAGAACUACGUUUUUGAUAGCAUCCAGAGUGCGGUUACUCUUUUAAUCCCUUUUUUGUGGUUUUAUUUUAUUUCAGUCCUUCAAGUCUUUUUCUUUUGCUAUUUCAUCGAGUUGCUUUGCUCUUGAGUUGUUUUGUGGUUUUAUUUUGUUUCAGUCCUCGAACAUGCAACAUGCAUUAUGCUAGGAAUCAUAAUUACAUAUUAUAAUUACAAAUUUCAGUUUUUUUAAAAAAAAAUAUAUGAGAAAGGACCAAUAUUACAAUGUGAACAAAUGAAAGGAGAAUUUUAAAUUUUCUUGUGACAUGGUGACCAGGUAAUCCAAGGAACCAAUAGAUUAUCGCCACUUGUUCAACCUUAUCUGCACAUUAAGAUAGGGUUGAAAGUAGGAGAGAAAAGUCAUAACCCUAGAUUCUAUUGUGACAUGGAGAUAAAGGUAAUCUCAAAAGCUAAUAGAUGGUCGCCACGUGUUCAACUUUAUCUACCCUUAGGAAGGGAUAGAAAUGGGAGAGAGAGAGGUUAAAAGGCUUAAAAAAAAGAAAAAAGGAAAGACAGAAAUAAAAGAAAGGUUGAGAUAAGAGAGGGACGUGGAAAUAGAAGGAGAGGUUGAGGGAGGCUGCAGAAACGGAAGAAGACAUUGAAAGAUCGGAGGAGAGUAAGAUAAAAAUAUGAAAAUGAGAUGCUCGUUUAUCUUUUUGAUUGGGAUUUUUUUGUGCCUUUGAUAAAAAUACUCUGUUUUUUUUUUUUUUUUCUCUCUUUGAUUGGGAUUUUCUUGUCUCUUUUAUUUGGAAAUUUUUUGGACACUUAUAUAAUAUUGGUGAAAUUAUUGUUCAUUCAAACACAAAUUUACUUUGGACUACAAUAAUAUUUUUCUCUAAUUUUGAGUUUUAGUUUUUGAUAGCCAAGCUCGUUCGAUUUUUUUUAUUUUUUUUUUCAUGCUCUUGUAAAUAAUGUAGGAGAUGAGGACCUGAAAUCACGGCAGCGAACAAAGAGAGAAAUUUUAUUUUUAUUUGAAAUUAAUUUUUUAAAAACUAGUUUAACAAUUAAUAUAUAUAUAUAUAUAUAUAAAGAUAAUAGAGUAUUUGUCCAAAUCAAAACUCAUUAACAUAGGACACAAACACGGAGAGAGCUAUUUGUUUUUUUAACUGUAUCAGAGUGGUUUUUAAUUAAUAUUUUUAGUGUAUUUUUAUGAUUUAAAAAAAUGUUUUUUUGAUGAUAUAUAUAUAUAUAUAUAUAAUUUUUUUAAUAUAUUUUUAAAAUUAUAUGUCACGAAGGGGGUUUUAUAUUUUUUAAAAUUCACGUAGAUUUAUUUUACUGUAGAUAACAAUAAUGAAUAUUUUAAAAAUUUUAAAGAGAGAAACUUGUUAAAAUCAUUGUUUUUUGAGUUAAAUCAUUGUUUUUUUUACUUUAAAAACACCUCAAAAAUAAUCUGAACUCCAAAAAAUCUCAGAAAAUCUUUUAUUUUAGGUUGUUUUUAGAUUUUAGAGUGGUUUUUUGUAUUUUUGGAGAUUUUGUAUUAGUUUAAUAAGGUUAUAAGAGUGUUUCAUAUAUAUUUUGGAUAAAAAAAUAGGUUGAAAAUAAAUUUUUAAAUAAAAAAUCAAGCCUUGUUUUUAAAUAUAAUUCAAAUAAAACUAUUUAUUUAGUUGGUCAGAAUUAUAAUCUUAAUUAUUUAAUAUUUUUUUAGAGGAAAAAGAAACACGCUUACAAAUAGUGCAGUACAAACCGAAGAGACAUCUUGUUUCCCUAAAAAGAAAAAGAAAGGAAUAUAUAUAUAUAUAUAUAUAUAUAUAUAUAUAUAUAUAUCCUCUCUUUUUAUAUCUUCUCUCUUCUUAAUUUUAUCGACCACUUAUCCAACGAUAGCCUAAACAACCAUCAGUCAUGCCUCUUUUCAAGACACAAUCUAUCAAUCUCUAAACUAGAAACAUCCCCUUCUUCAUUUAACCUAAUCUCAUAACUCCAAGAAAGUGAAGGACUAAAUCAUAGUGACAAAUCUUAAAGAGUUCUAAAUUAUCUCUGUUACUUUCCCUCAAUUUUCUAGACAACCAAAAGGAGCUCUAAACUUAUUCCCAAAAAACAACCAAUCAGCACUGAAAGAAACCGAGUCAAUGAGAGAAAAAGACUAAUAGCUAGAAAACAAUCAACAAAAUGAAGAACUUUCUGUAUGGUUUCCAAGAAAAUGAAAAGAAACAAGCAGCACAACCCUUUUUCCCCUCCAAGAAAAGAAAGACAAGGUAAAAGGUAAAAGAAAGGAAAGAAACAAAGAUAGAAAGUCGAACUUGGCUAAGUCUAUAGCUUAUUAAAUUCAUAUAGAAAGGUGGGAUUUUAUAAGCCAUGUAAUAUCUCUUUUUUCUUAGCAACCAAACACAACUAGAAAGCCAAAAGAAAACAUUUUUGAUGAAUACCCACCAAACAGUUGAAGUGCUGUUGUAACUGAGAUUUACUGUUAUAUGUAAUUUUUGUGGUUCAAUGGAUAAAUAAUUUUCUUUUCUUUCAUUUUACCAGCUUUCGCACGUGGAAUAUUGAGUCUUCUGUUUUUUUCAGCCAUAUAAUUGAAUCCUUUAUAUAUUCUUAAAACCAGAUUUGAAUUCUAAGUUCCUAAAUGAAGGAAUAAUAAAGAUUGUUGCAUGUAUAAAUUUUCCUUCAAAAAAUUAACAAAUAAUAAAGUCUCAUAUGUUAAUGAAGAUUUAAUUAUAACUUAGCCCUGUAAUUUAUUGAAAUUAAUUAUUGUGUCCUUAAAGUAUCAUGGAUAAUUAAAAAGUCUAUUAACUAGUGUUGAUCACCCCCUAUUUACUAUAUUUUUCUCUAAAAAAUGCCUUCCUAAUGAAAUUUCCCCAACUGCAUACUUUUUUUUUCCUUAUUCUAUUUUUCAAAAAAGAAGAAAAACAAAUAUUACUUGGAAACAAACUAAACUAUAUGUAACUUUAAUAAUAUAAGAAUUAAGCAUAUAGUUAUUGAAACUAUAUGAUUAAUUAAUUAUUGUUAUCAAAUUAUACAGACUAAAUUAUAAUUGGUUAAGUGUUUGUGUGGAGGAGUGUUUGCAAAUACCAUGGGAGAUGCGAUUUGUAUUAUUUUAGUUGUUGGUAUAAUAGUCCAAAAUAUUAUGACCACUAUUUUAUCAUAGUUAUUACACUUGGUCCAGCUCAGCAAGUCAACCAGGACUCGGGUGACCUGGGGCCUUAACCAGGUCUGUUUUAUUGAAAACUCGAGCCUGCAAUUGUCUAAGAGAAAACUGGUCAACCCGAAACCUGGGUGACCCAACAAAACCCGGUAAAGACCCUUUUUUUUAGUUUGUUUUUUCUCCUAACCAGAGACCUCUCUUUUUAUGUAUAUAUAUUUUUCAAUUGGAUACCAACUCAUUUCAAAGUUCAACAACCCAGUUUCAUGGAAUUGGAUGUUUACACCUAAAUUCUUCCAUAGAAGUCUGCAACAUCUUGUCUCUGAUCAGUGAUCACUACAAUUGCAUAUUCUAGGCUGAUUGAGUUGACACCAUUAAACGAAUGAAUGUGAAUCUACAACCUCCAAAUUAAACACGGUUGGAUCUAAACAAAAUGUGUGCACCUCCUUUACCAACUUUAGGUGGUUUUCGAUAAUGUUUACAUCAGAGUUGCUCCAGCAAAACCUUGAAAAUGCUCAACCUAAUCAGCCUUGACUAUGUCACCCAUUUCACAAAAACCACCCAUUUUUUUCGUGUGUUCACAUUUAAAACCUUCUCAAAAGGUUCUUAUCAAUGACUUUAAAACCUACCUUUCAAAAUCAAAAGGCCAAAAAUAACUCAUUGCCUUCUAAGUCUAGCAAAACCAUCAAGCACCCUUCAAACCAAAACCACAAUUGCAAAACCAGUUAAGUAUAAGAGCUUCUAGUUGUUUGCUUUUUUUAGAACCCUCUGACUUUGAUCAAAAGGCUGAACUUUGAUCAAUCUUUGAUGGAAUCCACCAAAAAACCUAUAAAUACCAUAUAAAUACCCUUGGAAAUCAGAGUUGGAGAGAAGGAUAGGGAAAACAUGGAAAUAGUCUGUUAAUAGACCAUCCUAUGAAGGUUUAAGAGCAUAAUAUAGAAGGUUUAACAAGCUUUGUAAAGAAAGAGAGUGAAAAAUAACAGUUUAUAGUUAGCAAGCUUGAAGAAGAUAUAAUCAUGUAAAAACCCAAGGGUGGAGUCUAUGUGACUUGCCCAUUCAUGCUUUCUUAAUGUUUAAACAUCUUUUAAUGUUUUUUUUAAACUUGUUUUAGUGCUAUGAUGUUUUUUAGUUUUGUUUUGAUUAAUACAUAAAAAUAUUAUUUUUAUUGUUUAAAUUUUAUUUGGAAUUGUUGUUGAUGUUACAAAGACUUAUUUAUCAUAGAUCAAUUUGGUAAUGACUACUAGACUUUGUGAAAAGACCUCACUGUCUCUAAUAGCGAGUUCAAUGAUUUUUUAUGAUAUAAACAAAACAUCAUCAUAUGAACAAUAUUUUCACUUAUAGUGAAUAGUAUUUUCUAAGUGGUUUUAGAUUUGGUUUAUUAGAGUUUCUAAAAGACAAAAAAUGAAAAGUGAGAGACAAAUAAAAAAAGAGUAAUCUUAUCUUUUGAUAUGGUAGUCUAAAAUACACCAUGAUAUGGUGGCGAGGCCCUUUUUUCCUGCCUUUUCUUUUAAAAAAUGUUAUGCCUUUGAUUACAAAUCCUUAGUCCCCAACAACAAUUGUAACAGAGUUAAAGGUUAUGUAAAAGGAAUCUAAAAACUCUAUCAAAAGUAGUGGAGCACUAGCAUAUUGGCCGGUGCUCUGCAACAGGUCAAUAUCAAUUUUUUUAAAAUGUAAAAAAAUAUGAAGAGUAUAGAAAAUGUUUUAAGUGUCUUGGGUCUAGUACCCUUACCAGAACUAAGCAUGACUACCAGACUCAAGUUGCUUGGGUCUGGCAAGGCUGAAGACCCAAGGCUCUUCAGUGUAGUAUGGUUGCCAGACCCAAAGCAAUGGGGUCUGGCAUUGUUGCUAGACCCACAGAAACAAACAUAUCAGACCUACAUUACUUGGGUGUGAUAACAUUGCCAGCCCCGAUCGACCUAGUUCUGUUAGUCAUGCCAAAAUUGAUCACCUUCGGUCUUGCAGUCAUGCUAGACUUAUCGCUUUGGGUUUACCAUGUCUAAAAGAACCAAGGAUCUUGGGUCUGGCACGAUGCCAAACCUAAUGCUUUUUGGUGUGGCACCUUAUCAAACUCAAGGCGAUUGAGUUUGGCAUGACUGUCAGACUCAAGAUGAUUGUGUCUGGAUUGACUGUCAGACCUAAGGUGCUUAGGUCUCGCAAGGCUGUCAGACCCAAGAUUAUUCUGAGAAAUAAAGUUGAUGGACACAACUAAAGCCAUGCUCAUAUUGCGAGUUUAAAUAUCUUAAUUUUAGUUAUUUUUUAAUCAAAUAUCAAUUUAUUUAACUAGAUAUGUGUAUAAAUAUUUUGAUUUAUGAUUGGAAACUUUUUACAUAAAAAAAGUUGAAAAAACUUGUUCUUGAGAGAUCUAAAAGACCCUGCAACUAAGGUUUGUUUAUUUGAAACCAGACACAACAACUCUAGUUUUGCCUUUGAAAAUGAAUUUCUAAUACCUUUUUCCAUGAAAAAGUGUUUGACCUUCAUCAAAUCAAAUAGAAAUAGAAUUGAUCAAUUAUUUUGUUUGCAAAACAUAGAGAAAGCAAUGUCAAGAUAUAAACUUAAUUAAUAAAUAUAUAGUUGGUUUUGUCUUACAAGGAAGAAUUUUUUUGUCCUAAAAAAGAGUAAUUGAAUUCUAGUUGAAUAGAAACAUGAAAUUAUUUAUUCCCAUGCAAGAUGAAGUCAAGAUUAACCACUCAUUUGUGUGAGGCAAAACAAUGUUGUUGUUGUUGUUGUUGUUGUUGCUGCUGCUGCUGCUGCUCCAACAACAAACAAUUAUUAUUUUAUUGCUGUUAUUUUUUAUGCCACCUAGUCGUUUGCUAGAAACUUUACAUCUAAAAUUUCCUUCACUAAUCUUUUUCUCAUUUUCUAACCGAAAAGUCAUGUACUAACAAAAGCCUUUUAUAAGAUGUUUGUUUUCUUAGCUACCUCACGCAUGGUCAUACAAACAUGAUGAACACAAGCCUAAUAUGACUUUCUUUUUAUUUCUUGAAUCAAUAACAAACUCGUCCCAAGGAAACUAAUGUUUACUUUUACGUGUUGUGCAUCCUAGAUCAAAAGGAAACAUAAAAAAACACAUACAAGUAGAUUUAUGUGGUUCCCCAAAAUGAGUACGUCCAUGGAGGCAGCAAAUUGUAUAUUAUUGGAGGAAUGUUACAAACACUCUACUCAACCUCAGUAUAAUUCUAAAAAAACUCAGUAUUUCACUCUUACACUCAAUGUUUCUCUAAAAUCUGCCUUUUCUCACUCUCACAUUACAUUGUCUUCCUGUCUUUUUUUGCUUUUUUUUGCCUCCUUUUAUAAGAGAAAUGGAAGCCUUGACAACCUCAUUAAUUCCAAUUCCAGCAACCCAUAAAUAGCAAACAACUAUUAACUAUCAUAAUAAAUGUUACAACUGACUUUAGUGCAUCUAUCAUAAGUGUUGGUGGUUGAAAAAUGUUGAUAUAAAUUGCUAAAAAUCUCCACCUUGGCGAGAUUUUUCCAUCCAAUCAUAGUGAUCAAUCAAUGUUGCCUCUAAUGAGCCAUAUGGCGCUGCACCCUGAAAGUGCUUAACACCAAGAGAUGUUGACUAAGUCCAAACAAUGUUGGAACUUGAUCCUUGAGACAUAUUUUAUGAGCAUGUCAGUUGGAUUAUCUACAAUACCAAUCUUCUAUAGCAAAAUAUCCCCUUCAUCCAUAAUUUCUUGAACAAAAUGAAAUCGAACAUCAAUGUGCUUGGUGCGGGAAUGAUGAAACUAGUUCUUUGCAAGACAAAUUACACUUUGACUAUUACAAUGGACAUCCACGUGCUCUUGAACAAUUCUCAAGUCUGCAAUCAACCCAUAUAACCAAAUAGCUUCAUUGGAGGCUUGUAUUACUACCAUGUACUCUGCCUUAGUUGUUGAUAACACUAUCGUUGAUUAUAACAUUGACCUCCAACUUACAGGUCGUUUAGUAAGUGUAAACACAUAGCCUAUUGUGAAACGACACUUGUUUAAGUCAUCAGCAUAGUAUGAGUCCACAUAACCAACUAAAUUUUAUUCGAGGUUAUCAUCCCUUUCAAACUUCAAACCAAUAUCAGUUGUGCCAUGAAUGUACCAUAGAAUCCACUUAACUGCCUAUUAGUGACCCUUUUCUGAAUCAUGUAUAUACCUACUCACCAUAUUGACAGCAUAUGAAAUAUCUAGUCUCGUAUAAACCAUUGCAUAUAUUAAUGCACCAACAACAUUUGCAUACAGAAUUUGAGCCAUAUACUUGCACUCAUCCUCUAUGCAUGGAGACAUUGAAGCAUUUAGCUUAAAAUGAAGAGCUAAAGAUGUGCUUACAAGCUUGGUCUUACCAUCUACCCCAAAUCUCUGUAGAAUUUUCUUCAAGUAUUGGGUCUAUGUCAAACAUACUAUAUCUUUCCUUUUAUCUCUUUAAAUAUCUAUACCAAUUAUCUUUUUAGCUUCUUCAAGAUCUUUUAUUUCAAAUUUAUUUCUCAGUUGAGCUUUCAAUUUAUUAAUUUCCACCUUGCUUUUAGAUAUAAUUAGCAUAUCAUCCACAUAUAAGAGCAAAUAAAUAAAGGAACCAUCAAGAAGCUUGCGAAAAUAUACAAAAUGGUUAAACUGACUCUGUGUGUAUCCAUAUUCUAUCAUGAACUUAUCAAAUCGCCUAUACCACUAGCAAGAAGACUGUUUCAAUCCAUACAAUGAUAUCUUCAGUCUAUACGCUCAAUUCUCUUUUUUGGUGACUUUGAAACCAUCUAGUUGUUACAUAUAAAUUUCCCCUUCCAAAUCUCCAAGUAGGAAUCCGGUUUUCACAUCAAGUUGGGCUAACUUAAGAUCAAAAUAUGCAAUCAAGGCUAGCAAAAUAUGAAUUGAUGAAUGCUUAACAGCUAGAGAGAAUACCUCAUUAUAAUUUAUCCCCUAUUUCUGAGAGUAGCCUUUUGCUACUAAUCUUACCUUGAAUUGGAUGCUGUCUUUUCCAGGAUUACCUUCUUUCUUGGCAUAGACCCACUUGCAACCAAUUGUCUUCUUUCCUUUGGGGAGUUAUACCAAAUCCCAAGUCUGAUUUUUGUGGAGAGAUUUCUUCUCUUCAUUUAUUGUCUAUUUUUAUUUUACACUUUCUAUACUCUCAACAGAUUCUUUGUAGGUGUAGGGGAUUCCAUCAUCAAUCACUGGAAAUGCAUAAGCCACCAUGCUACAUUACCGAAAAGGUUUCUUGAUAACCCUUUUCAGUUUACUUAUUGCAAUGAAUUCUUGUUGUUAUAUGGUUGUUGGAGUUAUAACAUUCUCUUCAUUUGAACUUUCAUCUGAAUCUUCUUCAACAUGAAUUGUCUGAAUAGUCUUUAUAGGAAAGGUUGAAGUCUCAAACUCCAAAUGUUAUGCAUCACUUGGUUGUUUCUCCUUUUUCUUGCGACCUCUCUUGUUGUAGCAUGCUAAACUCGUCAAAAAUAACAUCUCUACUCAAAAUCACUUUAAUUGAUUCAGAACACCAGAGUCUAUAGCCCUUUACUUCUCCAUUAAAGCCUAAAAAUAUAGCUUUCCCGGCUCAAGGAUCUAGCUUGGACUCAGUAACAUGAUAAUAUGUUAAACAUCCAAAUACACACAUAUAGUCAUAAUCAUUUGCAGGAGAGCUUGACCAUACCUCCAAGGGAGUUCUUAUAUUUAAUGUUGUUGAAGGCAACCAAUUAACAAUAUGACGAGCAUAACUUAAUGUCUCGCCCCAUAACGCUUUGUUUAGUCUCGAAUGUGAUAGCAUACAUUAGAUUUUCUCCACCAAUAUACGGUUCAUACGUUCUACUACUCCAUUCUGUGUGUUUUCAAAUAGUAAAAUGUUGUUUUAUCCUUUCAUUUUAGCAAACUUCAAAGAAAGGAUCUGAAGUGUACUCACCACCAUUAUCUGAUCGAAGAGUCUUAAUUCUUUUUUCUAGUUUGAUUCUCCACCAUUUUUCUUCCAUUUCAGAAAGAUAUCAAGGACCUCAUCUUUGUGUUUCAUCAUAUAGACUCAUACUCGUCUUGAGAAAUCAUUAAUAAAAGUAAUAAACCAACGAUUACCUCCAAUAGAUUCAUUCUUUGAAUGUCCCUAUAUGUCUAUGUGAACAUAAUCUAGAAUCUAUUUUAUGUUGUGUACUACAGUGCCAAACUUAACCCUUGUCUGUUUUCCAAGAAUAUGAUGCUCACAGAACCCAUACUUUCUAGUCUUGGUGCCUUUUAAUAGACCUUUCUUGACCAAUCCUCACAAAGCCUUUUCACCAGCAUGUCUUAAACGCACAUGCCAAAGUCUGGAAUUAUCUGCUUCAUCAUCUUUAAAACUCUUGGAGACGACUACUCUACCAGUAACUGUAGACCUAUCCAGGAAAUAUAAGUUUCCUUUCCUUGUGCAUUUUAAAGCAUCUAAUACACCACAAAUUGCUUUUAAGACUUCAAACGAGAAGAGAUUUUUCUUUAAGUCAGGUACAUACCGUACUUCUGUUAGUGUCUUGACUAUCCCAUUAUGCAUCUUCAGAUGAAUAAUCCCUAUCCUUUUUAUGUCACAAACAUCAUCAUUACCCAUAAACAUAACUCCUCCAUCGAACUCUUUAAGUCUCAAGAAUAAGUGCUUGUUGGGGCACAUGUGAUAGGAACAUCCAGAAUUAAAAACCUAUUCACUGGAAUGGUUUUUUGAUGAUAAGACCAUGAAUGAAGAGUCUUGUUCAUCUUCAUCUCGUGCAAUGUUCAUAGUUGGUUCAUCCUUGUCCUUGUUGCCUUUAUUUGGACAAUCUUUCUUCCAGUGUGGGUAUCUUAAAUAAAUAUCAGACAUGCUUGGGUCUUCUUCUUUUUUUUCUUUGUGAGCGUACAAUGCACAAUGGUAGGCAACCUAUAUUUCUUUUAUUAUUAAGCAAACAAUAAUUCACCUAAUGGUUUGAUCAUCUAAAAUCUUGCCAUUAUAAUGAUAGCUGAAAAAAUAAAGGGUUGGUAUAAUAAUUUAAUUUUUAAUUCAUUGACAUCUAAAAAUACUAUAAAAAACUUUUAUAAACCACUUAUCAACUCCAAAACAUCCUUAAGAACAACUUGAACAAAAAAAAAAAACAACUAAAUCGAAAAAAUCUAAAAGAACUUGAAUCUAUUUUUUCAGGUAAGAUGAAUGACAAAGAACACUUAAAUGUAACUUUUCUCAUCGAAAGAAACCCGUUUAUAUCAAGAAUGAUUUUUUCAUGGUCAUAAUCUUGGCAAUCAGAAACUUUUUUAUUUUAUCAUUAUUUUUCAAUGUUUCUCUUUCUCUUAUCUCUCAAACCAGAGAUCAAGAUGAAAAAAAAAUUAUUGGACCAUAACUUCCAAUCCCUAAAUUAGAGGGAUCAAAAAGUAACUUUGACAAAACCAAAAGGCAAAAUUUAACAAAAAAACCAAGACUCUUUUAUUCUUCUUCCAUUUUGGUUUCUUAACUUUUAAUCUUGUGAAACUAAUAAAAUCACAUAAAUUCCAAUAAAAUUAAAAAUCAAUUUAAUGACAAGAAGUUUUGUCAAGAAUAUAAUAGUCUCGUGAAAAAGUAAGAAAGAAUAAGUUAUAAAGAUUGAUUCCAAUAAACGCAGUGUGAAACAAUUAAAUAAAAAAUUGAAGAGCAUUAAAAAAAAACAUUUAUUAGCCCAAAUCACAAAUUCCACUAAAACAUUCACCUUUCUCACCUUUGAUUUCUGGGUCGCCGGUCCUCGUCUUAUUUGGUUUUGGUAUCUGUCAUUGUUUUUUCUUUUUUCUUUGUUUUUUUUUUUAGGGGGGGGAUUUAUAGCGUGGGUUAAACGAGAAUUAUUUGCUGCUUAUUACUUUGUAAUAAAUUAAUUAAUUCUCAAAAAAUAGUAAAUUAAACUUGCCUUCAAUUAGGAUUUGUGUUCUUCAAUUUUGAACCUUUUCUUUUAAUCCCACAAGUAGUAUUUACUAUUUAGUUUACUACUACAUUAUAUUUAUAUUUAGUAUCAAGUUUUUCUUUAAAAAAUCUUAAUAUAUUUUUAUGUUCUUUUCUAUAUUCUACUUUUUACAACUUUUUCUUUAAAAAACAUUAUUUUCUACUUUUUUAAGUUUUUCUUUAAAAAAAUAAUUACUUUUUUUUAUCCAAUCUUAAACAAUUCAUUCAUAAUUGAAUUCAUAUAUUUAUAAGAAUUUAAUUUUUGUAAUUGAUUUUUAAAUCUCAUUCCAAAUUUAUAGUGUAAAGAUUAAACUGAAUUAUUAAAAAAAAUCAAUAGUAGGUCUUGCUUGUAGGAAUUAACUAGUUAGGUGGUCCGCUCUACGCCGAGCGGGCUCAUCUUUAACUUCCAAAAAAAAUUAAGAGCAGAACUCAAGUCUAUUUGGGUCCUGCCAAGCUAGGUUCAAAGCAUAUUUGGAUCCUGCUGCGGCCAGGAUCCAAAGCUAUUUUGGGUCCUGCCCAACCUGGUCUAAGUCUAGUCUUGGGCCAGGCCAUGCAGGACCCAAGGUUAUUUGGGUCGUGUAAUGGUAAGAUCCAAGUUUAUUUUUGGGUCCUGCAACUAAUAAUUUGUAUGUAAUUUGUAAAUGAAAUUAAAUGUAAUUUGAUAAAAUUAUUAUUACAAUACAUUUGGUAAAAUUAGUAAAUAAUAUAACAUUUUCUUUCAAAUUCAUCAAUUAUUUUAUUAAUAAUAUUAAUUACAAAAAAAUAUACUCUUAUAAAUUUUACUGAAAAUAAUAAUAUUUAUAAUACAAAUCAUAAUGUUUUUAGUAUUAAUAUUAUUAAUUAUUAUAAAAAUAAUAUUAUUUAUAACUCCAAAAAUAAUAAUAUUUUUGAGAUUAAUACUAUUAAUUAUACUAAAAAAAUAUAUUAAGAAAAAAUAUAAUAAUAAUAUAAUAUUAAUUAUACCAAAAAAUAAUAUUAAAAGAACAAUUAAUAAUAGUUUUGAGAUCAACACUAUUAAUUAGACUAAAAAAAUAAUAAUUUUUUUAACACCAAUACUAUCAAUUAUACCAAAAAAAUGUAUUAAGAAAAAAUAUAAUAAUUCUUUUAAUAUUAAUUAUACUAAAAAAAUAAUAUCAACAAAACAAACAAUAAUAUUUUUACUAUUAAUACUCUAAAAAUUAAUUAUACCAAAAAAAGAAUAUUAAGAAAACUAAUAUGAUAUUUUUAAUAUUAAUACUUGUAAUUAUACUAAAAGUGUAGGUAGCCCAAGAACCACGUGGCGCUUGGGCUGCACCUAAGAGGACCUGCCUUUGUGCGUGGCAGCGCUUGGGGUGCCUGCGGCCAGGACCCAAUGCUAUUUUGGGUCCUGCCCUGCCUGGCCCAAGGCUAGCCUUGGGCCAUGCCUUGCAGUGCCCACGCCAUAGCGCCACCUGGCACGUGGACUGCAGCGCAGAGGAAGCAGGCCAGGUGCCACAUGGUGCUUGAGUUGUCCGCCCUCAAGAGAGAACUCAAAUGCCACGUGUCCCAACGUGGUUUUUUUUUUUAUAGUAAUAACAGUUUUUUAAAUUUUAUUAAUGAUGAUAAUAAUAUUUAUACUCUUAUAAAUUUUAAUGAAAAUAAUAAUAUGUAUAAUACAAAUAAUAAUAUUUUUAGUAGCAAUAAUAUGAAUUAUUAUAAAAAUAAUAUUAUUUAUAACACCAAAUAUAAUAAUAUUUUAGAGAUAAAUACUAUUAAUUAUACUAAAAAAUAAUAGUAAUAGAACAAAUAAUAAUAGUUUUGAGAACAAUACUAUUAAUUAGACUAAAAAAAAUAAUAUUUUUAAUACCAACUCUAUCAAUUAUACUAAAAAAGUAUAUUAAGAAAUAAUAUAAUAAUUCUUUUAAUAUUAAUUAUACUAAAAAAAUAAUAUCAACAAAACAAACAAUAAUAUUUUUACCAUUAAUACUCUAAACAUUAAUUAUGCUAAAAAAAGAAUAUUUUUAAUACAAUUAUACUAAAAGUAUAGGCAGCCCAAGCGCCACGUGACGCUUAGACUGCACUCAAGAGAAAGGAAAGCUACUGCCACGCGGCGCUGAGGCGGCUUGCCUGGGGGCGUGGCAGCACUUGGUCUGCCCGCGGCCAGGACCCAAUGCUAUUUUGGAUCCUGCCCUGCCAGGCCCAAGGCUAGCCUUAGGCCAUGCCUGACAGUGCCCACGCCAAAGCACCACUUGGCGCUUGGACUGCAGCGCAGAGGAAGCAGGCCAAGUGCCACGUGUACCAACGUGGUUUUUUUCAUAGUAAUAACAAUUUUUUAAAAUUUAUUAAUGAUGAUAAUAAUAUUUAUACUUUUAUAAAUUUUAAUGAAAAUAAUAAUAUUUGUAAUACAAAUAAUAAUAUUUUUCGUAGGAAUAAUAUGAAUUAUUAUAAAAAUAAUAUUAUUUAUAACACCAAAUAUAAUAAUAUUUUAGAGAUUAAUACUAUUAAUUAUACUAAAAAAUAAUAUUAAUAGAACAAAUAAUAAAAGUUUUGAAAUCAAUACUAUUAAUUAGACUAAAAAAAUAAUAAUAUUUUUAAUACAAAUACUAUCAAUUAUACUAAAAAAAUUUAUUAAGAAAUAAUAUAAUAAUACUUUUAAUAUUAAUUAUACUAAAUAAAUAAUAUUAACAAAACAAACAAUAAUAUGUUUGGUUAGUGAACAGACCAAGAGAAAGGAAAUCAAGCACCACGUGCGCUCUUGGUCUGCCCCAGUGCCUAAGGCCGGGCCAACCAAACGUCAAGUGGCGACGCGCUUGGCGCCCUGGUCUGCCCCCAGCCCCAAGGCCGGGCAGACCGAGCGCCAGGGGACAGCAACCCCGGAGGCUUGCCUCUAGGCUGGCGCCCCUGCCCUCCAGCCCAACCACACCCCUGCCAAACAGUGCGGUUCACAGUGAAAUCUAUCACAGUCCACAAUAAAAGCACUCACAAUGCAUCCACAGUGUAGCGAGUGCAAUCCACAGUGAAUUCACUCACAGUGAACAGUAUUCCACGCUACAGUGAAACACUGAUAAGUUUUAGUUAUAAUUAAUAGUGUUUUUAUUUUUGUGCAGCAUAUUCAAUAUGAUUUUAUCUAAUUGCUUUGGUUAGUUUAUAAAUUUAUUUUGUUGGUUUCAGCAUUAAUUUAUUUAAAAUCAAUUUUCUUAUCUGAGACUAAAUUUAUUUUGAGAGUUUUAAAUAAUAAAUUCUAUGAUGUUGAAUUUAUAAUCAUAAUAUUUACCAUGUAAAAAAAUAUAAGAAUUAGAGAUAAAUAUUAAAGAGGGAAUUUUUUAAAAUAAUAUUAUCAUUUUUUAUAGAAAUGAAUUUUUUUUUUGUUUUUUUUAUAUAUCUAUUUCUCUUCUAUACUAUAAAUAUUAAUAGAUAUAAUAACUUGAACUUUUACUAGGAAAUGCAAAUCUAGAAUAUAAAAAAAAUUAAUUAUUAGUAAUAUUAUUAUUAUUAUUAUGGACCUGUUGAUAAACUAGCACGAAAUCCAGAAAUGGAUAAUGCUCGUAAGCCCAACACAAAGCAAUACCCAAUGGAGUCCACAGUCCAGCUAAAGAAGUAGAAAGGGCCGAAGGGAAUCUUUUUAUAAGGAAGCUGCUACAUUUUCAAACAAGAAGUAGAACCCUUCGGUUAUAGUCGUCAAGAAACAGAAGGACAACAAUGGACGAAGUUCAAGAAAGAGAGAAAAAAGAAGAAUUCGAUGCAUCAGAGAUUGAAUACGUUAGCUAUGGUGGUGAGCAUCACCUACCAUUAAUCAUGAAUCUUGUCGAUCAAGAACUUAGUGAGCCUUACUCCAUCUUCACCUACCGUUACUUUGUUUAUCUUUGGCCACAACUUUCUUUCUUGGUAAGUGUGAUUCUUUUCUUCUUUUAUGUUGUUGGGAUUUUUUUUUUGUGUUGUAACUGUGUUUUUGUUGGUGGGUUUCAAUUUCAGGCGUUUCACAAAGGCAAAUGUGUAGGGACUGUUGUUUGUAAGAUGGGGGAUCAUCGGAAUUCAACUUUUAGAGGUUACAUUGCUAUGUUAGUUGUCAUCAAACCUUAUCGAGGAAGAGGCAUUGGUAAUGGCUUCUUUUUUUUCAUUUUGGGAUUUUGUGCACAGUUUUAGGUUGUGUUGGAUUAUAUAUGUGUAUCUUGGAUUGGUUUUUAAUGUACUAUUAUUGGAAACAAGAAAGGAAAGGGGGUGAGGGUUUUCAAGAAAUUGGACAUGCAUUGUUAACAUUAAUGGUAGAAAUAUGGAUGUUUGGAAUGAUUAUGUGUAUAAACUGGCUGCAUUUGAUUUGAACUCAAGGUCCAUUCUUUGUUUUCCUACACUUGGGAUGGCAUUUACAAAGGAUUGGAUGUGGGCUUUGAUAGUUUUUAGGCUUUGUGUUGAUAUAUCAUGUUUUUCUCGUUAAUUGUAUUGUGUAUGGGUACGUUGUAAUUUCCAGUGAAAUUCUCUCCGCACUGCAGCUACUGAACUUGUUACCAGAUCUAUUCAAGUGAUGAUGGAAUCUGGAUGCGAAGAGGUUUGUCAAGUUUUAGUUGGUGUACCUUUUGGUUUGUACUCAUCUAAAUGUAGCAUUAUUCAUACAACUAUAUCACAAAGGAAGUAUGGAUUUUUUAUCCUCAAGCUUUAUUUGUACUUUCCAUGGUACCGAAUGAGCAUAUAGGAGAGUAGAAAUAACUACAUUUCCUAAGCAUUACCACCAAACGUUGGAGCUCUGUUUGGGGCUUGGAACAGCAUGGGAAACAAAGGAGAAUUAUGAAACUGCUUAAGUGGUUACCUUCACUGCCAAUUAUAGGAGAGUAGAAAUAGUUUUCCUUUCUACUCCACUGUGCUCUUUGAUCUCAAACCAAAGGGAAAAAUAAGCUUUCCUCUCGAGUUUGGCUGGCAACUUGGCAUGUGUAUAAAUGGUGAUGCUGUAUCUUGUAUUCACACCUCCAAAAACCUUUUCUUCUGAAAUUUCUUGGUGUUUGUGCAUUAUUCUGUAGUAACACCAUGUCUCUUAGACACUUCAUGCUUCAUUUGUUAUUUCAAUUCCAUCUCUCCUCUUAGUUACCUGAUGCUGCAUGGCUUCUUCUUCUUCUUUUUAGAGGUUAAUAUAUGUUACUGAGAAAAGUACACUUGGCACCCAAAAAGUAGUGAAAGAUUGGUUUUAAAAAUAUAAAAUUUAAAAUUUAACAAUAUAUAUUUGAUUAUUGGCACAAAAAAUUCAAUAUAAGAAAUAAAAAUUUAAAAUUGGAUGUUUAAGGACUCAUUUAGAUUUUUUUAAAAAGUUCAAUUAAAUUUAUAAAGGUUUUAAUUGCAGGAAAUUUGAUUUUUUAAGUCAAUUUGGGCUUUAAUUGAAAGAAAUUAAAGUUUAGGGGUCAAAUUACAAUUUAUAAGAGUUAAUUUGGUCAAAUUAGGGGUUUAAUUACAUAAAUAUUAAAGUUUGAUGGGUAAUUAGAGACUUGAUUUAAGUAAUCUAAAACAAAAAACCAAACUGAAAAUGUACGUUAAUAUAGGGUCUAAAAUGACCGAAUUGAAAAAAUUAAAAGUUUGUUGAUUAAUUAUGGGUCAAAAUACAUAAAUUCAAAAUUAAUGAAAAAUACAGCUAAUUUUAAGGAUAACAUUUGAAUUUAACAGGGAUAAUUGAAUUGAAAAAAAAAAGAAGGUUAAAAAUGAUGUUGUUUCAAUAGCACUGUACAUCUUUUUCUUUCCCUAAUUGUGCUGUAGACAGGGGAAUUAGAAAUUUGGAGGAAGAAAGAAUAAAUUAUCACAAUUUAAAUUAAAAAUAUAAAGUACGUAAAGGCUUUCUAGCUUUGUGAUAAUUUAAAUUAAAUUAUCACAAUUUAAUUAUUAUAAUUUAAUUAAAAUAUAAAUUAUGAAUUUUAUUUACUUUUUCUAGCAUGGUUAAAGAACAAAAUCAUUUUUAUUGAAUUUGUUUUUAAUUAAAUUCUUUAAUAUUAAAAUCAGUCUUUUUUAUGACCUAAAUAUUAUCAGCCAAAUCCUUUUUUUCCUCCCUUGACCACGUUGUCUCCCUCCUCUCAACAUUCAAUAAUUAAAAACUUCAAGGAUCAUAUUAAACUUUUCUACACCACAAAAAAAUAUAUCAAUUAAGAAAAAUAGCUUAAUGCAUAAUAACUUGAGUCACGCUACACAAUAAAAUUUGUUACGGUAAGAAUAACAAAUGUUUUAAUUUAGAAUAUAAUACGAGGCAUGCGCAAUUAAGAUUACAAAAACGAGAUUUCAAGUAGUGGUUAAAUUAGUGGAGAAAUAUAAAUUACGUACUUGUAGCUGUGUCAACCAAUUACCCACUUCUUCGUGGCCUUCAAUGGUUAAGUUUUGCAAAGGCAAUUGAGCAUCAAAAUUCCUUGGACCUUAAAAGCUGAAGAGACAAUUCUCUUAGUUGAGGGAAUUUGAUCCGUUGGAGGUUCGGAAGACAUGGAGACACAGAGACGUAUUCCAGUUUACCACAAUCAUAUAUACGGAGAGUUUUAAAUUUUGGGAAGCAAAGUGACUCUGGAAUUACUUCCCUUUCACCAUCAUUUUCUCUGAUAAUAUGCUCCAAUUCACGACAAUGUCUUAUCUCAAGUGUUUGCAGUUGUGGUAGACUUUCAGCGAGGGACGGUGCGAAGAUAAAUGUCAGUUUGUCGAGAGCCAAACCGUCAGAUGAGCAAGACUUUGCAGGCUGACAUGUCUGGUGGGCCCCUUCCAUAUGCAUUUGAGCUCAGGUAACCUUUGCAGCUCUAACUUAGUUAAAGAUGAUAGCAGCGGCAUCUCUUUCUCCUCAUUGCUUUCAUCAGCCUCACCCAAUUCAAAUACCUCUUCCACUGAUUUGCAGUCCUCAAUUUUCACACUCUUUAGAUUUUUCAAAACUUGCCGCAAUUUUGCUGGAAACAGAGUGAAAACAUCCCCACAAUCCCUCACUUCUACAAAUUCUAAUCUUUGUGAGAAGCCCUUUUGGGGCUCAUGGCCAUGGGUGGUCAUCUGAUCGGAGUGCAAUUCUAUAUUUUUUAAACCCUCUAAACUCGUAAAAACAAUUUGAGACACUGUAGGAAACAACAGCUCAAAUGUCAUCGCAUUUAAGGAUGUGGCGCUUGUACCAGCCAAAUUUAAUCUUGUCGAGGUUGGGUAUCCUCCUGCCAAAAACCGAUUCCCUAACUUUAUAUCAUAUUUGAGCAAGCUGGGAAAAACAAAAUCUCUGGGAAUGCAUUCAACCUUCGCUAUCUUCAACGCGAAUUAAGGAUGAGACAACGAAUUUAGUUCUUUUAGGCUUGCAUUCAUUCCGCCUGUGCUGUCAAUCCAACAACAUCCCAUCCCUCAAAGCUGCGACCCCGAUCAAUAGCUCUUCUAACUUCUUCAACCUUCCAAUCAAAUUCACAGGGAUCCUUCUUAGCCUUUGACAACCUGUCACAUCCAACAACCUUAACUCCUUGAGCUCUCCUAUUUCAUCAGGUAAUUCUUCAAUGGAUAAGCACCACUUAAAAACAAGAAUCUUAAGUCUCUGCAUCUUUCUCAACCAAAUGAGGUCCUUGCAUCCACACCUGAUCAACACCAAGUGAUUGCAAUGACAAACACCCUCCCAUCAGAGACAGAACUUCAAUUUCUCUCAUCCCUUCAAAAAACUUAUCUGGAACAUUCAAACCAUCAUCCAGUUCUAAUAAUAGAACUUUGAGCUGUGGACAUACCAAUCCUUCAGGAACUUCUGCUAGUUUAUUGCCCAUUAACGAAAUUGUUGUACAACCUUUAAAGCUUUUAUUGCCCAUUGGCAACUUCUUCAAUCCAAUGCCAGCCUUUACCAUGAAUCCAUAUUCUUCUGAUGAUGCUAUCUGAAUAGCAAAGUCAUGAACCAAGUCAUGCAUUCUCACAUGCUCUUCAGUUUCAGUGCCCAACAGCAUGCAACAAUCUUUGAGGUGUUCGAUUGCUACAGAAACUUGUCCCCUUGCAUCUUCAAUGGGCUCCGUAUCUUGAUGUAACCCAUAGCCAACAGCAUAUCUCGUCAAGCCCUCGAUUGGAAUGUUGUAAUCUUCUGGAAAUAAACAGCAUAGCACGAAACAUGACUUGGUUUCCUUGGACUUCAAAUUAUCAUAGCUCAACUUAAGACAUGUAUAGGCAUUUUUUUGUUUGUCAAUUUGUUCCAUGCGCGGAAAUUGUGAGUCUUUGAGCUGUUUUGACGCUACUUCCCCCUUUUUUUGGGAGUGGCCCGAACAAUGACCCACUCCUUCCUUUCUUCAAAGGAGGAUUCCUUCCCAUAGAAGGUAUGAAAUCCCUUCUUUUGAAUCCCGUAGUCUGACUCUGCUCACUUGUUAACCUUGGGGUGUCAUUCAUUACUCUUUCCAUACCCUGAGUAGCUCGCACUAAAUCUUGGACCGAUAAAAACUGCAUAGCCACCAAAAUUAAUUUCAGCUCCUGCCUGAGCCCUUCCCAAAAUCGUUCCACCCGAUGAUGCUCAGUGGGAAGAUAGGUGUUGGCAAAGAUAGAUAAGUCCUGAAACCUCCUCUCAUACUCCAGGACGGUCAUAUUCCCCUGUUUCAGAUCCAGGAACUUCUGUUCUCUCUUUCCAGUACUGUCAGGAGUAUUACCGCUCCUCAAAUUCUUCUUGAAAGUGUUUCCACCUUAAUUCUUCUCCUGCCCUUCUUUCUCUAAUAGUCUCCCACCAGGAGUGGGCACUCUCCGUUAACAACUGGGUCACACAGUCUACUCGAGUUUCCUUUGGCACAUGCAUCUGAUCUAUGACCCUUUCUACCUUUCUCAACCAAUGUCCUGCUAUUUCAGCAUCUUCUUCCCCUGAAUAGGUCAUGCAACCCAUUUCCCGCAUGCCCUCCACCCAUUGAACCAGGGUGACUACUCUUUCUACCUGAGGAGUGGAAUUGGAUGCACCUGCGGCCAUCCCUGCUGCUACUGCCUUGACCAAUUGCUCCAGAAAUGUAGGGUCCGAAUAUGGAUUCGCGGUGACCGUCAGUGCCACUAGUGGUGGCCUGUCUUCUGGUCCUUGACCACCCGCUGCUCUAGGUAGUAACACUUCUUCCCGAUGAGAGACAGGGUCAAUCUGAUGCCCCCCCUGAUUCUCCCCUCUUUGAAUGGGCCUACUCUAUAGGUUGGUGGGAGGUUGUGUCCAUCAAUGGGUCCCCUUCAUUUUUGUUCCCAUAUAGUGAGCCAUACUCUCUCCCCUGCAUAGGGGACGAGUUUGCUCUUGCUUCCUGUCGUGUACGAGCCAUCCUGCAACAUGUUUUCAAAUUCACAUAAGUAUUUCAAUCCCUGAAACUUCAACCAGUGGCUCUGAUACCAACUGUAACAACUUCAAAAGUUCAAUCAAUAUAUUCGUUUAACUUCCACAUAAAGGGUAAGUGGAGCAAUUUGUUUUUUAUUAAGUUCACUGAAAUUUCGGCAGAGUCUCCCCUAUACCGGGAGAUCCCAAGUUAUCGACAAUUUACCUUGCACACAAUUAUAAUCACAUCCCACCCAUAAUCACAUCCAUAAUUGGUACAAACCAACCAUUUAAUUCAUUCAAGAAUAUACUCAGGACAAAUCUUCAUUCUCAAUCUCCAUCUCAUAUCACAUGCAUAAGUUAGUAAUUAAGAGAACCAUCCAAGCACUGAAAUUUCAUAUAUAAGCACAACAUAGUUUAGCAUUCUAAACAUAAGCUAAUGCACUAUAAUUUCCCAAGCAUAGAUUAAUACAUUAAUAUUCCAAAAACAAAAUAAUAUAAGGAGCCUACUAUUCUAUUCAGGUUACAUGUUUACUGCGUAACAAAAUUACAUGAAAAUCCCUAAGUUCCUAACUUCUACUCCUGACGUGAAUGGGAGGGACCUAUAAAACAUAAAUUUUCCAUGUAAUUAAAAAUAACUAAAAUACAAACAAUUCACUGAAGAAAAUUUAUAUAGCACAUCUACCUACUUAAGUCAUAUGCAAUUCAAUACACCACCACCAACCCCUUUUGAGGACUAUCCAUUUUAUUUCCUUUAACUACUUCUCCCCAUAUUAGGAAGACUACUACCGACUCUAAUGACCUCCAUUAGAGUCUUUAGUUGCCCAUCCUGAGGUCAACUAAUCAAAUUCAUGAAAAUGUCGACACAAACACGACUGUUGGUGUCAUUAACUAUUUUUGGACCGAAAUAGUUAAUCAAUGUUCUAUGUUACCUUAGGAGGUCCUCGGGUAUGCCGAUGUCAAGGAUUCUUGACAUCAUUGGCUUUCACCUCGAAAAGCUAAUCAAGUCUAUAAAUUUUGCCAAUAUCGACGUCACUCGCCGAUAUCAUUAACUAUUCUGAACCCGAAUAGUUAAUUUAGUUUAUAAAUUUUUCAAAUAUCGACGUCACCCGCCGAUAUCAUUAACUAUUCUGAACCCGAAUAGUUAAUCAAGUUUUAUAUUUAUCCUUUCCUCCCACGUACCGGUAAUGCCAAUGUUAACCAGCUUGGCUAACAUCAUUACCCUCCCAUAUCAGGGAUAGGCUAAUCAAAUUCAAGAAACAAUCAUUACCAAAAUUCAUUGUUACUGUUCAUUUCCUCAAAAAGAACCUAAAAAUUAAAUCUGGUCCUUCAUUUCUAUUUUCCCAUCAUUUAACCUUUCCUUUCUCCCUUUUCUUUUCCUCAUCAAUAAGCACCAAUUUUUUAUAGUUCAAUGGUUAGUUAAAAUAAUUAUUAAUUAGAGAAGAUAGAGGUACCGAGUACCUACCUACUGUAGACGCUCAACUUGCGUUCCCCUGUUGUUGCUGUACUCCUCCCGCGCCACAUUUCCCCAAAUUUUACUUAGGACCCUAAUUUUUCAAACUUCAAAUUAAUGCACAAUUCUUGCAUGAAUUUAAUUUGGCUUUCCUAAUUGGCUUAGAACUUCAUACCUGGAGGAAAUUUAGGUUUGAUUUCUGGUUUGAUUAAAUUUUCCUAACCCCUUUCUCCUCUACAAGCAGCUGGCCUCCCUCUCCCUCUUCUCUUAACAAUUCCGUCACUUCUUGCAAAUCUCCUGCCCAAGUUUGUCAUCCCACUUAGUAAUUCUAAGGUAUAGAAAUUUAGGUGUUUUCUCUUAGGCUUGAUGAAGGAAAAUCUGAAAAUUUUCUCUUAGGCUGGUCAUGGAUGAGAGAAGGAAUGGGUAUUUAUAGUCCCAUCUCUUCUUAAUUCCAUUUUGGCCGAAUCUUUCUCCUUUUUUCUUAUUUUAGCCGUUUUUUUUUUGUAUUAUAACAAAAAUUUUGAAUUAUUAUAAACCUCCCCCUUUUUUGUAUAUUUUAUUCUCAGGCUUCACAAAACAUUAUGGUCCUUUUGAGUUAUUAUUUUGGUUUGACACGACUAAACCUUUUCUAUUGGUCCAUAAAUUUAAUGCCCCUACAUAUAAAAAGAAAUAGAUAGCUGUUUAACUGAGUUAACACGUUUUGGUCCUUUUUCCAUGAUUCAAGUCGCAAAUUUAGCAUUUUCCUAGGUUGAUUGUGUGUGUGAUCUUAUAUAUAAAUUCUCCCGUCCUUCUGCGUCCGAGUUGGACUUCUCNNNNNNNNNNNNNNNNNNNNNNNNNNNNNNNNNNNNNNNNNNNNNNNNNNNNNNNNNNNNNNNNNNNNNNNNNNNNNNNNNNNNNNNNNNNNNNNNNNNNCAGGAAGGACGUGUCUUGUGCAUAUCCGCAUGAGAAGUGGAAGGUUCCACCCUCUUGGAUUCUCUAGCAUUAGCCAACAAGGUAUCUACUUGGAAUUACUUCCACCAAUCAAAAACAUAUUCGCAGCACCACAGCUCAAAGACAUGAAUCUUCGUGAAAUCGCCUAAGGCCGAGUUGAUCAUGUAAUAGGUAACCAACCUUGCCUGAUGCAAACAUGAAGAACAAAGACCAUCCAUGCAUAUCGCAUACGUUGAUUUAAUUGAACCAUUAAAAGAAGAUGGAAAAGGAGAGCAGACAAAUAAUUGCAGCCAUAUCACCUGGUUUGGGCAAGAAAGAAUUAUUAGACUAAACACCUUCAACUUCUCUAAAUGAGGGAAUAAGAAAUCAUAACAACAAGCACACACUCUCUUAUUUUUUUGAGGUUCGCACAGUAAUGACUAAACACGAAACAUUACAUUACAUGGGUAUACAAGCAGAUAACCUUAUUCACACAGCAUAUGCAUUAUUUUGGUCGUCAAUUUGUUCCAUGCGCGUAAAUUGAGAUUCUUUGAGCUGUCUAGACGCUACUUCCCACUGAACUGGAGAUUUAUGGCCGAUUGACAUGCCAAAGCAGUUGUGGCACUACCAUAAAGUAGCCAACCCGACCAGCCUUUCUGUAGUAACUUGUCAGGCCAUGAUUGCAACUUUAAGUCAAUGGUUGGGAUCCUUCAGAGUUGAAUUAAGGGCCAAGGGCACCAUUAAAGACAAAAUGCCCCUCUUCCACCCCUAUAAAUAGAGGUGAAUUUCAUGGCCUAUGAGAGGAAACAAUCGGGUCCAAAGUGUUGGGUUUGUUGCCAUUAAUGUGCAACAAAUGGACGACACCGUCCAUUGACUUUGGUAGCCACCAUUGUUGAAGAUAAGCUGGAGUUGGCAGCCACCAUUGUUGAAGAAGAGCUGGAGCUGGUGGCACCAUUCUUGUCUAUAAAUAGGCACCGAGAGAGCAGAGCAGAGUGAGAGAACAAAGAGAGAGUGAGACCAAGAGAGAAAGAGGGGCUGCCAAGGGCAGCAGCCCUGUUGCCUUGUGCAGUAGUGUGAGAGUAGAGUUGAGUGAAGUGAUCCUCCUUCUCCAUGUGUGUUGUAACCCUUUCUCUAUCUAUCUCUAAUAAUAUGGACUUCUCCCGUGGAUGUAGGCGAUUUGCCGAACCACAUUAAAUAUUGUGUCCCAGUGUGCUAAGCCUCCAAUAGACAACUAUUAGAACACCACCGGUCCAUACAUAAGGGGUCGGAAUCCCCAACAUAAAGUUGAUAAAAAAACCAGCCUUACCCCUAGUAUUUAUCCACCAUUAUCGUUUUUUUCUUCUUCUCUGUCGUCGUACGUGACCUUUGGUGGCCUAGCACCCUUGCCACUCCAUCUCCUUGCCAGCAACAGGAGUAGCCAUCAUUGGCUCCUCCCUUCUCCCCUAAACAAUAACCCUUGCAUGCUUCUUCCUCUUCCUCCUAAACCAACAAUGACUCCUGCACCUUCAACUUCCACUCACUAGUGACAACACCAGUAACUCCAGCAGACCAAUAAUUGCCACCAUUUUAGUUUUGUUCUCCUUCAGCACCGGUAGCAGCAACAACUCCAACCAUGCCAAUGUUUUCUUCUUUUUCUCCCUUCAACAGCCAACACCGCCCACCACCGUCUCCACCAACAGCUUUGACAGUAGUCGACAAAAAGGCCAUGCGGCCACUCCUUCUGUAAUAACCCAAUUUUUUAUUCUCCAAAAUUUUCUUGAAUGUUGUUUUUAUUUCUAUUUUGAUUCAUAAAAAUCCAAAAAAAAAGUUAAGAAAAGAAUAUUAAAAUUCAAAAAUAUAUUUUUCUCGGGUCAAUCGUAUUUUACCAUGAAAAAUGAGCUCAUCGGGUCAAUACGGGUCAAACCAUGUUGACUGGGGUAAAAAUUGAAUUUCAAGCUAUUUUGGGUCAAAACUAUUAUUUUUUGUCAAAACUCGGUCAACUGGGUUGACACUAGUUGAAAAAUAUUUAUUGAUGUUUGAAAUUAAUUUUUUAAUAAUUAAAAUUGAUUUUUAGCAGUUGAAAUGGGAUAGGUAAAAAAUUUUCUUCAGGACAAUGUCGUGUCCCCAUAAACGUUUCUUCAGGACAACAUUAACUAUAAAAGGUAGUGAAAAUUUGCUAAAACAAAGAAGAAGAAAAAAAAAGUGAAUAUGAAUGAUAAUACUAUUCAUGUUUUUUUAGUUUUUUCUUCACACGAGUAAGUUAAUGAUUAAAAAAAAAACAAUUCAAAAGGUAUCAAAACUAUCUUGACCGUUAGAUCUAAUAGUAUUUUAGUUCUUGACCCUUAAUUAGAUUUGAUCUAAUACGGCUUACCAUACUAGAUGAAAACUCAAAUUCAUCUCAGCCAUUAACCAAAUCUGACCUUGGAUCUAAUUUUGCCACAUCACUAAGCUGCACAAGAUUUUUGGUACACCUGGUGACGUCAUAAAAUUAGAUCCAAGGUCAGAUUUGGUUAAGCAUCCAUAUGGAUUUGGGUUUUCAUCCAGUGUGGUAAGCUCUAUUAAAUUUUAAAAUUUAUAGCUGGACGAUACCAAUUUAUUUAGAUUUUGGACCAAUUUUCAAAAAACCAACUUGAUAAGGAAUCUGAAACUAUUCCUUGAUUAUAGAUGAUUUGUUAUUAUAUACAUAUCUUGUAGGAUUUAUAUUGACUACGUUUUAUUUGUUUCCUAUUAUAUAGGAUUUGUUAACUGCUGUACAUUGUAUAUAUAAUGAGAAUCAAUCACCUCUGCAUGAUAGGGUGAAUUACAGCUAUUCUUAAACCUUGUUAUGGUAUCAGAGCUCCUUUAGGUUUUUCUUUUACUCUAUCUCUUUAUCAUGGCUGCGCCGUUCCGCUGAACACGAUGGUGCAUAUGCUUACCAUCAAACUGACCUCCUCAAAUUAUUUGUUAUGGAGAAAUUAGUUUAUACCAUUGUUAACAAGCCAUGAUCUUCUUGGAUUUCUGGAUAGUAGCAUCGCAGUUCCUUCUCCACAGAUAACUGGUACUGAUGGCUCUACUCAGGUGAAUCCAACAUACUCUUCUUGGCUAAACACAGAUCAGACCCUAUUAAGUCUCCUUUAUUCUUCCCUUACAGAGGAAUCUAUGAGUGAGGUGCUUGGUUUGAAACAUGCUCAUGAGGCCUGGACUGCUCUUGAAGCCUCCUUCUCCCACAGAUCAAAGACUCGUGAACUGCAACUCAAGGACGAGCUCCAACUGAUGCAGCGAGGCUCCAAAUCAGUGGCUGAAUUCUCUCGCCUUUUCAAAGGCCUCUGCGAUCAACUGGCAGCAAUUGGUCGACCCAUCGAUGACCUGGACAAAGUUCAUUGGUUCUUGAGAGCUUUGGGUCCUGAAUAUAAAAUCUUCUCAACAACAAUGCUUUCCCAGUCUCCGUUACCUUCUUUUGCAGAUAUAAUCCCGAAAGCUUUAAGCCAUGAGAUUUUUGAACGAUCAGUGUAUCAACAAUCUGCCAACUCGGCGUUUUAUGCUCAGCAACGUCAUUCUUCAACCACUAGAUCAAAAUACAUCAACAGAGGAAAACCCAAACCUCCCUCUGCCUCUGUCACAAAAUCUAGUUUCUCUCCAGUCCAUUGCCAACUCUGUGACAAGGCCACUUGGCUAAACGUUGCUGGACAUUUCUUAAUCUCAAGAAAAAGCAGUCUGCCAAUCUUGCUGAAGCUUUUGCUGCUUGUUCAAUCCCGGCCUCCCCUGAUCCUGCCUGGUAUCCGGACUCUAGAGCCACCUCUCACAUGACAAAUGAUCCUGAGGGUGUUGAUAUUCCUGCUGUAUAUUCUGGUAACGAAAGGGUGAUGGUUGGUAAUGGUCAGUCUCUUUCUAUUUCUCACACUGGCUCCGUUUCCGCUCUUGUUCCCAACAGCCCAUUACUUUUAUCUAUUGUUUUAGUUGUUCCUGUUAUUACUAAAAAGCUUAUUUCCAUUAGUCAACUUACAAAAGAUAAUAAUUGUUGGGUCAUCUUUUUUUAUUCUGGUUUCAUAAUACAGGACCGGGUCACAGGAGUAUUGCUGGGAGUCGGCAGAUGUGAGAAUGGCUUAUAUGUACUCCAGCAACAUCAUUAUGCCCUUGCUUCCACAGUUUCUUCCAAUAAAUUGCGUGUCUCUGCUCAUUUGUGGCAUGCUCGUCUAGGUCAUCCUAGUUUUCAUACUAUUGACUCUCUCACCAAGUCAAGUUUUAUUUCUUGUAGUGAUAAAUUAAUCGGUUUGGAUUCUAGUUUAUGUGUUGGAUGUAACCUUGGCAAAAGCCAUCGGCUACCCUUUUCAAUUAAUAAUACUUGUUGUGAUUUGCCUUUUGAUCGUUUACACUGUGAUUUAUGGGGUCCUUCACCUAUUUGUUCAACUACGGGUUUUCGAUAUUAUGCAGUUUUUGUUGAUGAUUGUACUCGUUUCAGUUGGUUUUUUCCACUCAAACAUAAAUCUGAUUUUUUUGAUACAUUUAUCAACUUUCAACAGUAUAUUGAAACUCAAUUUUCAUCCAAAAUUAAAUCCUUCCAAUGUGAUGGUGGAACUGAAUUUACCAAUAAUAAAUUUCGCUCUCACCUCACAUGUUGUGGUAUUGUAUUGCGUGUUGCAUGUCCUUAUACACCCAGUCAAAAUGGAAUUGCUGAACGUAAACACCGACAUGUUACCGAAACAGGACUCACUCUUAUGUUUCAUGCAUGUGUUCCUUUGCCUCUUUGGGUUGAGGCCUUCUCAACAGCUGUUUAUUUCAUCAACCGACUCCCCUCACAAACUCUUGCUGGCAAAACUCCUUACGAGCUUCUGUUUGGUAAAUACCCCGACUACACCAUGCUUCGUACUUUUGGAUGUUUAUGCUUUCCUUAUUUGUGAGAUUAUGCUCCUAACAAAUUAUCUCCCAAAUUUGCUCCUUGUGUCUUCUUAGGUUAUAGCCCCCUUCACAAGGGUUUCCGCUGUUUUGACCGCAAGACACAACGUCUUUAUGUCUCUCGCCAUGUCCAAUUUUAUGAAACUAUAUUUCCUUAUGCAUGUGAUAAUGUUCAACAAAAUCAUAAUUCCACACCCUAUAUUACUUUCUCUGAUUUCUUGGACUCUCAUAAUAUUGUGUCUCCUGCCUCCCCACCUCCAUUGGUGUCUUCUCCAGUUUCGACUUCUACUUGUUUGCCAUGCAGUGAUAAACCUGUAGCCUCCUGUUCCCAGCCUCCUAUUAUGUCUAUCAUCCCAUCUUCCAGUCAGCCCUCUCCUUCUGUUCCUGUUCCACCAAUGACGACCUCUACUAACCUUCACCCUAUGGUUACUAGAAGGAAAGCUGGUAUAUUUAAACCUAAUGCUUAUCAUGCGCUAACCAUUGCAGGUUCUUCUCAGUUUUUUCAGGUUCUUCUAGCUCUCCAAGAGCCUCGGGGUUUCAAAUCUGCAGCCAAACACCCUGCAUGGCUCUCGGCUAUGGAUGCUGAAAUACAAGCCUUGAAGAACAAUGACACAUGGGAUUUUGUACAGCGUCCUGCAAGUCACAAUGUGGUUGGUUGUCGCUGGAUCUUUAAAACCAAGCUCCGUGCUAAUGGAUCCAUUGAGCGUCAUAAGGCUCAUCUUGUGGCCAAGGGUUUCUCACAGAUUCAUGGCCUUGAUUUUGAAGACAUGUUCAGUCCUGUGGUGCGUCCUGCUACUGUUCGGAUUAUUCUAUCCAUUGAAGUCGGUUCCGGGUGGCCUCUACAUUAAUUAGAUGUUCAAAAUGCCUUUCUUCAUGGUCAUCUUUUUGAACUGGUAUACAUGGAUCAACCUCCUGGCUACAUAGAUCCCCGGUUUCCUCAUCAUGUAUGUCGACUAAAGCGUGCUCUUUAUGGGCUCAAACAAGCCCCUCGUGCUUGGUUCCAACGCUUUAGCUCGUUUUUACUGCAACUUGGUUUUCUUAUCAGCAAAGCAGAUUCCUCUCUGUUUGUGCAUCACUCUGCAGCUGGCACGGUUUAUCUCUUGCUCUAUGUAGAUGAUAUGGUGCUUACUGGUAGCAAUCCCAGCUUGAUCAAAACUCUUAUCACACGACUGUCCACCGAAUUUGCCAUGAAAGAUUUGGGGUCUCUACACUAUUUCCUUGGUGUUGAAGUCCACCAUAACUCCCACGGUUUAUUUCUCAGCCAGACCAAGUAUGCUCUUGAUCUUCUCCACCGUGCUGACAUGGUUGAAGCCAAACCCAUUACCACUCCUUAUGUUGUUGGCCAGCAUCUAUCCACUGAAGGGAAGUUAUUUUCAAAUCCCACUCUUUUUCGGUCUCUUGCUGGUGCUUUGCAAUAUUUGACAAUUACUCGCCCUGAUCUCUCAUUCAGUGUCAAUUCAAUUUGCCAAUAUAUGCAUGCUCCGACAGAAGAUCACUUUCGCGCACUCAAACGUAUAUUGCGUUAUGUUAAAGGAACGGUUCAUCAUGGCCUUCAACUUCAUCGCAAUCCUUCCCGUGAUUUGCUUGCCUAUUCUGAUGUUGACUGGGCUGGUUGUCCUGAUACACGUUAGUCUACCACUGGCUAUCUUAUUUUCUUGGGUCCCAAUCUUAUCUCCUGGUGCUCCAAGAAACAAUCCACAGUUUCUCGUUCCAGUGCCGAAGCUGAAUAUCGUUCCUUAGAUGUCGCUACUGCUGAAGUCGCUUGGAUUGUUCAGUUACUUCGUGAUCUCCAUCUACAAUUACCUUCACCUCCGAAGCUGCUAUGCGACAACAAAAGUGCUAUAUUUAUGGCGGUCAAUCUUGUCACUCGGCCUCGCUCUAAGCAUAUUGCGAUUGACUAUCAUUUUGUUCGUGAACUCAUUGCCAAUGGUUCCUUAAAAGUCACCUUUGUUCCCUCUCAUCUUCAGCUUGCCGAUUCCAUUACAAAAGGAGUCCCCAAACCUCAGUUCCUCCUUUUUCGUCACAAGCUUCACGUGGUUCCUUCUUCCAUGCUCAACUUGAAGGGGGGUGAUAAGGAAUCUGAAUCUAUUCCUUGAUUAUAGAUGAUUUGUUAUUAUAUACAUAUCUUGUAGGAUAUAUAUUGACUACGUUUUAUUUGUUUCCUAUUAUAUAGGAUUUGUUAAUUGUUGUACAUUGUAUAUAUAAUGAGAAUCAAUCACCUCUGCAUGAUAGGGUGAAUUACAGCUAUUCUUAAACCUUGUUACAACUGAAUUUGACUUUGACAAAUUAUUUUAUAAUUUUUUAUUGGUUUAAAAUCUAAAAAAUUAAAAUUUUGAAAGUCUCAAUUCAUAUUUUUUUUUAAAAAAAAUUUGUUAAAUUUUUAAUCAAAAUAAAACUAAAGAAAAAAUUAUUCAAAAUCAUGUUAUAUUGAGUAUGAAAAGUUGACAGGGGCCAAUUAUUAUGGGAUAGAGGGAGAAAUAAAUACUAAAUUCUGCGAAUUAGGGUGCUCAAGUCUAAAAACAUGAGCAAAAACUUUCAUAGAUAGGUAAGAAUGAAAUUGCCUAACUUAUCCAAAACUAUUUAUGACAAGCUUGAAUACCAAGAUAAUAGCUUGCAUAUGGCCUCCGGAAUCCUCAACAAGCUGAUUCUUGAGAAGCAGGAUGGAUUUCCACAGAGGAGAGGCAGGGGCCUGAGCCUAAGCAGACCAAACGUACGAGGCACAUAGAUAGAAAUGAUGUAUCCAUUGGAUCCAUACAGAAUCUGUUUUCAAGUGAAUGUUCCACGGCUGCUUGGCUAAAAAAUUAUUACUGCAGGAUUUGAUAUCAACCAAAGUUGACUUGCUUCUUAAGAAGUUCCCUGUCCAUAAAAAGUUUCGACAGAGUCGAGUAAUGUGCCUAAUGACCGCUUGCGGCAUGGGAAGAAUACUAAUCCAAAACUGAACCAUUCCGUGCAAAACAGACUUAACAAGCUCAAGCCUCCCAACAAAGGUAAGAUUCUUCCCCAUCCAGCCAUGAAUGCCCGCUUCAAGCUUGUGUAGCAAGGGAGAAUACUGACUAGCUAAAAGCCUUGAGAGUUAUAUUUAGAUUUCUUUUUCUUUAUCUUGCUAAAUGCCAUAACCCAUUUUUGGGUUAUUCCCCUAUUCACAUUUUUUCUCUCUUUAAAAGAAUAAAAUACAAAAAAAUAAAAAAAAUAUUAUCAAAAAAUAUAACAGUGAAAAGAGAAUGCUAGAACGCUCAAAAAAUAGUUAAAAAUUGGUUAAGGAGGUUCAAAAAUACAAAGAUUAAAAUUUGACAAUAUUUUGCUAAUUGAUGAGAGCUCUUUUGACAAAGAAAAUUCAAUUUGAGGAAGAAAAGUCCAAAAUCAGAUGUUUAUGGACUCAAUUAAAUUUUAUUGAAGGUUUAAUUGAUUUAUGGAGGGUUUGAUUGCNNNNNNNNNNNNNNNNNNNNNNNNNNNNNNNNNNNNNNNNNNNNNNNNNNNNNNNNNNNNNNNNNNNNNNNNNNNNNNNNNNNNNNNNNNNNNNNNNNNNGAGAGUUAAUUUAGUCAAAUCAGGGGCUUAAUUGCAUAAAUAUGAAAGUAUGAUGGCCAAUUAGGGACUUAAUUGAAGAAAUCCGAAACUAAGGACCAAAAUGAAAAAGGCGCGUAAAUAGAGGAGCUAUUAUUAAAACCGAAUCAGGGGCCAAAUUGAAGAAAUUAGAAGUUUAUUGAUUAAUUGAGGGUCAAAUUGCACUAAUUCGAGACCAAGGACCAAUUUGGAAAAGGAGGUCAACUUCAAGGCCGACGAUUGAAUUUGGCAGGGAUGCAAUUGAAUUAAUUUUUAAAAUCAAAAUUACAAUUGAGGACUCGAUUGAACAAAUCCAAAAUUGAGGACUGAUUUGUACUUUCACAUAAGUUUGCCGCCAUUUUCAUUUAAAUAAAAUGACGCGUUUUGCCCAAAACGACGCCGUUUCAUGCACUGUUAAAAAAAAGGAAAAACCCAAAACAGUGCCGUUUUGAAUGGCAUUGUGGGUCUUCUUCUUCCUCUGGACGUGCGAGGCAGGGGAAGAAGAAGAUUUUUUACUGACUUUUCUCCUCCUCUUUCUCCAAAAAGCAUCAAAAAGACGCCGAUCAUAACCCCACUUGUAUAAACUCUGACCCGUGGCCUACCACAGGGCGGUGAAAAAAGGAGGAAACGUGUCCGUCGGCAGUCGUGGGGCGGCAGCAUAGUGGCCACCCCAGCCAUGUCCCUCCCUUGUUUUUGGCUAUAAAAACAAGGGGGCAGAACAAAAAAAAAAACAAGAGAAUAAGGGGGGAGCACAAGAGAAAAAGAAGGUCUAGAGACCGAAAGGAAAAAAAAAAAAACUAAGAGGAGAAGAGGAAAAAGAAACAGAAGAACAAAGGAAAAAAAAGCAGAGAAAAACAGAGGAGGAAGAAGGAGAAGGAGAAGAAGAAGAACCACCACUGACAACCUUUAACCCAGCAGCGCCACCGUUGCGGCUCCUCUCCAUCGCCAUCAGCAGCAGCAGCUCGUCAAGUAGAAGAAGAAAAGAAAAGGAAAAAAAACAGAGGCUCUCACCUCUGCACACUGAAGAAGAGGAAGCCAGCACCGCGUGCCACCAUGCCCCUAGCCACCACUAGCAGCACCGUUGCCAUCGCCACAGUCGCUCGAAGCACCAUGAGCCACCUUAGGUAAGCCUUCUUCCCUUUCCCUUUCUUCUUCUUCUUCUUCUUCGGGUCUCUCCACUGUUCACGUUGGUGUCGCCACUAUUCACGUUGCAUGUGAACAGUGGAGAGACCCACUGUUUGAAUGGGCCAGCAAACCCGGCCCAACCCAAAACGUUUGAGCUAGGUCCGACCCAAUUAAAAAAAAAAUUCUCAAAAUGCUUUUUUAAAAAAUUGUAAUUUUUCCGUGUAUUUUUCUAUUUUUUUGCUUAAUAUCGGUCUGUAUUUUACGUCAUAAAAAUACAAAUCCGGUAUUAAAAUGCCUGGUUUUCGUCAAAACUUCCAAAAAUACAAAACAAAUUGAAAAAAAUGAAAUUUAUGCAUACGGCCAAGUGUCUCAAAGCUAAAAAAUCAUAUUGUGUUUUUUCAUACACCCAAAAACAAUGUUUUAGUAUGCAUUUUGGCUUUAAUAACCAGUUUAUUAAAGUCAAGAGAAUAUUAGCCAAAAUUUCAAAAACAAAAAAAAAUUAUUUUGUUUGUCUUUUAGUAUUCAGGGUACGACAUUCCACGUAAUACGUAUUCUGAAUAUUAAAUUCUUUUUUCGGAGGCUAAAACGGUUAGGUUUUACCCCAUUAAGAAUAAGAACCUCCUUACAUAGGGCUUUUCUUAAAUCUUAGAUAGACAGAACCAACGAUUAGAAACCACAACCAAACCUUAGAUUUUAUCAGACAACAAAACAAUGCAGCCUAUCUUAGGUAGGGCGUAUUUGGGGUGCCAAUACCUUCCCUUUACGCAACCAGUCUCCGUACCCCAUCUCCGAGACCAGUUAGGGUUCCUAGUGAUCAAAAUACUAGGUGGCGACUCUGAGUUCAUAUUUUACUGAUAAGAGACAAGAAUUCCUUGUCUAUCCAUAUUUGCCAUAUACACCAUUCCAUAUUCCAUUUCCUUGAGUGGUGGACGAUCGUCGCGACGCUGCACAAGUACGACACUAAAAAAAGUACAUCUAGCUCGAUAAUUAAUUUAGAUUCAAGUUGAUUUUUUAUUUUUAAAUCAAUUAAAUGUUUAUUUAAGAUUUUGAAUGGAUUUAUUGAGGUCCCUUUUACACAUAGCUAACUUUGAUAUCCCGUCCGAUGUAUCCAACUCUUCAAUAAAAGGAGCAAUUUUUCAUUACAUUCAGCAUAAUAUUUAUCUAACAUGUAUGAAGAUUAUCGCACCCGACAUCGUGGCGGCCUUAAAAACAUUUACUCAAAAGAAAAGAUUUUUGGCAUCUUUUUCUUAGAUAUGGAAGGUCUUGCUUAAAGAGUCGUCACCUAGUAUAAUAGUUACUAGGUACCCUAACUAGUCAACAGAGAUCCUAUGGUAUGGGACUAGUUACGUAAAAGAGAAGAUAUUAUCACCCCUUAAACGUCAUGUCUGACUGGUUUUGUCUUAAAUUGCUAACAGUUUAUUGGUUUAUGCUAUGAUGGUUUGCUUGUAAUAUUUCUGACUUUAGCGUCAGUGAAUAUUUAACUAUAGAUACUUCCAAUUCUGGUGUCGGUAAAUAUUACGUACUAAAAAAAACAUAUGGUAUUUCUCGACUAUGGAAGUGAAUAACCUAGUAAAAUCAUUUUAAAAUCAAUGCAUGCAUAUUUUUUUUUUUAUAGAAAAAAAUGUAUUGUACAGUAGAUUUACAUUUCACAAUAAAAAUUUACAAGUUAGUUAUACAAUGAAAUACCAAAAAAAUAUAUUUGAGGGACCUAUAAAUAAAUUCAAAAUGAUCCUUGAAUGUUUUUGAAAUUUGCUGAGAUAAAAAAAAAAAAAGCUUGCUAGUUAAAUAUCAAAACCAAAAAAAAAAAAAAGGGGAAUGGGCUGAUUGGGCAUGAGGCCCAGGUCCAACCCGCCCUCAGCUUUUUCAGCUUUACCUUCGCACUGUGUAAUACAAACUCAAAGAAUGAAACUCAAUAGCCAGCAUGAAAAAACCAUCUUCAAAGGAAAUCUGCUCGAAAAAACCAUUCAACAAGAGAUUGUUCUGCUAGGAAAACUUUUGAACAGAUAGUACAGCAUCAAGUUUCAGUCAUCUUGAGAUUUGAAUGCCCAAAUAUAUUCACAUGCUCAUACAAUAACAUUUUUAAUAAUGCAUUAUGCAAUAGAAACAGAACAUCAAACUGACAGAGAAAACAUGCUGAUGCAGAAAAAACUCAAGUCGUAGAAAGGAGAACGCAUGAAAGUCCACACAUUAAACCAAAAGAAACACAAAUGGGCAAGCAAACAUACGCCCUUACUUCUGGAGGCUUGUACGAUAAUGACUACACACACAACAUUACAUUACUUCUAACUUCUUCAGCAAACACAUAGAUAGAUAAGACUGUUACAAUGCGAAGCCAAUUUGUAUCCCAUUGCCAAUGAAACAGUUGGAAUUACUUCCCACCAAUCUAAAACAUAUUCGCAGCACCAACCUUGAAAUCAUGUAACAGCUAACCAACCUUGCCUGAUGCAAACAUGAAGAACAAAGACAUUCCAUGAUUUAAUUCAACCAUUAAAAUUUGAAGGUAAAGGAGAGGAUAAAUAAUCUUCAGCUAUAUCACCUGGUUUGGGCAAGAAAGAAUUAUUAGACUACCAAUCAUCAUCAUCAUCACCAUCUUCUUCUUCUUCCCACCCAUUAUCUCGGGUCCACUCUCUAUUAAUGCUUGAAUCUUCAGCUACUUCAGAUACCUGUAAACCAAUUCAAGCAUGGCAUGCUCGUUUAAACUUGUAAAUCUUAUUAUUGAGCGAAACAAGAAACAAACACAAUAAAAAAGAGGCAAGAAAUCAAGUCAAAUCAGCAGCACCUUUGAUUGAGCACUCAUUGAACCAUCUGGUGUAGUGGCAAAUUUUGUGGUCAGCUUUGGACAUUGAUAGACCUUCAACUUCUCCAAACGAGGAAAUAAGAAAUAAUCACACCAUCCGAAACUAAAACAGACAAUACUUGAUAAUUGUUCUAGCGACAACUCCUUUAGAUUAGGAAGCAUCAUCUCCUUCUCAACGUUGACAAGUGAAGCUUGAUCAUCCUGCCCAAAUACUCCCAAUAAUUGAGAGGCUUUUUUUACCCUCAGUAUUUGGAGAUUUGGGAGACCUGAAGCCAUGGCUACUGGGAAGAGACUCUUCAACUUGUUGCAUUCUCUAAUCUCAAUUUCACACAAAUUGGGAAAGCAUAAAGAUUGGAGAUGAUCUCCUAACAAUAUCUGGUCGUUUUCAUCAUCAUCCUUAGCAAUGAUUUGCUCCAAUUCCUCACAGGACAAUAUCUUUAGCACUUUCAGUGGAACUAGACUGAAAAUCAUACUGCGUGUGAAUACAUGCGUCAGUCUUUUACACUCAACCACAUUCAAAGUAGUCAAUUUGCUUAGCACGAGACCCAUCCAUAUACACCUAAUGUCAGGCACCAGCAGGGAGCCCAAGCGUAAUGUUUCCAAAUUUGUCAACCCCUGCAUUGAAAGAAAACAAGGAUACCUAAUAAAUUUUGUGCACUUUGGAACUAUAUAAUUUUGGUAAAUAGAUGAACGAAUUGUCCCCAAUACUUCAGCCAAAAACUUAUCAACAAAAGGAUAUAAGUAGACAUGGCAACAGGGCAUGGGAAUAUGAAAUCAUAAGCUGCAGGACUGAAACAAUUAACUCAAUAUUGGCAGAUGGAGGUUUAUCUUCCUCUUCAAAUACUUCUAUUAAUUGGGGGAAGAGCCUCAAUUUCACUAAAACUGGGAAAGCAUAAAGAUUGAAAAAUCUAGGUAGGAUUUCAUUACAAUAAUUAUUACUUCUUAAGCCCUCUAUCAAGAGACAAGGAAUGAUACGUACUUCGAGCUGUGCAAACAAAUUUCCCAAUUCUUUGUGGCCAUCAAUUUCUAGAAUUUGCAAAGAAGGCAAUUGGGCAGCAAAAUUCUUUGGACCAAAAAAGCUGCAAUUUGAAAGAGACAAUCUUCUUAGCUUAGGGAACUUGAUGAUGGCAUCUCUGGUGAGUGCAUCUCCUUCUACACUGUAAAAUAUUUGCUUUAAAUUAUGAGCAUUCAAAAUCCGCAUCUCUUCCAGGUUCAGAAGGCUUGGAGACACAGAUACAGGGAAGACAUAUUCCAGUUUACCACACUCUUCUAUGAUGAUAGUUUUUAAUUUUGGGAAGCAAGGAGACUCUUGAAUUAUUUCCUUUUCACCAUCCU